UUUUUUUUUUUUUUUUUUUUUUGCUCCAAAUCUUCUUGUCAUAACGUUAGACUGACUUAGUGUAGUGUAUGAAUGUAUGAUUGAAGAUCUAUUACACUUAUCAUGAUCCCAUUGGUUCAAACAUGUUUGGUUUUUUCAAUUGAUAAACAUUGAGCUUUCUAGGUAAUUUUGGUAUUGUUCUUCCCAUGACCAAAUAGCUAAGCUUAUUUUGGCAGAGAAGUCUAUCUUCGGUUAUCCAUGUGAUAAUUACACAUCAUAAUAACUCAGUGGGUGAAUUUUACCUGAACCAGAGAAGUCCCAUGACCAAGUACCUGAACCAGCCCAGUUUUGUUAAGAUGAAUUUUACUUUUAAUCAAAAAGUAAAACUAUAUUACUUUAGGGUAUUUUGAUUAGCUAAAAAUAAAUUUGGAAAUUUGGCGGGAGCCAAGGAAAAAGAAGAAAGGUGGAGGACGGAGGGAAGUUGUUGGUUUUACUUUAAUUUUAUUAAAAUUUUCAACUUUACCCUUGUGUGUUUUACAUAAAACUCAUUUUCCACCAAUUAAACACACCCUUAUAUGCGCUUGAUUAUUGCUUGAAAACUAAACUUAUUUAUUAACACAACGAAAACAACAUAUUGCAUAUAUUUGUAUGCUCAUUAAGUCUCUGGAGAUCCUAUAGAAGGUGUGCUUUGAUUUGUUAAGAUGAUUAGGUUGAUGAAUAGUUAGGGGUUGCAAAGAUGUCUCAUGGAUUCAUAUAUCAGUGUAAGAUUAUGGCCUUCUUAAAGUUCUUCAUAUCCUUUUGUUGAAGAUGUAAUCACUGAAGAUGUAAUCACUUAUCCAAUUUGUGUAAUACCAAAGCGGAGGUCAAGGAAUUUCAAUUUGGGAAGUUUCAUGAGCUUGAUGGUGAGUGGGAUUUUGGGAAAGAAAGCUGAGUAAACAUAAACGAGGUGGUCAAAAUAAUUCACGUUGAUACACAUCACCAAAGGAAGCACAACAAUCUGGUGGAGCAACAGGCUUAUUGGUUGGUCAGUAAUUGCCCCUUGUGUUGUCAAUGUUGGAAGGAAAUGAUGCCGCUUUGGAAGCAUUGAGCACAUGGCUUUGGUUUCCCCUAUUCGAUUUAACCUAUGUUAAAUUGGGGUGAGUAAAGAACAAAUCUUGAACUUCUGAAUCUGGGCGACUUCUUGAAAAGCGAUACUCUAUGUUUUGAAUUUUAAUCCAACUUCCUUGGUUAGAUAAUGGGUAUGCUUUGGUUAGAUCUUUUAGGCAACAAACUGUUCAAGAAGUAUUCACCAGGAUACCUUAAUGAUGAAUGGACAACUUGAUAAAAGUAAUGCAAAUUUUGGAAAAGUAAGAGUUUCUGUGAAACUAUGUUUGAGGAUGCAGGCUGUUUUCAGUUGUGGUAGGUUGUAGAAACCAUGUGUGGAGUUGUGGCUCAAACAUGUCACUUUUCCUAAAAUUGGUCAAUUUUUUGACUGAUAGAACUUAGUUUUUAACUUUAUAUAUUGUUUGAUUGUUAAGAGUGAACAGGAUGUGGAGUUGUUCCAACAUAUUGCUUUUUCUCGAGCUGCACAAUUUAUGACCGAUUAAAGAAAGACUUUUAAUGACACAAUGUACCAGAAUGUCACCUUAUGACCCAACUUUUACAUCAACGUGCAGCAAAGAUGAAAUUUUCCAAAUUCCUUAUGAACAUAGUGAAGCCAAUUUCUUUUACAACUGGCCAGAAGAAUAUCUAGUUCCAUGUAGGUUUCUUUAUAACAGCAGUUAGACUUGUGUGUUGAAAAUCAUUUGCACCACAGGUGUUUUCCCAAAAUUAAACUUUGUUGUUAAGCAUCCUGUACAAGCCAUCCCUUAGAAGUUAGAAGGUAUUGUUAAAAGAUCAUCAAUUUCCUAGCAGAUCUAGCCAAUAUUUUGUAUACAGUGAACUAGAGUUUGGACCAAUCGUAUUUCGAGAAGAUAAGAUUUUGGAUGAUAACUGAAUCAUAGUUCACAGUAGUGAGUACAUUGACUGAUAUUUAUGAUUUCACCCAUUGGUUUACAUGUUUUAUUUUCUUGGUUAGAUUGCAUAUAUUCAUAUAAAGACAUUGUUCACUGAUUGUUUGGGAUUUAUUGUAAAUUUACAAUCCUACUGAAGAGAUUUAGGGCGGAUAUAAUCAAUAAACAACAAAUAGCUUUUUAGUUUGGCUUCACAUAUUUUAUUCUGUUGGAAUUUAUCUUGUUUCUGCGACUUGGUGUGACCUCAUCUACUUAUCUUUUUGGGCUCUGGUUUAUACCCUGCUUAGAUUUAUGUUGUCUGUCUUGGUUAGCUAGAUGAAAGUACCACUUACUAUUUGAGUAUAACAAUGGAGAGAUGUCUUCAAUAUUCUUUAGUAUUUCAACACCUUAAUCAAUGUUGCAUACUUAAUUUUCUUUUCUUUUUCUCCUAUUUUCUCCCAGGUCAACAAAUCUAGAUUCAUGGACUCCUGACCAGUUGAAGAUGAUGAGCUUUGGGGGAAACAACCGUGCACAGGUUUUUUUCAAGCAACACGGAUGGACUGAUGGAGGCAAGAUCGAGGCAAAAUAUACUUCAAGGGCUGCUGAUUUAUACAGGCAAAUACUUUCUAAAGAAGUUGCUAAAAGUGCUGCUGAAGAGGUUGCCUUGCCCUCAUCUCCUGUUGCUUCCUCCCCAGCACACGCUGCUAAUGGGUUUUCAGAUGUCAAGGUUGCAGAAGCCCCUAAGGAAAAUAAAAUUGUUAAACCCGAAACUCAUGAAGUUCCUGCCUCACCUAAAAUCGCUCAUACUGUAAUGACUAGUUCUUUAAAGAAGCCUCUUGGUGCUAAAAGAACUGGAAGCAAGACCGGUGGGCUUGGUGUUCGAAAGCUUACCACAAAGGUAUGGAUUUUUCUGCAAAUGCAAACAGAUGUUACUUGUUAGGUAUUGAUAUAAAUGUUUUGCAAAUGUUACUUGUAACAUGUGGGUGUUGAGCAGUUUCAUAUAGAAUCUGAUGUUUCAGUAUAUUACAUAUUAUGGACAUCAGAACUUAACGAAGGCUUACAUUCUUAAUGCAGCCAAAUGAAAAUCUUUAUGACCAGAAGCCUGAGGAACCUGCUCCUGCAGUUACUACUUCAGUCAAUCCCACAACAUCAUCUGGUUCUUCUUAUCCUUCACGCUUUGAGUAUGUGGAGAAUAUUCAAUCUGUCAAUACCAGUUCAGUGGCACCUGUGAUUGGUCAUGUUUCUGCUCCGAAGUCUUCAAGCUUUUUUGAGGACUUUGGAAUGGAUAGUGGAUUUCAAAAAAAGUCUACCUCGAGUUCCUCUAAGAUUCAGGUAAGCUACUGCAUGUACUUUCGAAAGUUUUUAGUUUAAAUAAGGUAAAAUAGGUAAUCUCUAUUUGAACCCGCUGAAUAGAAAAAUAUUCUUGGUUGGGUUAAUGACGAAAAUUUGUGUUGUCUUUAAAAGCUGAAACUCUCUUAGUAAUAUCUCCUUUUGUUUUUGCAUAUAUAUGAUGAGGAUUUAAUUAUGAAUGUAUGUGUUUGUGCUCUUAUUUCACAUGUGUGUGUUCUUAUUUUGUUUUGGAAGACUUAGGAGACUUUUUAUCUGUGUUGCCUGUGCACUUGAUUAAGAUAUCUUCUUAUGUUUCUUUUAAAUAAACCUUACAAUAAAAAUAUGACCCGCGUGGGGAUUUUAUACCUCAUUUAUGGUGUAGAUGGUCUUCUCAAUUGUCAUUGUAGACACUAGUUGUGAGUAUCACUGAAAAGAGAGAGUUUUCUCACCUUCGUUUAGACGUGGAGCUCCAAAUAUGUAAUCCUCACACAGGGCAGACUUGUCAGUGGAUUAAUUUUCUGCUUAUUGCAUGCUUGGUAUUUUACGUAUAUAUAAUCAAAUUUGAUAGUAAUUUAAUUUGUUAAGACUGUUCAAUUUUAUUUUUUUUUUAAGAAUUUGUAGUAACUCUUGCCAUUUGGCUACAUUGUAUGUUGUUUAGAUUCAAGAGACUGACGAGGCAAGGAAGAAGUUUUCGAAUGCGAAGUCAAUUUCAUCAGCUCAGUUCUUUGGGGAUCAGAAUAAAAGCAAGGACCUGGAUGCUCAAGCCUCUUUGCAAAAGUUCACAGUAUGUGUUAUCAUGCAGCAUCAAUAUGCACUAGUUUUCUUCAAACUUCUAGCCAAUAUUAUUGAGGGAUUAUUGGCACUAGAUUCUUUUUUUUCUUUUUUUUUUCUCCAGAUCAUAUAAAUCAAUUUAUAUUAUUUAUAGGGUUCAUCGGCUAUAUCUAGUGCCGAUCUCUUUGGUAAAGAUAUGGACGAUUCUGGACUUGACUUGACAGCUGCUGAUCUCAUUCACCGACUUUCCUUCCAGGUACAUAUUAUUAUCAUAUUAGCACAGUUAUUUUCAUAUUUUUUAUGAAGCUAACAAUUAGACUAAGAUGUUAUUCUCACCUUAUGGACUCGAGUUAAUUAUUAAUGUGUCUUCUCCUUUGAAAUUUAAAAGAGUUUCUUUAAUAUAUUUUGAUCGGCAUGUCCUUGGAACAUUGAAGUUAUUUUAUUUUUCGAAUUCAGGCAUCACAGGAUAUCUCUUCUCUGAAGAAUAUUGCUGGAGAGACUGGGAAAAAGCUCACUUCACUGGCGUCAACGUUCAUGUCAGACCUCCAGGAUAGAAUUCUCUGAUGGUUGAUGAAUUUGAGCGUGGAUGUUAUCCAAAUACUGGUGUGAUAAAGAAUCUCCUGAAUGAAUUCCAUACCAUAUCGGCAAAUGUCUAGAUGUUAAAAGAGUUUUGUCAUAAAUUCUUUGAGAAGGUUAAAUAAGAUGCUAUCUCUCCCGAGUUUGAUCUUGUUAGGUUGGUGCAGCUUUAUUGUGAAAUAGAAAUAUGUUCUGGAUGAUCCAUACUUAAUCUCAUGAGUUUCUUAAGUUUGUAUUUACGUUUCAAUGACCAUUUUGUAUCUGUGGAGUGUGGACAGACCAGAGUUUCAAACUAUACUGUCAGUAGUAGUGAAGGUGAUACACAUUUCAUUUCUAUCAGCUGUAACCUUUCCCUGCUUUUAACUUUUUAUAUAAUUUAUGUGCUCUCCCUCGGAAUCGACAUGGGAAUUGGUAGUGUUGAGAUUGAUCUAAAAGGUAGAAAGAAGGUUCCAUCAUUCUUUUGAAGCUGCUCAGCGUUUUAGCACAGCCUAUCAAUUUUGGUAUUCACCAAGCUCUAUCAAAUGUGGUAAGAAUCUUUGUGUGUGAGUCGUCAAUGAAGUUUCCCAUUGCCUUAGCAACAGAGACUUGUGGAUUAAACUUGAGUAUUCCGUUAUUAAGAUAGCAAAUUUCAUAUUAGCUGAAGAUGAAAAUUACAGAGAUCUUAUCAUUUGCAAGCACAAGAACAGUGAUUUGGUGGUUCCAUAUCUUGACGAGAAUCUCGUAUUCAUUGAUGCUCAUGAUGCUCACCUUCACAGAGAAUCUUAUCUGUGUAGCCAAUAACUACAUGGGUUUGUGGGACCAUUAAAAUUCUGCCAUAGUUUCCUAUCAUCAAUUAUUGGGGUUCUUGCGAUACCCGGAUCUACUUUCCUGUCAUCAAUCAAUUCUUGGGGUUCUUGCCUGUUAAUAUAUAGAUACUAAAAUUAAAAUGCAAAAAGAUUGUGAGAAGUAGCUGCAAUGGAUUAUUUUUACUAGACGAUAUGCCAGUUGUGGGACGUCUAAUAGUUGCUAAUCCUGUUACUAACCAGCUCGUCGAAUUGCAUUCUUGUCCUCAAUGCACAAACAGUUAGAUAAUAUACAUGGAACCACCCUUCUACUAGUAGAAGGGCUGUAGGGAAUAUAAAUUAUAAAGUAGCUUCUCUUGUUUUCGACAAAACUUCCUUAGAGAUGUGAAAUAGUUACUCUUUAGGGUCAAUUUACCAAUACACCUCCUUUUUGUGUUACGUUUGGCCAAUACAUCCCAUUGGUUUAAAAUUUAUUUUUUCUACCUGUUUAACUGAUUGACUCUGUUACAAUAAACAGUCAACUGAGUUUGACUCAGUCAAACCUUUUAAUUGACUUAAUUACCCUUAAAUUUUAAAAUACCUAAAUUGCCCCGAAAUGAUCUAAGCCAUUGUUCUAAAUCUCGUGAGAUCUCGCGAGAUAUCUCGAAAAUGGGAGUGUUCGGCACGAGAUAUUUGUGAGAUCUCAAAUGGUAUGAUAUCCAUACCAACCUUGUUGAUAUCUUCGAGAUCUCGCGAGAAAUAGUGAGAUCUCACGAGAAAUUACGAGAUCUCGCGAGAAAUCAUAUUUUUAGUGUUGAGAUGCUCGAGAUAUAAUGAUUUUAUUUUUUAAAAAUGAUAAAUUUUUUAAAUUUUUUGUGGAGUUAAAUUAAAGGAUUGCUAUCAAAUUGCAAAUAUUAGUUUGUUCAAAAUGAAAUUUUGAAUUUGAAAUCGUGAAAUUCGUAGAAUUCAACUUAUAGAUCUUGUAAUUGACUUAAUAAGCUAAAAAUUAGUUGAAUUUAGGUUAUUGCCCAUAAUUUGUUUAAAUCAAGAAGAAAUCUAUUAAAAUUAAAUUUAAAAAGACUAAUUAGAUAUAAAUAUGUGUCGAAAUAUGCUAAAAAAACUUGUUCAUCUCAACAAAGACACCCGAGAUCUUAAACGAGAUCUCGAGUUUUAGACUUGUCGAGAUCUCGAGGAAUUCGAGAUUUUGAACAAUGAUCUAAACCAUCAAUCCAAUAUGUAUAUUAAGAUCUAAUCUAAGCCGUCGAUACUUAAAAGACUAAGUUGCUAAUUUCUUACAAUCUAAGCCGUCAAUUUAGUUUUUGAUAGAUCUAAUCAUAGAUUGUUACAACAAACAAUACGUUUUCUUCCUCGUUGUAAAACAUUAACAUCACUUGGAGGCUUAUUCCACAACAACAAAUUGAACCUAGCAAUGGUUGAUGUCGAAGUUUCUUCGUCAAAACUUAAGGUAAUUCGUUCUUGUAAGGUCAAUUCGAUGGUUAAUUUCUAAAAUUUCUGAAAUAUAAUUCGAAAAACUGGUUAUUCAAUUUUCUGAUUUCUCAGGUGAAUUCAAAGAGGUGCUAUUAUUGUGGGGAGCUAGGUCAUUGGAAGAAUGACUGUGAUUGGAAAGAUUACUUGUGUGUUCUCUGUAAAAAUCAUCCUAUGAAGCUUUUCACAAGCAAUCAAGAGAACACCAAAGGGGAUAAAGUUUUCAGGUGUGAGUCUUAACCAUUAUGUAAUGGAUGUGAAUGGUUUAGUGCAGCAAAAAAGAAGAAGGAAAAACAAGAGAAAAUCAAAUCAGAUGACCAAGAGAAGAUUACAAAGAAUGAAGGCAGUGUUAUAAAACUAAGGGUCAGUUUGAAAACGAAUUCCCGUUUUGUUAGGUUUUUAGACAAACCGGGCAAAAGUGCGGCAAAUGACACAUUUGCCGGUUCCAUUGGUUUUGAUAAAACUUUCGAUUUUGGCAAAACCUAGUAGGGUUAAGUAGCAAAGUUGAAGGUCCAUUGGGCUGGGUCAAAAAAAACAAGUCCAAACUUGAUUGGGCUGUGUAAAAGACCACGACAAUCCAUUUUUUUCGAACAUUUGUAUUCAAGUGACCACAUAUCACCCAAGUUAUGGUUGAGUCACCCUAGUAACUCAAUAACAUUUAGCAACCAAAAAAAAAAAAACUCAAUAAUAACAUUUGUUAUUUUUGCGUAUGUACAUGUAUUAAAAAAAACACCCAAAUUAACGAAACUAAACAAAAAAACUAUAUCAACAAUAACACACAUAAUAGAUAGAUAAUUAUAUACAUUGAUAUAAACAUAGUUAUAGGUUUCUAUAAAGUUUACAUAAAUAAGUUUUUGAAACUGUUAUCAACACGACCCAUAAGUCAGACUAGAAAAAAAAAACACAAUCAACCUUCUUGCUGAACACAUAACUAGACAACAUAUGGUGAAGCUAGAGUACCACAACCUUCCUCUGGUUCGGUCUGGUCUCUUGUUGGACAUGAUUCGGCUCUCUGAAACCCAGAAAGCCAAGUCCUUGUAGCCGGUACACGCCCACACCAAAGCUUGUCGGGUUAGUGCUCAUCGCAGUGCACAAUCUGAAUUCUCAUCCUCCCCAAUCCGUGUGUGUGACAAAGAGCCCAACACUCGAACAAAAUGGUGUCUCCGGCCUUGAGAUUGACGGCAUCAAUGAAACGCUUCCACCCAUUGUAGCAGAAGUACAAAGAAUCAUGGCCAUCAUGACUAACAUCAACCUUGAAGCUUUGUUCAUCGGGCAGGAUAAACAAGAGGCGCCUGCAUUGUUCGAACAAAUACUUGUUCGCAGCAGGAAUUUUCUGCCAUAUAUCAACAGUAUAUAUCAACAUUGCUAGCCAUAUAUAUCAAACAGUUUUGUCAAACAGUUCUGUCAUAUAUCAACAGUAUAUAUCAACAGUUCUGUCAUAUAUCAACAGUUCUUGCAAUGCACAUAUAUAUCAAACAGUUCUGUCAUAUAUCAACAUUUCUGGCCAUAUAUAUCAAACAGUUCUAGCAAGAGUUUUCUGCACAUGUAACAGCCCAUAUAUAUGUGCACAUUUCUGGCCAUAUAUAUCAACAUUACUAGCCCAUUACUGUGAGGUCCAACUAACAGCCCAAAGCCCAUCAUUUUAAGUAAGUCCAUACAUAAGUUUAGGAUUUUGCUUACCAUGACACAACAGUUGGUCACAUGGCCCUUGCUACACUUCUUGAUCCAGAAGGGAUUAUCUGUCUCAAUUGGCUUUAGUUUAUGUGCCAUUGGUUGGUUCUCUGCAACACAUAUUGCAAUACCCAUAAGUUUACAAAUUUAUUACUCAACAUACGUACACAAUGCUACACAUGAUGAGCAACAAUUUGUUCAAAUUAGACUAGCAAUGUUCCAUACAAAAUAUAAGCAACCAUUUGUGGCUCGACAAUGUUAAUCCGCAACGGCGUAAGUUAUACAAUAUGUUCCAUACACAAGAUAAUUAAUACAAAGCACUUUACGACCAUUACAUGAUACAUAUCAAGACAAAAGUUGUAAAAUUAAACCAUUAAAAAAGAUCUCUUUGGAAGAUAAUGAAUACAAAGCACUUUACGACCAUUACAUGAUACAUAUCAAAACGAAAGUUGCAAAAUUAAACGAUAAAAACCUCUUUGAAGAGGUGUUUGGACACUGGAUAGACAAGGAAGUUUUUGUCCUUAUACUUUGACUCAAAAACACGGAGUCUUGGAGUAGCGAAGCCCAACUGAAAUCGGUGGCUCUAAUUUUGCAUGACAUUGGACACCACUCAAACCCCGGAAGAUUACACAAAGUAUUUAUGUCCAUUGUCAUUUUUUUAAUUGUCUUUAUUCACGCCUUAACAUCAAAUUCGGUGACAUUAGAAGUUGUCGUUCCGGUUCGUAUAGUUUUCGCAACCUCAAUGAGUUCAUUGGUUACAAAUCGGCCAUCGGGUCGACGAAUUCUACCUGUCCUAUCGGAUAGCAAUAUGGUGCACAAAUUGAUAUCCAUAUACGUUGACCAAUGUGGGGGAUUGCCGUUGUUCAUACUUUUUAACAAUUCUGUGAAAGAAAAAUUACAAUACUAUUUUAAAAUGUGUCUUACACAUAACAUUAAAAAUGAAAAUAUGUCUUACAUAUAACAUAAAUGUCUAGUCACGACUACAACAAUCACAAUAAUUGGCACAAUCCCACAUACAUGGGUUGCCUAAGCAGUGCAAACAAACACCAUCAUCAGGUGGUGGGAAAGAAAUGUGCUUCCAAUAAUUUGCACAAUCACCAUGACAAGGGUUUUGAAGACAUUUCGCACAAAUUAUCUCAAGGUCUCCUCCGGAUGGUGGCGAUACAUGGAAUGGAUACAAGAAUCUAAUUCAUGGGCAUGUUUGAUUAGCGCAUUUUGCAAAGCAUACCCACUGCUUGUCAUUGUUCCCCAUUCUCUUGUGCAUUUUCAUCAAACCAUCGCACUCAAGGUUGUCACAAUGCAUGAAUGGUUCGAUUAUUGGCAAACAAGGGAGGAAUUCAAACUGCCCGUAUUGGUUAAUUUUGUAUAAAUUGCACGCUUCUCGGAUCCUUUCAUCUUCGUCAGUGAUAAUAGUUCGUUUUAGGCGGAUGAAGUCUAUUAAACUAACCAAAAGUUUUGUGCACUCCCAAAUGUCUUGAAAUCGACUAGCUAAGUGGCCUAGUUCCUUUCUUUCAACAACUCCCUCCAUCUCGUGAAAACGAGCCGAAAUAUCUGUCCAAUAACUUGUACCAGCAUCAUUAAUCGGAGGACAAGUGUGUAUCGAUACCCAUGCAAAACACAAGUUCUCGUCUUCCUUAGGAGUCCACCACACCAUUAUCUGAGUUUGAUUCUAGUCCUAACAUUGACAAUCCAAAGAUAAUAAAAAUUAUAAUAUUACCAAAACAUUAUACGAACAACAACCAAUAAAUCCACCUACUCAUAGAUAAUUAAUGAAGACAAUUACCACCUACAUAAAGUGUUUCAUAAAACACUUUUUAAACCUCACACAAACACUCGUUGCCUACAAACGAUAUUUUGCUGACAGUUCCAAGUACACCGGGUACGCUGGAACAUACAUGUUUCUAAUGUGUGUGUAAUACUCAGGUAUAUCUUCCUCUAGGGCAAUCCAGUCAUCGUCCGUUGCAAUCACCGUACUUCUUUCAUUGUCCCAAUGAAAUCCUGGAUGCUCCUCACACAACUCAGUGAUAAGUUUAGCCAAACGUUUCAAAUUGCGCAAACGAGCCCAGAUGUUUUCAGCACACAAAUCCAGCCUAGUGUGCUGAUUUAAAACAUCAGAAGCCUUUACCAUUCCUGAUCUAAGACGAACCAUAAGUGGACAUGGUGUAUCGUCUGCCAGCAUAGCAGUGCACAUCGUGUGGUCCGUAUCUGGAGUCCACGCGAACAAACGACGUCCUAAACGGGGAUUUUGGUUUGUGAAUAAUUUGCACCAUUCCCACUGACUAAAAUAAUCACAAUUAUAAUUAAACACAACGCAACCACAUUGACAACAAAAUAACAUGGACAUCCCAAGAAAUAUAACACGUAAAUUAUAGACAUUCAGAUUAAACCAUUCUGACAAUCCAAGUUAAAAGAAAUAGAUACAUAAAAGUUAUUGAAAACAAUGUUUAACCGUCACAUCUGACCAGACCCUUCAAAGUUAAAAUAAAGUUAAACCAGCGAACUGAAACAAGAUUACUAUUGUUUGAAGCCCACUCACUGAAACUGAAACAAGUUAACCAGCAAACUGAAACUGAAACAAGAUUACUAAAAUAAAGUCACAUCUGACCAGACACUACUCCGCAGCCCACUCACUCCCAUUAAAAGGCUUAACAUAAUUGAGCUUGCUAACCAACCAAUCAAGCCUCAGAUCAGUAUCUAUCCCAAGAAAUAUCUUCGCUUGCUUGUUUUCAACGCCAAGAAAGUCAAGACCCUUCAGAUACAAUACUCUGUCCCCAUUGCUUACCUCUUUUGAUUGCAUCACACAGCUCAUCGAUAUUAGGAUCAGCAAAUGCCACUGCCAAGGUCUUAACAGCUUCCAUGAUGCCCGCAGCAUAAUCAGAGUUACUUGGAUCUGAUGGUCCCAAACGUGAUUUCUUGCGCUUAUUCUGAAUGGGUUGCACUGGGGUGGAAUUGGGUGCGCACGAGGGGCAGAUUCAUUGCAGUUGCUAGAGCUCUCAUUGUUUGUUGCAGUAGCAGAUGCAGAUGUUUCAUAAGAUCCAAUACCAGCACCAACAUCAUCCCCCAAUUCAGUAUACGAAUCAGCCCCCACUACAUCUGUUUAUUGUGUAUAUUUCGUGAGUGAGUGUAUAGGUUUUAACCGAAAGCUUUGAAAAUACAUUUUUUAAAGGAUUUUAGCUUACCGGCUACUCCAGGAGACCCCUCAACUUGUUCUUCGUCAACUUCAUCACCAGCGCAUGCCCCUUCACCAUUUGCAUAGUCGUUACCGAUGAUGAGGCUCAAUUGUUCAAAAUAUGGAAAAUGCUUGCCACGAAGGUUACGGGCAUCAGGAUGUGAGAAACUACAAAUAGUGCUAGUAUAACAAAUGUGAAUUCAAACAAGCAAUCAAACAAUACGCAGAAAGUAAAUAACACACAGAGAUUUUUAACGUGGUAAAACCCAAACAGGGAAACGUCCACGGUUGUCCUCGCGACAACAAAAUAAUCCACUAGAUGAAAAGAGAUGUACAAACCUAUCAACUACCUGCACUCACUGCGAGUUGAUACUCCUGGUUAUCUCUAACACCUUGACUUCACCAGAGCACCUUGAUGUACGCACAAGACACUCGACUUCUUGAUGAACACACAAGAAGACUCGAAGCCGAAUUCACAAUAACUCUUGAAGAUCACAAAGAUAUGAAUUUAGAAAAGGGGGAAGAAAGGGAAUUGAGUUCAAUAGCCACAAACACUUUCAAUAUCAAAAACCUAACCAAAACACAUGAACUAGAAGAAGAAUGGACGGCCAAAGAACUAACUUGUUCUUUGGAAGAGAAACCCUUUUUAUACUUAGGGUUGGAAACCAAGGAAAAUGGGCCGAAACAGUGCAAACCGACUUUGGACGUUCGUACGUCGAUAUGACGUUCGAACGUCGCCACACAAAAAUAAGCCUGCUGCCUACCAUGACGUACGAACGCUCUAACUCGGUACGUACGUCUCCACACGAAACACGUCUGCUGCCUACUUGGAUGUACGAACGUCCUAACUGCGUACGUACGUCCUGACCAAAAGAUGUUUGCUGCUUCAGUGAACGUACGUACGUCCUAACUCGGUACGUACGUCCAGAACCCUAUAACUUUUACUGGACAGACCUAAGAGACACAAGGACACGAGACGACCAUGCGUACAUCUUGAUUUUCCUAACAAUGAUUUCAAGGCGAGAUAACCAAGGACACUUUGUCACAAAAUUGAUGUCAAACCACUUCGUGCCGGUUUCAGGAUGAGCCUGUAAAGCACCCAAAAAAGCUUUACCAUCCUAUAGCACAUCAUUUUACUAGCUAAUUGAUCAAAUUGAUAAAAGUUCGUGCCUUACCAGAAAGUAACGCUCCCAUACAUCCUCUUCGGCAGCAACAACAGUCUUGUUAUUAAAAUUAAAGGUAAAUCCAAAGCCCGACAAAUCCAGAAGUUUUUUACACAACUUGUAGUCCUUCCUAAGUGUCUUGACCCUAGUCCGUACAUGUUUAGAAGUGACACUCAUGCGUAGGGUUGUAUUGAUACUGUCUGCAGCUGCUUUCAAAGAUUCAGUCCUUAUUCCAUUAUCAGCUCUCUUGUCAUUCCUUAACACCUCUUCAUACAAGGUGUUUAGCAUGACCUCUUCUAUCUUUUUGGACCAUCUUAUAUGGGACUUAGUCGAUGGAGUUGGCUUGUCAGAUGGAAAGUAUUCUGGUGCCGGUGCAGCAUUGCCUUUCUUGGUCUUUCUAGACUUCCUAAAUUGUCCGCUCGACAUGGUUUUACCUGAUGAUAUCCAAAUUCACAACUAUUACAUACAUCAACCAACCAUUUAAUCCAAAAAAAUAUCAUCUUAAACAACAUACAUACAUCCAAACAUAUCAUCUUCAAACAACCAUACAUAACAUUGUUCAUAACAUCCAAGACAAAUUAUUCAAACUUAUUACAACCAAUAAAAUUAUUCCAAACAACUUCUCAAGUUGACAAAUACAACACCACCAAGCUCACUCAGCAACCCCUUCAUUGUAAUGAACAUAGUUACUCCACAUCUCAUUUUUUACCUCAUCACGCCAUUUAGUCCAAGCCCGUGAUGCAGUUAUGAGUAUGUCUCCACCUUGUUCAUUAGCACCAUCAUUCGCCUCGGGGGGAAUCGGUUCUUCUGGUUCCUCCAAGUCUGGCUCUAUUUCAUCGGUUGGAUCAUGAUCUUUGAGAAAGUUGUGGAUCGCACAACACGCCAAAACUAUCUUUGUGUGGGUCUUCACAUCAUGGAACGGUACGCGCUUUCCUCAAAUAAGCGAAUCGCUUCUUCAACACCCCUAUGAUCCUCUCAACAACGUUGUAGAAUGGAAUGCCGGCAGUUGUACAACUCUUUAUCAGUUUCUACGGCGCGAUGUCCUUGUUCUUUGACAUGGUAUCGGACGCCACGAUAAGGUGUGAGGAAGCCAGGACUUAAUACGAAGCCCGCAUCCGCAAGGUAAUAUUUACCCUUGGCCAAGGUUAACCGUCUUCCUUGGCGAGUAACCGCACAUCUCAACAACCGACCAUCAUGCGCUGAGCCUUCCCAUCCAACCAGAACAUAAGUGAAUCUCAUGUCGAACGUACACGCGACUAGAACAUUUUGAGAAAUCACUCCCUUCCGGUUACGAUACCUUGGCUGAUCAUUGGGGCACUAAGGUGGGAAAGUGGGUACCAUCGAUUGCACCGACAGCGUCCUAGUGAAGAUAUGACCUAGUUAGUAAUCGAAUAAUUUGAUUCUAGGGUGAUAAAACACACGAUAAUUUUUCUAACCUUGAAAUACUUAUGCCAAAAGACAUUGCCAGGACCAUCAGCGAAGGGCGAGUUCUGAUCAGUAGCAUUGACAACCACUUGCCUGUACAACUCUACGCAAGCAUUCAAGACCAAGUGGAAGUAAUGACUCACAGUCUGACCAGAACGCCUAAACUCGUGACGUGUUCUUCUACACCGAUUGUCGUGACCAACUAUAAGCAAAAACAUUGCAACUUGUUCUUCAACCGACACGUACCGAGAGUCGGUUAAACCUAUAGUCUUCAACCUAGCACAUAAGCGAUGGAAUGCAAAACGCCUCAUCCUCAAUUGGUUAUGGCAGUCAUUGUCAUUAUCGGUAUAGAAACGAGCUAAAGUUGCGCCUCGCGCUGAAUCCCUAUUGUAGGUAUAGGGAGCCCUAGGAACUCUAGGAAUGCGGUUACGUCUUGCGUUCGAGGCAAGAUAUUGCAAUAACCAGUCCACAGCUACAAUUACAACAGUAGCUGUAACCAGACGUUGAUCCUCACUGGACAUUCUACAUAACAAGCGGUCGGUAAGUAUAAUAAUAAGGUUAAUCAUUUAAGUAGUUAGAAGAAGGUUAAUCGUUAAUCGUUAAUCAUUAGAGUGGUUAGUAGCGAUUAUAUCAAUUCGUAAUUGCUUAGAACAUUCUAAUUCAUAAUUUAACAAGGUCAUAAUUGUUAAUAAUGCCUUUUUAAUCAAACAUUAUAAUAAAUGGUUAAUUUUUACAUCAUCAAAUUUAAUAAAUUCUUUACAUAGAAUCUCACAGUACGAAUAACAACUUAAUCAACAGUGCAAUUACAACAACUAGCAUCACCAACACCAACUUCUUGACAAACCACCAAAAGUCGUCCACCACCACAACAUUGUUUGUUCCACCAAUGUUUAAGGGUUGACCACCAACUAGUGGAGGUACAGGUGCCUGAGAUUGAGCGACAGAUUGGUAAGAUUGACCAGAUUGCUCGGGCAGUUGUGGCGCAUGAAUAAAAGGCUGGGACAAAAGAUGUUGGGGAUCACAUAUAGGACGAGAUGAUUGACAGAAUCCAUUCGUAAGUUGUUGCUGAAGCAAAUGUCUUACUUCAGCAAUAGUAUAAGCACCACGCCAAUCAGUGUUACUAAAUCCGUCUGUCUGUGCCUUGCACUCUUCCCAAGUAGUGUAGAUACCCGAACAAAACCCACGGCGCACAAUGUAAUAACAAUACUUACCCAUUAUCUGAAAAUUAUUAAUUAAAAUGUUUUUAACAGGAUGGGUUAUCAGAUUUCAAUUUAUGAAUUCAUAUUUCAUUUUGUUUUUUAAUUAUUAGAAUAUAAGAGGUUUAUUUUCAGGUAUAGUUGUCGCAAUCACAUAUACUAUGUGAUUGCGAACAGUUCUAAUAAAUAGUGUAAAUAGUGUGAUUCUAAACAAUUCUAAAUAGUGUGAUUUUAAACAGUUCUAAUUAUUCUGAUUCUAAAAAAAUUAAAUAACCAUGGCAACAAUAUAUUAGUCUAAAGAAUUGAUACUAAAAAUAUGGCAGCAAUAAAUAGUUAACAUUUAUAUGCUAAAACAAUUACAAUAUAACAAAAUCACAACAAAAAAUUGUGAUAAUAUAUCAGCAUUUAUUAUGUCAGAACGGAAAAACAACCAACCUUGAGCAGCUAAGCUAGACAGUAGCGAGACAACGAACGACGAGAGAAAGCGAGAGACUGGAAGGAUGAGAGAGCAAAGCUGGCAAAAAUUAUAUACAUUAAUACAUUGUUUAGAACCAUAUUCAAAACAUUGUUAAAAAACUCAUACCUGGUACUGAGAGUGAGGUAGAUGAAAAUGAAAGUCUGCAAAAAAUAAAAACGAUAUAUCAAUCGUUGUUGUACAACAAAUAUAAUUUGAAAAACAACGUCUAAAAAAAUAAAUAUAUAAAUAGUGUCAAACAAAUAGAGCCAACCUGACACAAAAGAAACCCGUCUGCAAAAUAAAAACAAGUAUCAACAAAUCAUUACAGUAAUGGAAUCCAAGUAAUGUAUUCAAUAGGGUUUCAAAAAAUUAUUAAAUUUAAUUAUGUUUGCAAUAUUAUACUCAUUUUUCAAACAUACAUUAAUAAUAUACUGCAUUAUACUUAAAACCCCCAAAAUAUAAUUUUUCAGACAGAUCCAAUAACAUAUCAAUUGAAGUGAAUUUGUGUGCAAAUUACAUUGAAACAAUGUUAUAUCAAAAAACCCCUAAAAUCUAGGGUUAGGGUUUGAAAAAAAAUUAAAAUUUUAACAAAUCAACACCUAAAACUUAAAAUUACAGUCCAUUGAAGUCAAUUUGUGUUCAAAUUACAUUGAAACAAUGUUGUAUAAAAAAAACCCCUAAAAUCUAGGGUUCGUGUUUGAAAAAAAAAAUUAAAAUUUUAACAAAUCAGCACCUAAAACAUAAAACUACAGUCAAUUGAAGUGAAUUUGUGUUCAAAUUACAUUGAAACAAUGUUGUAUAAAAAAACCCCUAAAAUCUAGGGUUAGGGUUUGAAAAAAAAAAUUAAAAUUUUAACAAAUCAGCACCUAAAACUUAAAAUUACAGUCAAUUGAAGUGAAUUUGUGUUCAAAUUACAUUGAAACAAUGUUGUAUAAAAAACUCCCUAAAAUCUAGGGUUAUGGUUUGAAAAAAAAAAUUAAAAUUUUAAUAAAUCAGCACCUAAAACUUAAAAUUACAGUCAAUUGAAGUGAAUUUGUGUUCAAAUUAUAUUGAAACAAUGUUGUAUAAAAAAAACCCUAAAAUCUAGGGUUAGGGUUUGAAAAAAUAAAAUAAAAUUUUAACAAAUCAGCACCUAAAACAUAAAACUACAGUCAAUUGAAGUGAAUUUAUGUUCAAAUAACAUUGAAAUAAUGUUGUAUUAAAAACCCUAAUAAAAUUCUAGGGUUAGGGUUUGAAAAAAAAUUCAAAUUUUAACAAUUCAGCACCUAAAACUUUAAUUCGAUGCAAUUGAAGUCAAUGUAUGUUAAAAUUAAACCGAAAUUAUUGUAUAUUUCAACAGUUCAUCAUCAAAAUUUCAAACAGUUCAAAUGAAGAAGUGAAAUGAAGAAGAAGAACUAAAGAAGUUGAAAUCUUUACCUUUUACGAAGAACUAGUAGAAAAAGAAGUGAAAUGAAGUUAAUCGCCUUCGUCUUCACAAUCGCCACCCUUGCGCCGCCAUGAAAGAGUUGUUCGCUGUUUAGAAGAAUAGGGUUUUUUUGUGUGGAAAAAUAAUAUUUAUACCUGGCAAAUUUUACCAGGUUAAGUGGCAAAGCAAAUUUUGCCUGGGGUUGAGUCAAACAAAAUUUGUCCGCCUUGAAGCGGGAAUUGGGGCAAAUUUGUGGUCACGUGCGGGUAUUGGGGCAAAUAAUGUCGGAUCACCCACGUGUGUUAUCAAACGGUGACAAACACCAAAAAAGCGGGCAAAACCCAAUUUGCCGCAGGAAAACGCUGUUAUCAAACACUACCUAAGAAUUGAAGGCAAGCUUGGAAUGACAGCUGAAGGGUCUGCAGAAGAUAUGGGUAUUUUAAAAUUUAGGGGUAAUUAGGUCAAUUAAAAGGUUUGACCGAGUCAAAAUCAGUUGAUUGUUUGUUGUAACAGAGUCAAACAGUUAAACAGGUGGAAAAAGCAAAUUUUAGACGAAUGGGAUGUAUUGGCCAAACGUGACACAAAAAGGGGGUGUAUUGGCAAAUUGACCCUACUUUUUAUCGAAAACUGGAUCCAGUUUUCAUGACAAAACUGGUAUGUAGUGAAAUAUGGCUCCCUUAGGCCUUACCAUCAAAGGACUUUCAUUUUAUUUGUUGUGGAACUUAUGAAAAUGAUAGGGCAGAGUCUCAAAGAUUGUUUCAUUUGAAACUGCUCGAUCGGUAGAAGUUUUACAAGUCAGAAGUCCCUAAAUGUUGUUACACUAGAGUGGAUUCGUUACAUGAUAUAGAAGGUUGUCCAUCUCUUGUGGUGCGAAAUAAGGAGGUACAAAGUCGUGAGUUAUGUCAAUGAAAUAUUUGGGUUCUAAAGGAACUAAACCGGGGAGAAUAGCAUUGGCACAAGCUAUACAGUGUGAACCUCAUAGCAUAUGGUAAUAGAUUUCCGCAGUGAUGGGAUUAUUCAGAUGUUCUUGCUACUCUAGAAAAAUGGUAGAUUCUUCAUCUUAUGAAGUUGGGAAGAAAAUAAAAAUGUAUAGUCUGUUCAUUAUGUUCAACUUCAGCAGUUAACAUCUUUAAAACUCGAUCAAGCCACAAGUGACAUAUGCUUUCCUACCUCAUGUUCAGAGCCUCAUUCCCUGCCCAAAUUCUUGAGGAUAUACGCCACUCUAUUACAGUAGUUAGUUCUUUUUUUCUUUUUUCUUUUUUGAUUAUUAUUAUUGGAAAAAAAAAGAGACUAUAUUGGUGUGAUGUUAGUAAUUUGUGAGACGUUGUCUUAAUUUCUUAGCUACAAACUAAUGUAAUUAAAUUGCACCCAGGAAACAAUUUAGAAGUUUCAAAAUGCUAUUAACAGAGAAAACAUAUGUAUUAUUAUCCAUAUGAACAAGUACCAGAGGAUGAUACUACAACAAAAACACACAUAUCUACGCGUAGUAUAGACCGAUGCAGAUCAAUCUUUUCCACUUCUAUCCAUAUUGAUCUCAUAGAGAAUAACAAUCAAAGCAACGAUGAAAGCAUAAUCGAUGUUUGGGUAGACAGUCACUCCGAAUGAAUCCUUCCCAAACAAUACACUCUGGAUAUUAUAUUUCUUGUGCAUCUGCAUCAACAACAUUAUGCCAUAAAAAAAAAUUGAGAAUUGAAACUAUAUAUAUUCCACGAACAACUCUAUAAGCCUAUAUAAAUUACACACGAAACAAAAACAAAUUAUGUAUGUCUUACUUGAGCUAGGAUGUUUUUAGUAUUUCCAUGAUAAACAACACAUGAUCUUUCACCCCAGCUUCCUUUGAUCUUGAAAUCGCAUACAUCCUUUGUGGUAUUUGAUGCAAGAAACACAUGUAAGUUUGUCGUAAACUGAAUUAUAGAAGACUUUUUCACACUAAACAAUAGCUCUGUACUCUCUCCCCUGUAAACUUCCCACCUUCUAUGCGCAGUUAACGUCUGAAACAUAAUCAAAGUGAAAUGAAACUAACCUUAUAACCAGAAAGAAUCACGCAAAAAGCAAGAAUCUAAUCUUCACACACGGUUAAUGAAAUCAGGUGAAAGACUUAGAUCCAUAUAACAUUGUCAAAUUUAAUUUCAGUCCACAAACAAUAGUUCUAACUUCUAAGAAUGCUGUUUGUGGGAAAUCUCUUUACAGAAAAUAAUGGUUUUAAGGUUGAUAAAUCACCUUUUGGCGUAAAGUGACGAGAGGGUUGCCUGCAACAUCGCGAAGCACACGCUUAUCGAAAAGGCUAAACAUAACGCCUUUUACCUGGAAGAUGAUGUUUCCAUUUACGUCAGUAACAGUAAAGUUACCUUCUCCAAUGGACAGAGAUUUCUCGGAAAUGGUAAGAUCUACUGGGUAUGGCGCGCAGAAUUGUUGUCCAAUUACGGUGACUGGACAGCUUGCUAAUGGAGGAGGGGGGGUUGGGUUAGGCAUAGGUUGACCUGGGAAUGGGGCAUACCCUGGUUGUUGAGGUUGGGGUGCCAUUGGCAUUGGGGGAUAGCCUGGUUGUUGGUGUUGGGGUGCCGAGGGGUCAUAGCUUGCUUGUUGUGGUUGAGGCGUGGAGGGGUCAUAACUUGGUUGUUGAGAGUAGGGAACCAAUGAAUAGUUUGGUUGUUGAGGAUGGGGCGUGGAUGCCAUGGAGGGGUCAUAACUUGGUUGAUGAGAGUAGGGAACCAAUGCGUAGUUUGGUUGUUGAGGAUGGGGCGCCAUGCCAAAUGCAAAUGGGGUAUGGUUUGGCCGUUCCAUAGCCAUGGCGCCCAAAAUUACUCUCUCCCCAAGAUUGUUUUUGGUUCACCGGAACUAUGGUGGGAUCUGAGGGAAGAGAGUGGAACUAUGUAUCCAAUAAACCAUGAAUGAAGAGCAAUUCAUAAAUAUAUAUCCUAUUCAUGUGGGAGGUUAGAGACUGUUUUUCCUAGCUAUUUUUGCAUGUUCCACCUGUGAGGUACGUACUCAAUACCGAUCUCAACUACUCCUGUUUUGUAGCACUGAACAAUAAGUUUAGUUAUUCUGGUGGAAUCACAUAUUAUGGUUCUGAUUUCUUAAUCAAAUAACCAAAUGUAAAGCAGUAAAGGCAUCAAGAAUAGUGGCUCUCUUCACUCUCUGUAUGACUGUAUCUUUCAGAACACACGGAUUACAAGUAAUUGAAUAACUUUUAUAAUUUAUACUACUAUCUGAAUGACUUCGGGAUUUCUUGGUGAAAGGAAGCAAAUGUGGUGUAUCAGGCUAGCAGCAUAAGAAUGCAAGAAAAGCACAAGGAAAGUGCCCUUCUACAGAGCAUUCAGACUCGAGAUUGUAGAGAAAGGUGAGGUAUUCCACUUGUCAACUGUAUUGAAAUGAAUAGCCAAUUGAUUGAGCCUUUUGCAUACAUGUCUCUCUAAGCAACUAAUUCCCUUGGUCUGAUUCCAGCCUAGAAAUCCAUCAUUCAUAAUAUUGGUAAAAACAAAUAGAGUAUGAAACACAAUUAUUGCUAUCUAAUGAAACCUGAAAGUUCGGAAGGCAUUUUGCAAACUUAGUUCUUGGCAUCAUGCAAAAAAUUGCAGAAUGCAGAGCAUGACAUAUCUCUGUAAUUGGAACAUCUGUACUCUUCUAAAAUGGACCUCUGUUAAAUUAGAGGCUUACCAGGUGACCAGAGUACAAGAAACUGGGUUGUGUGAAAAAACAAAUGAAACUUGAUCAGGAACUCGAUCUUCAAAUUCCAGUUAGUAUUGAAAACAUAGAUGCAACUCUUAGCACAUUGGUUAUUUUGACAAUGAAAUCAGAGCAUUUAAUUAUAAUUAUUAAGACUUUAUAUUUCUCAGUUUAUACUAAUUCGCUUAAUAUAAUCAUGGUAGGACAAUCAUCAUGAGAAAUUUUAUUAGUAUAAUUUAUAACAUCCGUUCUCUUGCCAACCGAAUGGCCUGCCUUCUCUUAGGGUCAUCUAAGUUAGCUGACUUUAUAUUCUGCGCAGGCACGCAGUCAUCUAAGUUUGUCUGGUGAAUACUGAGAAAUGUAAAGUCUGCUUCUUCAAACUUAGAUGACUGCAUGCCUGCGCAGAAUAUAAAGUCUGCUAACUUAGAUGACCCAAAGAGAAGGGAGGCCAUUCGGUUGGGUUACAUUCCAGGCUUGCAUGUUGGGUUCACAGAGUGAAGGCACACAUAGUGUAUGUAAAAUUCUUAUAAAACUGUUUCAUGUUCGCAAGACAUAAUUCAACAGUUCAUGUAAUCGGCUAUCAAAUUCAUUACAAACAAGUCUAACAAAAACCUUUACCAUCAAUAUAUCAAAUUCUUUCAAGAACAUUAUCUGUUAAGCAAAUAUGAUUGUGAAUUGCAAAAGAUACACAUGCAGUAGAACAAUCCGCUGUACAGAUCCCUAUGAAUAACCUUAAAUCUCGAUAAUUGCAAAAUUAAAAAAAAAAAAAAAAAGACUUGCCUCAAAGGAAGUCCAAUGCUUGUAUGCGAAAUCUAGGAGGGGUGUUGAUUAUUGUGACAAAGUAACACUGGAGCUGGUUAAAUGAAAAAGCUUGGGCUCAACAGAAAUCAAAAGCAGAUACAACGUUCGAGAAGGAAGGAUUUAACUUCCUACAAGUGCCUGAAGUAGAGUUUUUCUCUCUCCCUAAACCAAGAGCCAAUCUCCUUUUCUUCUUGUUUAUAGACCCUUCACUCCGUGAAUCCAACAUGCAAGCCUGGAAUUUCAUGGCCCGUGAAGAAGGCAUACUCCUUGUCAACCGAAUGGCCUCCCUUCUCUUAGCGUCUUCCAUUGCUUUGUCAACUACUUUAGCAGAUGGUGUCUGCUUCUUCAAACUUAGAUGACUGCGCGGAAUACUGUAACUGUCCUCUGUGAAUAUAGCAACACAUAUUGUUAAUUUUCUACUUCUGAGACAACAAUAACUAUGAAAAGGAAGUCAAGUAUUAUUAUAAAAUAAUAUCUUUACCGGGUGGAUCUUUAGCGUAAAUCUCUGGGCUAGGAGGCGGUGAGGGGCAAGCAGGCAUCUCAUUAUUUUUCUCCACUACUGACUCAUAUUUACUUCUUUUGGGUGGUGGUGGUGUUUGAGGACAGACCUCAACAUUUUUACUAGCUUUUUCAUGCUCAUUGCAGAAAGCAUUUACUGUAGCAGGGCUUUUCUCUGCAUCAUCUUCAACUCUAGUGAUAUUACUUGCUUCAACAGGGAGGGUAGAACAGGUGCGCACAUCAUCAAGGACAGAAUUUGGUGAAGUGACAACACACUGCUUCUGGAAUUCCAUUAAAGUUGAAAACCAUGGCGUACCCUUCUUCACAUAGAAUAAAAUGUAUGCCUCCUGGGAAAGAACAAACUCUUCUGAAACCAUCAUUACCUACAAAUAUGAAACUUCUAUUGGUUAGAUAUUCCUACCAUUCCAAUUUAUUGCUUUCAAACCAGUACAUUCUUCGAUAUUGCUUACUAGACGUGAGAAAAACAACAAACACCAAUUUCUAUUGUGAUAGUUACCUGAGAGUCAUCCAAUCUGUGCCACUUUUGCGGAGAAGAACGAAUGAAGCAGUAGUAAUGGCCAGAGUUAGAAGAAAGGCCAGUAUGGACUACAACCCCGUAUAAUUCAUACUUUAAAUCAACCUAAGAAAAAAAAAAGAAUCAACCUAUGUCAAUAUAUACAAAAUAUCAAAAUUUACAUCAAACAAAAUGCAGGCAACACAAAAGUCAACAAUGUCCACAUGGCAAACCAAAUAAACAUUGGAACACCUCUUCAAGCAUUACAGUUUCCAAUGCUGAGAAAACAGGUGAUAAAAAUUAUUGGUCAAGGACCUCGAAUCAGAACAUCUGAAGUAGACAGAUAAUUGUGAUUAUCUACUUAUGCCAUAAAAGGUAGUCCCCAACCUUUUUUAGUGUAGGCAUGUGUUUUUGCUAAUUUUGAAAACCCAAAUUCUACAUAUCCAGCUUUAUGAUUCAUUAUUGAAAGAAGGUAGGACUAUAACUCACUUCAGCGUUCUCUUGGUUGCUCCUGUAGGGAAGUAGGUCUAGUUCCAGUGGAAAGUCCACAUGCUUGUCAAUCUUGUCCACAUAAGAGCCAUAAUUUUUAAAUCUCUUUAAAUGUAAUGCCGCAACAGUAGGGGUCUUUUCCACUGUAAGCUGCUUCUCUACCAAUACUUCUUCCUUACAAUUUUCACAAGGACUCUUUUCUUCAAGUUUUUCAACUUUGGUGAAGGACUCGAGAGCAGUUGGAAGGCUAUCAACAUCCUCAAUUUCCAAGCUAAGAUCAAUCCACGGCUCAAAAGUGUCUGAACAAUGACCACAGCUACAACAUCGAAGCUGAAAAUCCAAACCAAGUAGGAUACACGUAUUAUAAAUUUAUAAGAAACACAUUAUGCAUAGGAAUACAAGGGAUGCUGGGAAGCAACAGUUUAUCCCCUGUGCAACCCAAAAAAAUAAUAUUGAAUACCAAUAUAGGUUAUCCUUACCAAGACUAAGUAUAAUUCAUAACCCUCAGAGAUUGCAUCUUUAUAAACUAAAACAUUUCGGAAAAUCAAAAUGGAUCCAUAGGGGAAUAAGGAAUUUUAAAUUUUAAGGCAGGUAUUGACGUAUGUAUAUUCAUACUGAUCUGGACAUGCAAGACUACAUUAAUUGAUGAAUAUAAGAUUGAUAGUACGCAAUUAGUUUCCCCCUAUAGAUAUUGUGCAACACAAGUUAGAUUUAAUGAAUGUCAUACCUGGCUUCUAAGACUACCACCAAAAAUUUUCUUUACAAUACUCUCCUCUUCAUCAGAGGAACUCUGCUCUUUCGCAGUCUCAUUUACACCAUAGCUAUCUAAUUUAUCCAACAAGCACUGCAGGAAUUCAUGGGCGUCUUCCUGCUGAUAUCUCCGAAAAGAUGACGAUAAUUCUGAUAGUAUCAUGGUCAAGAAAACACAAAAUUGGAAAUAAUUAAAAAAAACUAUUCAACAACAAAUCACAUAAUAAAUGAUAAAAAUAUCCCAAUUUUGAUAAUUAACAAAUGAAUUAAGAUUUACAUAAUUAGAAGUAAAAGAAUACCAUUUAAAUUAUAAACAAAUUUCUGCGGCUCAAUACUUCUUCCAGAUGAAGACAAGGAAAGCUCAAUAUGAUCCCUUAGAGCACAUAAAACACAAAAUCCUUCACUAUUACCUACAAACAAAUAAACAAACAAACCCCAAGUUAAAAAAAAAAACCCUCAAAACCAAUUAAAAAAAAAAAAUCCCAAAUUUCAUAAAAACAAAAAAACUUACGAUGACAAGGAGUGGGGUGAUGACAAGAACGAAGAAUCUGAACAAAAGGAACAGUAUGAGUGAAGCAUUGAAGAAUAGCAUUAAGAAAACAAGUGUUGCCCAUGUUAUUAAGACCAGCACCCAUUCCUGUUGGUUCAUCAUCAUAUCUUCUAUUAUUAAAAGAAGAAAACCAAGGUGAAUAGUAACAAGAAGACGAAGAAGAAUUGUUGGUUUUCAAGAAUAAAGGAGGAGAUGUUGGUGAUGAUGAUGAUGAUGAUGAUUUCUCAAAUUCGGGUGUGAAAUCAAAUGGGUCUUCAGGAAGUUUUAUUGGUGAUGUAAAACUUGGUAGAAAUGGAUCUUCUUCCAUUCUUGAUUACUUGUUUGUUUGUUUGUUUCUUCUUGUUUAAUUAAUUUAACAAAUCAAGAAGACGAAGAAGAAGGAAAAGGUUUCAAGCUUCUCUCUCUCUCUCUCUCUCUCUCUCUCUCUUUCUUCUAGGGUUUUUGUUGAUUUGGAAUUUUGGAAUUUUUAGGGAAAUGAGAGGGAAAAAAUUUUAGGGUUUUAAUUGGGGAAAAGUUUUUGGGAAAUUUGGGAAUAAGGAGGGAGACUGGAGAGGGAGAUUUCGUUUUUGUCGUUUUCGAUUUUGAAAAACGAGAGGGAAAAAUAUUCGUUUAGAUAAAAACUACUGCCACGCGGCAUAGUAUUACUUGCCGUUAAUAGGUGAGUGCAAUCAAGCAACCCAUUUAAAGAGGUGCACGCAUCAGCAACGUACCACCUCUGGGCCUCCACAAAUAAUGGACCCUAUCUAAGAUUCAGCCCAAAAUAUAAACACAUGUCAGAGUAUCAGAAUUAAAGGUCUGUUUGGGAACUUUAAAGUUGAGGAAAGGAAAAAAAAUUUAAUGGAAUGGAAGGAAUGAAAUCCUAUGUUGCUUUACAAAAAAAUCAUUCCUUUCCUUUCCUUAUUUUUCGGAGGGGAAGCUAGGAAGAAGAAAUUGGAUUAAAACUUUUUCCUAAGAAAAUCUUUCUAUUCCUUAGUUUUUCUUAACCACCUAAACAAACCAAGAAAUUAGGAGUGUAAAUUUGGAAUGGAUUAUUGUAGUUCCGAUUUUUAAUUUUUUCGAAAAAAGAUGGAAUAAAAUUGGAACUACUUCUGUGAAUCCGAUUCGAUUUUUCCGAUUGUUAAUCCGAUUUGAUUUUUUGAUAAAUAUUUCAAAAAUUUUGAUAAUUUAAGAGAUUUAACUAUUCUCAUUUUUGAAAAUAUAUGUACAUAUAGACAUAAAAAUAAUAUACCAAAUUUAAAAUCACAUGAGCACUCAAUAACAAAUUAUAAUUAUUAAUUAGUCUCAAAUCUUAAUGUAAUCAAAUAUUAAUAUAUGAUUCAAAAAAAAAAUGUAAUAGUAUAAUUAUGUUUUAUAAGGUACUAUACUCAAAAACUUUGAUCCAUCGUAUUAGGAUGGUAUGUUACUAUGUUAGAUAAAAACACCCCAAUAAGUAAAUCAACUCAGUAUAAAGAGUGGAUUUUCAAGUUUCCAAAACGGAUCAUGUCCACGAUUUUCGAUUUGGAAUUUCAAUCAAUUUCGAUAUAUUUUUAAGUUGGAAUUCCGAUUGAUCCGAAUUUAUUUUUUUUUCUAUUUUUUCCGAUAUUCCGAAUAUUUCCGAUAUUCCAAAAUUGGAAUAAAUUUUGUUGUUCCGAAAAAACAUGGAAUGGAAUUGGAAGAAAUUUUUUGAUUCCGAUUUAUUUUUUCUGAACAUGCCAUUUUCGAUCCGUUCCGUCCGAUUUCCACCCAUACAAGAAAUAGAUCGAAGUAGACCAUUCCUUAGUUUUUCUUUCCUUUCCCUUACUUCAUGAAUUCCCAAAAAGACACUAAGGCCAUGUUUAGUUUUCUAGAAAAUGUUUGGGAACUUUCAAGUUGAGGAAAGGAAUUUUUUAAUGGAAUGGAAGGAAUGAAAUCCUAUGUUGCUUCACAAAAAAUCAUUCCUUUCCUUUCCUUAUUUUUCCGAGGGGGAAGUUGUGAGAAGAAAUUGGAUUAAAACUUUUUCCUAAGAAAAUCUUUCUGGAUUCAAAGGUUUUUGAAUUCCGGGAAAGUAUGUAUAAUUACCUAUAUUUUUGGAGAAAAAUCUUGAAAGCAGAUUCCAUCCUAGUAUAGAAUUAAGGAAAGUGGUUUCCAUAUUAUAAAUAUGUAACCCUUUCUUCCCCGGCCAUCUCCCUUUCUUUCCUCCUCCACUUCUGAACUCUUCAAUCACAAUAUUACCCCCGAAUUCAAAUUCUGGGAACUAAACACAACCUCUAUUCCUUAGUUUUUCUUAACCGCCCAAACAAACCAAGAAAUAGAUUUAAGUAGACCAUUCCUUAGUUUUUCUUUUCUUUCCCUUAUUUCAUGAAUUCUCAAACAGACACUAAGCUUUUCAGUUUUUUUGUUUGUUGAGUUUCACUUAGUGCAAUAGAGUUAUACUUGGAGGCAUUUAUUUGGUUGGUCACGAGACACCAAUUUCUUAGGCAUUUAUUCUUUGUUACUCUCUCACGCCCCUCCCAUAUAGGAUGGUUUGUGUUUUUCACACAAAUUAAGAAAACAUAAUUAAUAGUGUGGAAGUAAUUAAUUUUGGUACUCCCUCUGUCCCUCUUUUAUAGGUUGAUGGGUGUUUUUCACGCAUAUUAAGAAAAUGGUGGAAAAUAAUUUAUUUGCAUUUAAUUAUAAUAUUAUUUUCAAAAAUACCCUUUUUCAUUUGGUGUGUACAUUUAAUGCUAUUGGCUAUAUUUAAGGAAAUUUUCACAACUAAUAAGGGGGUAAAUUUGUCACUUGCUUUAUUAACUGUUUUGAACUAUGUGAAAUGACUAUAUGGUGGGACAAUUUUUUUUUUCAAAUCAGCCUAUAAAAACGGGACGGAGGGAGUAUUGUAUUUUCUAAUUCAUCUAUUAAUUUUGUUUUAUUCUUUCCAUGUAUUUAAUAUCAUCUAUUAAUUUUGUUUUAUUCUUUCCAUGCAUUUAAUAUCACUAUGUUUAUUAAAUGACGGUAAAUAAGUAAACUGAGAUAUUUAAAGACUUUCAAAAUAGGAAAGUGGACUGUAUAAUUUGGGACUUAAAAAAUGGCCAAACCAGCCUAUAAAAAAUAAGAGUGCUGGUGAAAUCCAUCGGUGGGACUAUGGUUUUAAUAACCGGUUUUUUCAAUCGAAUCAGUUCUACUCACUGAGUCAAUAAAAAAUCAGAUGAUUAUUUGUUAAACUAAAAAUUAAUUUUUAAUAUUAAAAUAUAUUAAAAAUUAAUUUAAUAUUAAUUAUUAAUAUUUUUGAUGUGAAAAAAUGGUAAUUUUUUUGAAAUUAUUAGUUUGACUCGGCGAGUUUUCCGAUUCUAUAUAAAAAUCGGCCGAUUCAACCGGUUCUAACAUCGAUUCUGUGCUUGAUCCGAGUCAACAAAGAAUUUUUCACCCAGUUGUCUCUGAUCCCGAUUUGACUCAGCCGAUUCAAACAAAACUCGGCCAGUCAUAAAACCAUGAGUAGGACCCCUUGGUGAACAAAAUCAGACUCGUGUAUUACACAUACUGGUGUAAGAGACAGUAUUCCCAAAAACUACAAGUGUGAGGCUGUUUUUAACAUACAUACACAAACAAAAAUAUCUAGAUCGUAAAAACUUCCCAAGAUCUUCCAACAAGAAUAUUUUUGUUGCCAUGAUAUGUUACACCAACAAUUCUAUGCCUCAGGCAGCAGCAUUCUAUACUUUUGGUUGUUUAGUUUCGUAUGAGACCUUGAUCUGUUUUCUUCCAAGCGUUUUAAUGUGAACAUGGACAGCUGGGUUCUGGAGCAGAAGCCAACUUAUAGCUCUGUUCCCAAGUAUCUGUCGUCUCUGCCUCAGCAUGGGGGACAUGGCGGGGAUUCUUCUCUCUCUUAUCUCCCCUUAACUGCUUCAUUGCAUGUUUAAGUGCAGGCAUUAAAGCCGCCAUGCAUUCAGCAACUGCAUUUGGAUUACCAGGCAUGUUGAUGAUCUGAAUAUAUGUCGAGAAAACACUAAUCAGAUUCCACUUGUUAAUACCAACGGGCAAAAUUGGUAAAAGUAAAUAGGAGCACAGUUUGUGACACCCUCGGAGGAAACACAAGUUCUGCUGUAUUACAGGAGUAUUAAUAAUCACAAUGCAAGCAAUUGAUGUCAUCUCCACUGGGGCACAGCAGAAAUAUAUCUGUACCCAAAUGCACCAUAUUAUAGCAAUUCUACGUACGUACCAUCAGAACCUGGUUUCCUUAAUGUGUAUUCAUUGUGUGAUGGAAUCGUGGAAGGCUAAGCAAAUAAAUUAUAUUGGGACCUCUACAUAAUGGCCAUACCAGUGUUGAUCCUCUUAUUCCAGCUGCUGCACGUGAAAGUAUAGCAAAUGGUGUCACCUGUUUUACAUAUAAGAUUAGUUAGUACCAGAAAAAAGGCUAAACCAAUGCCCCCAUGCAAGCAUAAGGAAUUUCAUUUAAUGCUAAAGAUAAAUGGCAGUGUCAGGGCCAUGUUCAACUUCUACAAACCUAAGGGGAAGCACUCAAAAGCAUUGCACAUAAUUCUAGAGGAGAUAAAACAUAUGAAUAACCAUUAUGUAGAUCUGCACCUUGAGACUUUCUUGCAGCAUGACAUAUAGAAGACCAGGUGUUUCUUUCUCAAUCAAACCUUUUGUUGCUUCUGGGGUAACAUCCCUGGGAGUGAAUCCUGUGCCACCUAAUAUGGAUAUUUCAAUUGUGGUUAUAACGAAGUGUUUAGGCAUGCUAAACUAAAUUCACAUCAACCCAUGAAGGGUAAAGGGCAGAACCAAAAGGAUCCCGUCUGUAUCAAUUAGCAAAUUAAAAAAGCGGUCUUCAAAACAGUUUCUCACCCAAUGUCAGGAUGAGGUCAACUUUAUCGAUAUCACUCCAUCUUUGAAGCACAUCUUUAAUUUUUUCCACUUCAUCUGGAACUACAGCAGUUGCAACUACCCUUGCCCCUCCCAACUUUUCUGAUAAAGAGUUCACAACAGAAACUGCUCUUGGGCCACUGCAGACACAGGAAAAAAAAUCAAGAAAAGUAGUUGUAAGUUAUUACCUUAUGGUUACACAGUAGGAAACAUAUAUAGUAAAGAAUAAUUACAUUUUUGACAUUGUACAAGUAAUUAAUUUGAUUAUUCCAGAACUAAGAAAUGAUACAAAAGUCCCAUAAAAAAAUCAUUAAUGUAAGUUUUUUACAGUACAGGGUGAAAUCGGAAUCUUGUUGCAUGAUAACAGUGCUACCCUUCAGUCUCACUUGAGAAAGAGAAGCAUCAACUUUGUACCUUUCUCAAUGAGAUAUACCCUAUAAAACAAAGAUUUCAGAGAGGCAUAUGAAGAUUGCACGCAAUCAGCUCAUCAUUUAAAAUCACUGCCCAAACUAUUUUUUUUUUUCUGAAUAAUCCUUACAACCCUGCUUCAACACAUCACAUAUCGUACAAUGUGCCUUAAUUUAUUAAUCAAUAAUUCUGAUGGGGUUUUCCUACCACCAGCUUGCUUAAAACAGAAAGUUCAAAAUCUAACAAAGGCAAACUAAAAGAUAAAUAUUUUAAAGAGGAUGUGAAGCAAGAUUUGAGAUUUUCACACAAAGGUAGGCCUAUUGUCAAAAUUUCAAAAAUUAAACUGCUUAUCAAUAAAUAAAUUAGAUAUACACUGCCUUAAAGUAGGUAAAUUAAGUUUUGGUAUAUAUUUGAGAAGGCAAUACCAAGUAUGAUUCAGAAAUGCUAUUUUGAAAUACAUUUGAAAAUGGGCCACACUUAAAUUAGAUGCACUGCCAUCCACCCACCCACACUUUUCCAACAAAAAAAAAAAACCAUAGUUUUCUAUAUGCAAGUACUGCUCACUAGGAACUGGUAGUGGUGGCACGUAAUUAGCAAGGAUGAGCGUAAGUUUAGACAAUAAAUUUCAAACUAAGAGAAACAGCAUACCUCCUAUCGGGUCCUGACCCUGAUGCAACAGUAUCACUCACUGUAAGAAUGGCUACUCUAACAGCACUAUCUUGUGACUCAGCUGGAGCCUGUGUAUGUGCACUACCUCUAUUAUUAGCAGGAGUGCACUUUACAGAAUUCUGGUUUACUGGAAGGCCGCUUAAGUCAGAUAUUACAAUCGCAGACACAGACUUUCCAGCAGCUAAUACGCCGUCUUUCGGUGGCAACUCCAACAAUGCGUUUGCUAACUUCAUAUUCAGAAGCCGGCUGCUCAUUUGAUUCCCAGUGCUCUCAGCAACAAAACUGAAUAUAGAAGGUAGCAACAAAUAUUUAUAAAAGGUCAAGUUCCAUUAAACAUGUCUUGCGCGCAGUCUACCAGCCUUCACUUGUCUAGAUAUAAGGCACAACUCUUACCCUGAAUUACCAGAACCAUCAUUAAUUUCCCAUCUAAUAGUCGCCCGAUGAUAUUCUGGCCGAAAUGGGUCUGUUUUAAUGGGUUGUGCAAGGCGAGCAUUUAAUCUGGAGAAAAGGCAGCAGCCGUCAUUACAAAAAGAGAUACACAUGAAUCUUUAGUCCCGAUACUAAAAGUAUAGUUCUCAAGAAUUAGCUCAAAAGAUGUAGAGUAACAUACAGUGAGUAAAAAAAAUUAUCACCUCAAUAGGUGAGGGUUUGCCCAUCCAGAAAGAUGGCGAAUGGCAGGAACAGUGAAUAGAUGGAAACAAACUAAACAGCUCACAGGAUUUCCUGGUAAACCAAAUGCAAGAAUCUUCUUGGUAGGCUUUCCGUCUACUGAUGUGACAACAAUCUCUGCAAAUGUCGUUGGCUUUCCAGGUCUCAUGAGAACCUGAAGAGGGAUUGAAAUAAAGUACAACCCAGUUUAGGAUAUAUUGAUGCAAAUGACUAUGUUUCUCAUGGUUAUAAUUUAUCAUAACGAUGCCAGUAGAUAAAGAAUGAGCCCUUGCGAAUGCAAACCUGCCGAGCAUACUCUGACUUGGGCAAGUCCAUCUACAUGUUUAGCAGGGGAAUCUCGCUCUCAACUCCCCCUCCCCCUUCUCUCUCUCUCUAUUUCUUUCCCCUCUCCUCUAUAUAUCCCAUGUACAAACAAAACUUCGAGACAUGACAUCAAAAGUUGGACACAGUAAGAGACUGCAAUAAAUGGGCGGAGAGAAUGGCAUCUUGAUAAGUUUAUAGCAUCACACCCCUCCACAAGUACAUGAAUGAAGAAAAAAUGUAAAUUCAACUUCUCUUGUUCAUCUCUGUUCUUAAACUUGCCGAAUGCAGAUACCCCCCCCCCCCCCACCACACACACACGCACGCACCAAAACACCCCCUUUUCUCUCUCUUCCUCCUGCCAUUUUGCAACAUCCAUCACCUCCUCUAUUAUGUGUUUAUGUAUGACUCAAAAUGGAUCAAUCUAGUGUAGUUUCUGUUUUACAAGACGAUAGAAACUUGUUGACAUAGCCAAAUCAAAGCAGGCCAGGCAAUUUUUUUUUUAAUAUCACGAUAGUUCCAUCUUUUGCAUAUGAAUCAGUUCUCAUCCAAAUAUUACUUCAAGGAACUUUAAUUCUCGAAGAACAAACGAAAUUAUUCUUUGACAAUAAUAAAAAGAUGGCCAUCAGUGUACCUUACUGAAAUAUACAAUCCCUCGCUUUUGCAACAAAGGCUUAACAUAAUCUCUGUCGCCCAUAGAAACACCUCCAGAAGUUAAAAGAAUAUCUAUCCCAGAAGAAAUGGCACUGUCCACAACCCUUUCUAGCUGUUCUUCAUCAUCACGAACAAUACCCAGAUCAAGAACUUUGCAAUGCUGCUGUGCUGCAGCUGCCAGUAGCAUUGCACGGUUGGAGUCCCUGAUCUGCAUGAUACACCAUACAAGCAUCUAAGUUUAUUCAGGGAAGAAAAAGAGAACAUAAAUGCACAAAAUAAGUCUAUAAGAAUGGUGCUCCUAGAUACUCGAUCAUUGAUAGGGGUACAGGUAACAGUAACACAAACGGAAUCCCUGAUCUGCUUGAACAGCCAUACAAUCAUCAAUCUUAGCAAGUUCCACAAUUGAGAUAUGAAUAUUGAAAGCACCCAUUAUAGUUUAUAAUGACGUUGAAUCUAGGUACUAUUCAACUAAUAAAGUCACCACCCCCCACCCCCCACCCCACACUCAACCAUACAAAUAAAAGGCACCUUUUUUUAUUGUUUUAGAAACAUUUUACAUUAGGUAUGGUCAUCAGAAUCAGGUCAUGACCACAUUUGAUCAAUACCAUAUAAGUAUACAUGUGACAUUCAAGAAUUCGUAUAUUUUAAGCCUUGCGAUAUUUCAUUAGCAACCACAAAAAGUUCCUCAACAAGGCAUGCCUUUUCUUGUGAAUGGAUAUGUAAAUCCUCUUUCUACAUGAUUAUUCAAUUGCGACGAUUUUAUGUUUGUAAUAUACUAGAACAUUAAGAAGGAACAACUAUAUUCAGGAGCUCCAAUGGAUUUGCUGGAACUGCCUAUCUCAAACACCACAAGUGAUUUUCAUUCCAUGAAUUCAAAGGCUAUUCUUUUGAUAUUCAGUGCCUUAAGCAAGAAGAGCUGAUUUGAAAGACAUAUUUUCUUUGAAGAAGCUUUAUACAGAAAUAUUUUCAUAGUACUUUCCUCUUACUUUUGCUUUGUAACUUAUUUUCAUAGUACAGAUGUUUAUAACUUCUAUACAUAGUUUCAGCAAUCGUAAAUAAUAGGAUUGUCAUAGGCAUAGCUAAUCUUUUAAUGUGGACUCAUUCAAUAGCAUUGGUACAACCAGAUAACCCCCACUUGUACUGCUUCACCAUUACUACCUCUUAUUUUGGUAUACCAAAUAGGUAAGUGUUCAUAAGCCUUCCACAUAAAACCCAAUUGUUAAAAUUCAAAUUCGAAUAGUAUAUUUCAUAGUUAUUCCAAAAAAUUCAAAUUCAAUGGUGUCUUACACAUGUGUCAUACUGGUACCUGUCCACGACUUAGGUUCCCAGUUGUUGGCUCUACAAGCUCAUCUCCGGUGGAAAUCACAGCAAUGGUUGGACUAGGAAACACCUGCAACAAUAAAUGUAGAGGAUAAGUAUUAAUUAUCGAGUCAUACAGAUGUCUAAGCAUCAAUACACAUGUGCAUACAAAUUCUAAGAGAAAAGGCAUACCUUCACCAUCAUUACCCCCAUGGUGGCGAGUAGGCCGAUUUCAGAAGUGCUGACUCGUUCUCCAGAUCUUAAUACUAUGGCAUCUUUCUCAAUGUCACAUCCCUGAACAAUGGAUGCUGUAUUAGAUUUUAUAAAUUUUACUGAGGAGACACAGACAACUUAUUGAAAUUUUUGGUAAUAUUUGGACAGCUGAUGACAGAAGUUGGAAGCAACAUAUGUCUUAGUGAUAGUACAAAUCUAAUGGUAAUAGAAAAAAAUGUCUCUAGAUCAUUUUGGAAGGAUUCACUAUUAUAAUGAAGAUAUUUGAAAACAAAAUGUUUUAUUCUAUGAUUCUCAGGUGCCUCAACACACGAAUCCCCUAUUGGCAUGACAAAAGUUCAUCUAUCCUACUGCAUGACAAAAAAUGUUUUUGGUCAUUGGUAAAAUAAAAUUUUCCAUUGAUGUCAACAAGAUCACAAUUGACUCAUGGCCCAUCCUUCUUUCCUCCAUUAGCAAGAUAAUAAUGGAGAGAAGAAAGUACAUAUAACUUACAACAGAUUUCUCAAUUUCACACCACUAAGAGUCCCAAUUAUAUAAAUAUCAUGAAAGCUCACCCCUCCAAAUUCAAUAUUAGAGAAUGACUGUAUUUAAAUCCUUUUCAUCUUGUUCAAAAACCCUUCUACUUCUCUCCUUCCAAGUGGCCCAAAUUAUUUCUCAUGGAAAAGGUUUUAUACACCAGCUUUGACCAAGAGUGGGAAAAGCAUAAGGAUUCAUUAUUAUCAUCAAUUCUAAACUAGAAAGGACAAUCACUUGAAAGAAGAAAAACAUCAAUAACGCAAAUAGCCAAAUACACAAUACAAGAUAUUAAUAUUGACAUUCUUGUAACAUGUGCGUUCUAUUUGAGUGACGAUGAAUCAUAUUGCACACUUGUUGAUAUCCAUAACAUGGAUGCACAAUGGUGAAACUGAAAAGCACCAAGGCUUUUUUAGUUUUCAAGAAAACUCACAUGCAUAUCACUAUUUCAUGCACCCUAUAACACUGCUCUAUAGUGUACUACACCACAGAAGGUUGAUGUCUUCUCCUCUUCAAGUGAAAUUGCAAAUUACUGCUUAAAUUCACCAUUAGUAACCCAAGAGGUUCUAAACAAGAUUGUGGUGCCAUGUGUUAAGUUCAGGGGCAUCCAACUCAAAACAAAUUUGCACAAUGAAGGCAGACACUUUUUAGUAGGUGUCACUCACACGUAGACCUUCAUUGUUAGGAAGGUGAAACAUGAGGUGCACCUUAAGCCUUAAGGAGAUACGGUCAGUUACGGUACCGAAGUGUGUGCCUUCACGGUGCAAACUGAAGCUUACACCCCUCACAUACCAGACCUUAGGUACCCUGCCCUAAGCCUAUGUUAGGCAUCCGCCUCAUAAUUUCAGACUACAAUGGUGACCUGAAAAAUAAAACUAAUAUCUUUAUCUUUUUCUCCAUAUUUACCUCUCUUAAUUUUUUCUGAAACCCAAUAGACAUGUAUAGUUUUAUUUCACAUCCUAAACCUACUUAUUUAAGAGUUUGUUUUGUUUUCUAACCCUACUUUUUCAAGAAAGGGAUGAAUAAACAACUUUCCUACUUUUCCAAUAGAUCGACAAUUUUGCUUAAUAUCAAUUCAUUGAACUUUUUGUUAUUCAUUAGUAUAGUUAGCAAAGAUCAUGUACACAUGUACAAUAUUGGCGCUCACAUAGGCAAAUGCGACCCACAUGACUAUGAUAAUCGUUAUUUAUGCUAAAAGCUCUAACUUGCAGAGAGGGUGGAGUUUUAUUUACCAAGAGGAGACAUGGCAGAUAUCCCCUCCCGCCACCCAAAUGGAAAUGCGCAUUAAAGGUCUCAACAAAUGACAAAUCUUUAACUGAAGCUCUGAUGCCAUUUUAAAUCACCGAUUGCUUUACAAGUCAAACUUGUAGAAAGGGCAAACUUUUCAGAAUUUCAAGAGAUGCAGGGAACUACUCCUAAGGAGCGGAUAUAGUAAUUCUUAAUGCAGCAAUGUUUCUAUCAUUUAAUGAAUUUUUUGAACACUUUGUGAACCAGCAAGGCUUAGUCGCCCCAUUUUGAUCAUUCGAUUCCUAAAGAAUCAUGUUUUGAACAAUUGUGAGAAUCGCAUUUGAAAAAGAACACUAACUUAUUCCAAAUUAAGUUUUUUUCUAUAUAAAAGUUAGCAAAUAAGGAGUUAUACCACUGGCCUAAUAUCAAAACCUUGCCUAGCUUGCUUCAGUAUUCUGACUCGCCUUGAUUCACCCGAAGCUUCUUUUAUCUCUUCAGAAUCUUCAACUUGCACAACAGCAUCAGCCCCAUCUGGUAUUGGUCCUGGAAAAAUAAUUAGAAAAUGAUAUUAAGUUUGAUCCAAAGAAUUCUGCGCUAUCCAUUUCUUCAAUAAGGUUGAAAUAAAAACCAUUUUCAGUUAACAUAUUUAUAAAUAUAUUGUUUACAGAAAGAAUGUUCGGAUCAAUAACCUGAGAUACCAUUGCCUACCAAAAUAAAUAAAUAAAAAGCCUGAGAUACCAUUCUAAUUUGGUUCGAAACUAGUUCUGAACACCUGUUCAUAUGAUUUAGUUCAUGUAAUGUAAUCUUAGAGACGGAGGAAAGCAUCAAUCAAGAACACCAUUUUACUAUGUCAGAAAACAACCCGAAAGUGAAGAACAACUCGAUACAAAAUUUUAAUGUCUCAAAGCAUGCCUUCUUAAGUAACCAUUUUAAUUUGGCUCAAAACUAGUUCUGAACACCUGUUCAUAUGAUUUAAUCAUGCAAUGUAAUCUUAGAGACGGAGGAAAGCAUCAAUCAAGAACACCAUGUUACUAUGUAAGAAAACAACCCCAAAGUGAAGAACAACUUACUCGAUACAAAAAUGUCUCAAAACAUGCCUUCUUAAGUAACCAAACAACAGUUACACUUUAAGGCCUUUAUCCGUAAUUUUGAUUGGAAUCCAAAAAACAAACUUUUACAACCCUAUUGAAUGAGCAAAAAUCAAAUUAAUAAUAAACUAAUACAGUAAUAUAUACUCCGAGUCAGUCCAUUCCGAUGAUAUUGUUUUGACAUUAUACAUGACAUGGUAAAUUGUGGUCACUUACUUCAAUGAUCCUUGGUUCCUUUCCGUCCAAAUGCUCCAGCACACAACAUGUAUUACCUUACAGAAGUUUUGCCAAUUAAAGAAAGACAAUGGUGUCUUCAUCCUUGUAUUCAUCACUGACUCGUGAUUUGAGGCAUGAAUAUUUGUAAAGUAGCAUUCCCAGAAGCUUUUGGUUAGCUUCUCCUCAUAACCACACAUGACGGAAUGGUUGGGGGUGAUCUAUCCUCUUCCAAUUCAUUAAUUGGUGUAUAGUCAUUAAUUGGUGCAUAGUCUGAGUCCAAUCGUCCAUACUCGUUGAUUCAGAGUUAUAUCUAGGGUUCGGAUUUCUUGCUAGAGUUGAUAAUCUAUGUUUAGCUUCAUAAAUGACAUCCCUCAUGUAUAAUGAACUGCUGAAAAUAAUUAUAAUCAGACAUGCAAAAACACACACAAAAUGGGGUGUUGAUUUCUUACUGACAUUCUUUUGGCUAAAUAAUGUACUUGGUGACACAUCGAAGGAGGAAAAAAAACAGACACAGAACAAAACUCUUUUCACUGGCUAACGAGCCAGUCAUCAAAAUGAUGAUCAUUCCUUCCAGUUAGUUCCAAUCAAUCCUCUCUGUUUUUGGUUCUUGAUGAACAUUUUUUAGCUUUCCAAAUUACCAACAAUUAGAACCAGGAAAUAGCUUCCAGAGAUACACUCCCAAGCUUCUGAAACACCUUCAGGCCAUUCCAUAUUUAUAACUCUCAUUCUAAAGGUAGUUUAGCGAAAAAUUGAACUCUUUGUUGUUGACUGAACCAUCUGGUCUGACAGCUGGCGAGACCUAGACCAUUGGAGAAAAAGGUGGGAAAUUAACUAAAGUUUCUGGCUAUAAAACACACACCUCAGGUAGAAACAAAACCCUUCUUAAAAGACCCAAAGUCUGCAAUCUACCCCACUUCAAGCACCAAACAGAGUAUCAUAGUCUAGAUGAAACCUUCAAAUUCCAAAUCACCAGGCAAGAACAUAUUUUUGAGUCAAAUCCAGCUUGUGAAAUGACCUUAAAAUUGUUGUUCUUGCACCCACUGCUUAACAUUUAAUCUUCUUUCUGAUCGAUUUUCUCAUUGAGUAGUAAAAUAAGGUCAAUCAUUUAGGUCACCGACUAAUACCAAAAUGUGUUACUCAAAUGGAGGCUCCAAGUGGGCACCUGAACCAUCUUGGUUCCAGUGAUUUGCAACCGAGUCAUUUUUAGUCCUUGUCAUUGAAGCCUAUUCCUUAGCCGUUGGUCUUCCCAAUUUUUUUCAUGAGCUCAGCGGCAUGGCCUACUUAUCUUUCAUGAAAUCCCUAACACAAGCUGCACCCUGUUAGAGAUGCUAACUUUUUCUGUGUCCUCCCAUGAUCAAGCACUAACACUAUUGAUGCAAAUCUACAAAAGCAGGACGGAUAUCAUUUUAUGGGACAGAUAGACGACCCCCCCCCCCCCCCCCUCUCUCUCUCUCAAAAUAAAAACAUGGAGUCAUGGAUACUACACCCCCGGAAUGAUAAAUGUCGGAUGUCUAUUGACCAACAGUGAGAAUAAUAAGAGGCUGACAUUUGGAAAAAUAUAAUGUUCGUUAAAUUUAGUACAUAAGCAAAAACAACUGUAAUAUUUACAGCAAAGGACUCCUUCAACUUUGCUCCAAGCAUUGGCACAAAUACAAGGACACUCACUCGGGUCCUUUGCAUUUUUAAGGCAGAUGUUAAAAAGAAAAUCGUGGAUAUACUUGUCUGUUCUCUUUACUUUUCUUGGAACAUCUCACCUCAUCUUGUAGUUUGUACUUAUCUCUACUUUAGUAUUAUAACACAACUGAUAGUGAUGUAGGACAAGAAGGGGAAACUUUGGAAAAACUAAAUAGAACUGUUUUAUUGCUAAAAGCCUAAAACUAAAUGAGUACAAGGAGAGAAUUAUACAAGCAAGAUAAAACCACUAGCAUCACACUAGUAAGGAUGACGACUACUAGCAUCGCACUAGUAGCUACUAGCAUCACACUCGUAGGAUUUCCUAGGAAUCACUCCUAAGCACCUAGGCAUCACACCAAGGUUUGGAUUACAUCUCACAAUCCUUACAAUAGCAUAAUUGCUAGCAAUUUCUCCAACUUCAUUCCUCUCCAAAACAAAGACUUAACAACCCUUAUAUAGAGUUUAUAAGAACUCUCUAGACACUUGGGAAGACUAAAACUUAUUAAAUACAUUAUUGACCCUUUGACUACUAUUCAAAAUAAAGCAUUAAAUGACACUAAAGACUUCCAGAUCUUUCUAGGUUAUCUAUUCUUAUUUCCUGCUGCCACGUGUCCCCAUCAGAUAGUGUACCACUCAAAAUGAAAAAAAAGGCAAUAUAAGCAUCCCAACUACAUGCCUUAACUGUCUAGACAAGAACCAACAAAGUCACUCACGCUCCAUGUUGUGUUAGCUGGUGUACUUAGGCAUGUUUCUUUACUCCUUUUAUAACAUAUAAUUCCAGAUAUUCUCUUUCAUUUCACGGUAUACCAAUUCAGACAAACAGGGCAUCUAAAGUUCUAAACUCAAUCUAGUUCCCCUGGCAAAGCAAACUAUGAGUUGGUUUUCCCUAGGCACCAUAAAUUCAUACAGGUAUGUAUAGAACUCGGGGCACCUUAAUUUUGGCCCUAACAUGAACUCGGUCAUAAGUAAAUUUGCAAAUUUACUAUGAGAUAUGGCAACUAAAGUUCUAAACUCAAUCUAGUUCCCCUGGAAAAGCAAACUAUGAGUUGGUUUUCCCCAGGCACCCUAAAUUCAUAAAGGUAUAUAACUCGGGGCAUCUUAAUUUUGGCCCUAACAUGAACUCGGUCACAAUUAAAUUUGCAUUUUGUCCUGGAUUGAUAAAGCUCAUGUGACCUGAAUAUUGCACAUGACAUGAUGAUGAAUCAGGUCUGCUCAGUCAUCAUAACAAGUUUGCAUUUCAUCCUGCAGCCCAAAUCUGCUCAUUUAACUCAACCUCUAUGCCACAGUAAUUCAGGUCUGGAGUACCUAAUUUCGACUGACAGGGGCACUACCAGAUGGUUCAACUCCAAUUCUAAAACUUAACAUUAUAGCAGUCACAGAGCUGAAGAUGGCCUACAGAAUAAAAGGGGAAAAGAAAGAGGGAGGAUAAAAAGUUUUCUUAAUUUCAUUGUGAUAUCAUUUGCCUAAUAAUAACAAAAUAAGUAGUUCUCUGAUAUCGAGAAAAAUGUUUUCAGUUCAUUCAUCCUAAAACUAGAUUAUACGAGCUAAGGAUGGAGAUUCAGAACGAAAAUAUACUCACCUCCAGUGGUCACAUACGCAACAGUGCCAGGAGUAACUGUAACUCCAACUCCAUCAUUUCCAGCUCUUGAUUCAGUAAUUACAGGAUAUUCACCUGGCCCAUCUGAAGCAACUACUGCAAAACCAUCCUGCAGAAAUCAUCGGUACGACUUGAACAAAUACUGAAUAAAAUGAUAAAAAAAAAAUUAAGGCAUCAAUUACCAUCUCACUUCUUACAAAGACCAUAAAGUAGUGGUUGCUGGAUGAACCCAACAAACAAAAGGACCUACCAACAAGAUAUAAACUACCCACCCUAAGCUGCAAUGAUAUGCGCAGUUAUCUUCUUCCUUAUCUCUUUCACCAGCCACCACCACCAUCUCCAGGGAUGUCAAGAUCAGUACUACAGCCCACAGGUCUCCAAAUCAGCAGCACCUCUAAAAUGCAAAACUAAUACGUCCUUCUUGAUCCAUCCUCUUCCUUCACCUUUUCUACAUUUCUAUACUCAUUGUUUCAUCUUUACCAAACUAAACCAUCAUCCAUCACUUCUUAUACACAAGAUAUUAAAAACCACUUCUGAGGAGGUUGCUCAGAAACAUGUACAGCAUUAGAACUUGUAAGUUUGAUACAGCCAGCAUGGUUUCUCAGACUGUACAACAAACAUCUUGUAUAGUCUCGAGUUACCGCGGACACCCCCUGGGAACGUUAGUGGAAUGUAGCUUCGUCAAUCCCACGUGCGUAGAGCGCACUUCUGUUUUCUACAACCCCACAACCAAAAAACAGAAAAAGCACCUAGCGGCUGUGUGCAACAUAGACAAACUGGGUUGUUUUGUAAAUUCCUUUCUAAGGAUAAAUAUGUAGACAAUGAAGAAUGAUGUUAGCUUUGGGGACGUAUGGUUGGAUAGGUUGCUUAAUGAAAAGGAGGAGCAGGAUUAGGUUUGAGAUAGAUGAGUUUCCUUUAUGGGGCUGGAGGGCAUUUUAGCUUUUUCUAUGCUCUGGUAUUAGGUAACUCUUUAUAUUUUCUGGUGUACAUUUAUAAUUUAACCUGCCCCUUAACAAAUAAGAUACAGCCAUUGACAUCAUUUUAAAGAUCAAACCAAACACAAACAGGACUACAUAUUGAACAGCAAGCAGAAAAAGAAAUUGAUUAUAUUGGCACCAAAUGGGGUGAUAGCAGAGACAAGAUGACAUUUUUGAAAUUUAAUGAAUAUUUCUCACAUACAAAGGGGUUUAGUCUUCAAAUAUAGGCAAAUGGAAAUACUAACCAACAAUAAGUCAAUAACGUUGCUAUGACUGACAUGAAUCAGAAGGCCCCUACUGUUCAAAUUUUGCCACCCCAACCCCAGCAAUUAAACAACACAGACUCCACAUUGAUGACAACUCACAGACAAAGCAAUAUGAGGUAUUACCUGGGAUUCAUAUCGGCAUUUUAUGACAGUAUCUUAGACUUUUGUAGUAUACUGCCUCUAAGUUAUAUCAUAAACAACGUUACAAUGAUUUUGGAGUCUACACUGCAUACAAAUAUACCAUGAUAGUUUGCAACUGCAAGACCAGUUCUGCACCAUAUUCAUCCCACUCUGAAUUCCCACAAUAGCAAUAUCAAGCCUUUUGGGAUCGGAUAAUGAGCAAGAUUUCAUAAAGAUAAAAUGAGUGGAUUCUGAAAUGCCUUUCCAGAAGAAGUACCAUGUUGAAGUUUAACUUUAUGGAUCAAAGAUAAUAGAUUAAACUAAUAGCAGAGAAUGGCAUUAAGCACAGUGCCUUUAGCCAGCAACAAAAUACACCCCCGUCCUCCUCCUUUAAAUCAACUACUGCAUCCCAAUUUUAUACAAAUCCAUUAAAUUUCACCCAUUCUAAAUGCUACACAGGAACCCACCAAAUCAAACAAGGCUUCUUACACGUCAAGGGUGAUAUUAUGAAAAUUGCUCUGUGUUCAAAAAUCAUUUUACUCAUUUCCAAAUAACUGCUCGUGAAUAUAUUCCAUUAGUCGUUUUGCUUUGACCAAAAAUGACAGUACAAUAAUGUUUUUCUUUUAAGGCUUAAGAAAAGAGUUGAGAAUGUCACACACACACAUAACGAAUAACAAAUGGUCAGUGUAGGCAUGUUUGUUGUAAGGUUACAAACCCACUUGCUAUUGGCUCUCCUAGACGUCUUCAACACGCCAUAGGCAUCAUCUCAAUCUCCUUGAAUUGCCAAAAGUUUGGAAAAUGGGUUAUUUUAAUAAACUUGGAACCAUUGUUCUCAUUUGGGAAAUAAAAAGUUAGAAUAACUUAAUUUUAUCUUUCAUUCAACAACAUAAACUUAACUCCCUCCGCCACAAUUGGAAUUUUGCAUACUACACCAAAUCAAAUUUUACAACUAGUAAUUCAACAAGUAAUUAAUUUGAAGUGCUAUUGAUGUAAUUGGAGAAUUAAAAAAAACUUGUACUGUAAUUGAAAUGUUGUUGUUACUUGUUACCUUGGUAGAAGCUGGAUAAGGAGGUAAAGAGUCUGGUGCUCGGAUAUCUUCUGCCAAGAUUUUAUCAAACGACUCAUCAAGUGAGACCAUCAUUGGUUCAAGUCGUUGAGCAACUCUCAGUAUCGUUUCAACUGCUUCCUCCAUCGAAAUCAUUCCAACACUGCUUUCACUUCCACAAGAAACCAUUCUUUCUCUCUCUCUCUCUCUUCUUCUUUACUUGUGAAGUUGUGACUUUUAUUCACUUGUUCACUCAGAAGUAUUAUUUUGUUGGGUAGUCAAAACUGAUGUCCCUUGGUUGGGUCAGAUGGCCUGACGUUCAUCUUAUUUAUUGUCACUUCAAUGGUAUCAUCAUGUCCCCUCGUAGUUCUCAAAGGCUCAAACUCUUCAAGAAAUGGUCUCUUGGUCGGAUUUCCCUAUCAUUUUUUAGCAGUUCUAACUUCUAAGUUUCUAACUUUAGGACCUGAGUUUAACUAAACCAAGGGGGUUAAUCUCAGAAGAUUAUGGCAACAAAUUGAGGCAUUAUAUGUGUUGAAAAACUAUUAUGCUUUUUUCUUAGCUGCUUUGAUUUGCGUGACUUGGCAAGAUAGGUUAUGUUAUACAGACAUGCAGUGCUCUUUUGCAAAGUAUGCUACCUCCUAUCAGCUAAUAAUUUGAUGUGCUUAGAUACAAGGAAAACAACAAAUAGAGUGGAAAUGGACAUCCACUUAAACUCAAAUGUCUUCUACGUUUGUAUCAUUCAUUCAUUCAUUCAACAAAUCAAUCCCUGUUGAAGUGCUCACUUUUUUACAGUGUUCAAACCUGAAACAAUAUAUUGAUCAUGUCCAACUGUAAUGUUCAUUCUCAGGUACAAUCCACACACUAACCAAAUUUACAGGUAUACAUAAAAACUUAUGCCUGUGUAAUUCCUUUUGCUAUUUCAAUGUCCAUUUUCUGUGGCAAAAUGCAUGUGGGAGUUGUCUGAUACUUGAAACUCUGGAGAAACUUUGGAUUCAUUUCCAAUCUCAGGCAGCAUAACUUUGUCAGAGAAGACAAAAUGGUCAGUCACCCCAAAAAUAUUAGCUAUUUGCAAAACUGCAGAUUGAGAUGCCAUUGUGGCUGGAAGAACGGAUUCUGGAAGGUGAGGGAGGCACUCUGGAAGAAAUUCGCUCCUGUGAAAAGUUGGUGCAUAAAGUGCAAUCACAGCCCGACAAAAUAUGAACCUGUAAGGCAACACUGUUAGUGUGCAAAUUCCUAUGAAAAUAUCAGUUUUUCUCGAUCAUUCUUCUAUUCAAAGCAUGAAAGCUCCAACCAUCCAUGUCAAACAAAUGCUUAAGAUACAUAGAACAGCAGGGGUUGGUAAAUUACUCAUGAUAAACAUAUGUUGUUAUAAAAAUGGUUAGAGGUGGUGAACAUUAAACAGAAUUAGCGACUCGACAUUAAGGAAAAAAAAUGAAAACACAUAAAUGAAACCAUUUGUCCAUAGUAUGAUCUCUCUCCCCUAGUCAUUAAUAACAUAAAUCACUAGUUUUAAUUCCAGUUGUUGCUGCUGCUGUUUUACGUGUGUUGUAUGCCUAAAUUGCAAUAAUAAAGAUUUCAAGCUACUACAGAAUGAUACAAAGGCAAAUCUGCAUACACAGACCUGAGUAGUAUGCAGACAGAGAUAAAAAUAAUGAUCACAAAAACUGAAAAACAAGAUAAAAGUAAUUUAUACAUUAAGGUAGGUUUAUUGCUCAUUAAUAAGAUAAAAGUAAUUUAUACAUUAAGGUAGGUUUAUUGCUUAGUAAGCAAUAUAAAGUAGGGACAAUUCUAACUGUUAAACCUCCCCGAAACCUAAAGUGUUUAAUUAAUAAAAGGCACACACUUUGGUUGAUAAUUAUUCCUUGUAGUAGAAAUCUCUAAAGGUUUCUGAUGACUCUAUGUGCCUAAGUCAUGGAUAUCCUGCAAUUAGCGUACGAAAGAUUUACAACAUAGUUAUGGAGAAAGAGAGGGAAAAAAUCGAUGAUCACCUCAAAAUAAGUCUCCUUAAGAAAGGAUCACACAAGAUUUGUGCCCAAACCGGAUCAAGCAACUCUGAUGUUGCCAAGGUCAAUCCCCACUCAUUUAACAGUAACGAAAGCAACUUCUCCGCCUUGUUAUAUACAUCCUGCAAAAUUUGCUCUCGUGGUAAAGUUUUAAGUAUAAUGAAUAGUCCAGGAAUCAAACACCACAAUGGCUUCCUCUGCAGCCAAAAUAUAAGAGAAAGGAAAAUGCAUAUAGACCCUUGACUUACCAUUUCAAUAUUAGAACCUGACAAACCAAGUAAUAAGCAGAACGCCUGCAAUGGAGCUGUGAGGAACAUGGUAAAUUGACUUCCACUGGGGUGACGAGUGGAAUCAACAGAAGCGCCAACAGCUGGAGAGGGAAGGCUCGGAGAAAGGAGUAUCGCAGCAGGUUCUCCCUGUUCUGCCCCAUGUAUAGCCUGAAAAAGCUUCAAAAUUAAUUACUUCCAUAAAAUUCAAAGAAGAACCAGAAAGUGCACAAGUAAAAUGCACACUUGUUCUGUCAAGGCAGCGAAUCACAAGCUGUCAGUAAAUUCGCUAAAGCGAGAUGCUCCCCUCUUUUUCCCACUCCUCCCAUAUAUAUCAAUCAAAUGCAAAACAAAACAGAAAAGACAACAACAAUAUAAAGGAUAAAUAAAAUCAGAGCUUUAUCAGAUAAUCUAAUACAUUUUGGCACUAAGUAAUGUAGUGAAAAUAGGGGGAAAAUUACAAAAACCAACAUAUUUUUAAUUUGUGGAAUGAGAGAGGGAGACUAACUAUUUGUCAAAUCCAUUGACACUCACUAAAUUUAAAAAAUCGAAAACAAGAGAAGUAUGUUAAGCUUUCCCUUCUUGAAAAAAAAAUUCAAGAGCAAAAUGACGACUUCAAAUGAAAUAAAAUCGCACAAAAAAAAAAAAAAAAAAAAGGAAGAAGAAGAAGAAGAAGAUAAAAUGAACUCAAAUAAGGGUACCAAAUACAUUUUAGUACUACAUCGUAAAGAAAAAUAGUUGAAAGAAAAAAAACAUACAGAAAUCAAUAUGUUUUAAAUUUGUUGGGAGAGAUAAUUGGUAUUUGUAAAAACCAUAACUAGAAACUCACUACAAUAAACAAAUCAAAAACAAAAGAGAAAUAUCUGGAUCUUUCCCUUCUUGAUAAAAAAAUGCCAUGAGAUGUAAAUAGAAGUUAGUACAUGUGUUUUACGUUAGGAAAGGGGAAAGAGUGUGCUUCUCAAGUAACCCACAGACCGUGCAGUGUGCAACUGUCAGGCAUGCACCUGACACAGCCUGGACGCAUUCGUCUCGCACAGCCUAUAAGGUACGCCUCACAACUAGCCCUCUCUAACCAUAGAAGACAAUCAUCGAAGUGGCUUUUAAAUAUUUUCUUACGAAGCUUAUCUUACUACUGAUUGUGUAGAGGUAGUGAACUAGUGAUCGGGCCUGACACUAAAUCCAAUCAUUAUAAACCUGUCUGGAAUCUAAAACAAAGAAAGCAGAUGUUGAGCAACCAUUUGGGUACCUUUUAAAAAUCGUCUUUUUGGCUUGAAAUCACAAAAUGCAUCAUGAGGAACAUAGUACAAUGAACUGAUCUGAAUUACAAUUAGAUAUUUUAUGUUGUUUUUUUCCCUGUUUUUUUCUUUUGCUUCCACGAAAAGCACUUUGAUAAUAGUUUUACUUAGUACGCUCAUUCCCUUUCAAAAACUUCAUGUCUAUCAUAUAUAAGCAAUAUUGUAAUAUUGUUAAGCAAAAUAUAAAAAACAGAUCUAAAAUUCAGUUUAUCAUGGUGGCAAUAUUCUCACCCAUCCACCCCAAUCCAAUUUAAUACAUAUGAUGAUUUCUGAUACUUGGUUUAAAAUAUAACUAUGAAUACCAACUUAUAAUUUGCAUCCGCAAGUGUAAUUUAUAAGACAAAAGGAUCCAACAAACGAGAUUCAAGAGUUGACAAACCUGCCUUGAAUGCUUGACUGCAAUCACUAUUGAUAAUUAGAAAGAGAGGUCUUCUUGUGAAUGGGAUUAAGUCAGAUGGGUAAAGGCAGUUUAUACCUGAAAAAUAGAUGUGCAAUGAAUCAGAAUCUGCUAUAUAAGAGAAUAGAAAAUAAUAUCAGCAAGAAAGGAUAAAAAAAAUGUUAGUGUAUGGACCGAAAUUCCAGUAAACCAUAACUGAGCAUACCUCCAUUUCCACGAGAACCCAUCCAUAAGCAACCUGAGUUGUUUCUCGGGUUUCCUCUAGAAGAAUAGGUUGGGCUAUCAUUCCUGAAGCUGGAUGGAGAAGUGUUAUGCACAUCAGAGGUCAUGUCAUGCGAUUGGAUGUUCCCUACAAUGCUUUCUGUAGUCUUCAUGUAAGUUCCAGAACUUGAUGGCAACUGACCAACCUGUCCACCCUUUCCUGAGAAAGUGGCAACUUUACAAGGCUAAGAACUUGUUGAAUAAAACAAAAAUUGUAAAGUCAUAGAGUGAUGGAAAAUUGCAGGACCUGAAGCAGACAAAUAUAUUAAAAGAACCCCAUCAGAAGGAAGCUCCUCACAUAUGGUAGCCAGUACCUGUACAGAAAAAUAAGUUUGACGUUUCAUGAGUUCUUAUUGAACAUGUGUGAACGUUUAUAAUACUUUCAAAACAAUGUUUCUUUUUUCCUCUGUUGUUGUUGUUGUUGUCAUUCAUGAAGAGAACCCCUCUAUCAUUUGUGGCAGGGGCAUGGUUUCUUAUCUUAAAAGUUCAGAGACUAAAUGCCAACCAACAUAAAAAGCUGAAAAUUAACGCAUAGUUUUAAACAGUAAAUAAUAUACUCAUAUCCCAUUUAUGCCCUAGAGAUUAGGAAAUAAAGAUUCAUAGCCUAUUUCAAUUAGCUAUACUUGCGUCCUCAUUUUUGUCUGGCUAAGUAAGACUUUUAUUUUACAUGGAUAGUUUCAAAUAGCCUAGCGAGAAUGAGUGAGAGAGAACCACACACCAUCCUUAAAACAAAAACAAAAGCAACAAAUACACUAAAGAACUAUAUCUUGCUCCCAAUAUUCUACCCCACUUCAAAAUUAAAUCCCAAAAUCGAGCAACCGUUCUUUAAACAGACCUAAGAGCCAAAACCACAAAGUAGCCUUUGCUUUCAUCGCCAACUUCUCGACAGUCGGUCCCAACUCUUUAUAACAGAGCUCAUUCUUGACCUCCACAUAUUUCAUAUCACUUAAGCAGGUACGAAACCUCACAAUUUUGAGUCCAAGAUACUUGAAAUCAACCUUGGCCAAUUCUUCAACGCGGUGUUAAGAUUCAGAGAAUUAAUAACAGGUCAAAUUAUAAAGGUCUUCUUCCAGGCCAGAUGAUCCUAUACUUGCAUAACUGCAAUGAUUUAUUAAUCAAUUCAAUCAGAAAGCAAGUAUUUCAGUGUAAUAUAGCAAAUACCCACUUUUAUAUUCCCUACUUGCACGACCUAUUGGUAGGCAUACAUCAUCAGAAAGUAAACUGACCUCGUAUUUUCAAGUAUAUGUUUUUCUUCGUCAAAGCUUGCUUAUGAGGGUUAUUUGUAUCCAAAUUAGAUUGUUUCAUCUUCUUGAUCAACCAACUUCAAUCAAUCAGAAAAUUUAACAUUUUCAGUAGGCAUUGUUUCCUUAGCGCCACAAAUGACCACAUCAUCACUACUCCUCUACUCUCACAACAUUUACAAAUUUGAUGUUCUUCAACUUCAUCGUUAUCUUCAACAUUACGUAAGAUUUACUACUGCCCAACAGUAACUGGGCCUAGGUCUCCAUUGAAGGUAAAGUUAAAAAUAGGAAACAAAAACCCUUUAUAUUCUACUCGUACUCUGCCUCUUCUCUUCGUCUUCAGCCUUUAUCUUCUAACAGGUUAGUCCUUUUCUUUCUUUUUUCAUCUUCUCUUCCUUUCAUCUUCCUCCAUUGCUACUUCUUCUUCUUUUUACCACAACUGCACCUCCUCUUCUUCCUAUUUUUCAAAGUUCUCUUUAUUUUUUGUGUGUAUAUAUUAAUAAUUAUAGGUAUAUGCAUCAUUGCUAUUAUUUAUUACUGUUUAUUAAAUGUAGAAGCAUCUAUAUAAAAAAAACACAUUUUUAGUGAAUCAUUCGAAACUCGAGAUUAUUCACGACCAAAUACAUUAUUCGCUAUGCCGCCUAUUCGCUGCUAGACCAAGAAGGUACCAAAAACCGAAUAAACUGCUUAGUGCGAAAGAGACAACCUUCAUACUAACACGUUACCAUUUUGACAAAGGAACAAUAAUAAAAAUAAAUAAAUUUCAAACAGAUUAAGGAAAGCACCUGAACUAGGUUCAUGAAUCAAUUAUUGGUAACAAAUUGCCAAAGAAAUCAUGCACAAUGAUGAGGGAUGAGCUCUUAAAAGUAAACAAAAUCAGAAACAAAGACAAGAGCUCUUCUAUAGAACAAAUACAAUAAAAUAAAUAGAAGCUAAGCCAUCCAGACAAAAAGAUAUAUAUGUCCAAGAAGUGAUUUUCAACUCUAUACUACUGUAUCCACUACAUCCUAUAAACAUCAAUCCUUCUGAAAUGAAGACCAUAUUAAUCAACAAGCCAUGAUCAGGUAGGAUAACAUUGCAUUCUUACUGCUAUAAAAUGUGUAACAGCUGGGCGGUAUAGAAUGGCUUUCCGUGGAUUUGGUGGCAAAGUUGGAUCGAUAAGAUCUUGCGAGUGGUUGUUACGAUUAGGUCCAGGGGCACCACUCUGAGCAAUGGUACUACCAUUUCCGCUUGAAGCCUUAUUAGAUUGGUAAAACAAACCACUAGGUUCCCACUCUAGACAUUGAAGCAUCCUGAAAGUGUCCAGAGUUAACUCAGUAAACUUGACCUGAGAGAAAAGAAAGGAAAAGGCUCAUCAAUACUCCAAUUGAGUGUAAUUUGGAGAACCAUGCUAAUAAAAUUAUAUCAAACAGAUUAAGCGUAUUCAGUUUAGUCCCAUGAAUAAAAAUUCCUUCCUCAAGCACAGUAUGAAAAUAGGUAUCUCAAGUUCAGCUAGUCAAUACGUAUCACUGAACAAAGUCAACAAAGAAGAGUUCCCGGAAAAAAAUGGUAUGACUUUAUUCUAAUUGAGAUAUCAUGUACAAAUGUCAGUACAUAUCACAGGAUGAACUCUACCUAGAAGAUUUUUGUAGCAUCUAAUCAAAGAAAGUUUAGUAAGAUGCCGGCACUAGAACUUCUUUUAUGGAAGAGAGUUCAACUGGCGAUAACAAUUGUUGGCCCUGAUAUUCAAGGUGGAACUAAUCACCAUUAGACUAUUACAAUUUCAGUGUGCCAUCCCUGCAAACACUGGAAAUCCCUCUUCUAUUCUAUGAAAAUGUGACUUGUGCGGAAACUAAAUAGUAUGAUAUUUGGUGCUGAUAAUGUUAUGCAUGAAAUUGAGGUGGCAUAGACCAAGAAGAAGAUUGGUUUCUAUAAGUAACUUGUUUAGCAUUCCAAGUGUAUACUUUGCCUUCCAUUCCCUCAAAGACACUUGGUAACACUGAAGCGAAUAAUGUGUGCCUUUUGUGGAAUGAUAUGUAUAAUAUUAAUUAUUCUUUCAUUGUGACUUGUGUGUCUUUAAGAGUGAACUGCUUGAAUCCCUUUUCUGUUUCCAUAGGUAUGUCCCUCGGUUGUAAAACUAGUUUAUCUCGAUCUCCAUUUGUCAUUUUAUAAGAUAGUUUACGAUCACAGGGAGAAAAUAUAAAUAGUUUCAUUACAAAUAGAAUUGCAUCAAAAUACAAAUUACUGAGAAAAUUAGAAUUCAUAAAAUUGACAAAAGUAUUAAAAUCAACAAUAACAAAAAUGCAAUGAAAUACAAACCUCAUUAUGAUGGUAACUGCUCAAUAUUGCAUCACGUAAUCUUAAACCCCUCUUUGCAUCAAAUGAAAAAGGAUAUUGUAAUGUGUCUGGAUUAGAAUCCAGGACCAAACUAUAUCUCAAAGGUCGAAUAUUCAUAAAUGCAGUAUCAACUUUCAAAUAUCUAACAAUUUCCUGAACCACUUGCUUCCAAUCUCUGAAGUCUGCUUCCUACAAACAAAAUUCAUUUGAAAGUCAUUUACACUGCCCUUCACAUAACACAGGCUACAAUAAUGUAUGGUUUUACACUACCAUAGGGUACAUAGCUGACGAGAACAAUAUAAAUGGUGAUAUGUGCAUAGAUAUCAAAUACAUGGUACAUUACAUGAUUUCAAGUUUACAUUUCAGUCAUAACUGAAGAAAUAAUAUAGAUUAUAUAAAUCCUGAAACAAAUACCUGGAAAUUGCGCUUGCACUCAUCGACCAAGACCUUGAGAUGAUCAACAAGUUGGAAAACCAUAUCUCUUCUAUUCAAAACCAAACAAACAAUCAAGAACCUAGCAAGACACCUCAAUUGUUUGUUAGCAAGGUUAAGAUCCUGCGAUGACGAACCAUCCUUGAAAUACUCUCUACUUAAGAUAGCCUCAUAGAAAAUAUACGAUUCAGACAAAUAACUCGCUUCACUCGUUCUAAGAUACUGUCCAUAGUAAAGCUGAGCAAUUCGAGACGCAAUUUCUCCAAUCUCCCAUCUUUUCAAUCCAGCUUCAACUAGUUUUUGUCGAUUUUCUUGUUGGAAUUUCCAUAAUUGUGUAUAAAUCUUGAAUACUUUAUGGAAAUAAGAAUCAUACCUAAAUGAAAUAAUAAAGAAUUAUAAAUAAAUAAAUCUAUCUAUCUAGGGUUUCUAUUCAAUUGAAAAGUGUUAAAAAGAAUUACCUUGCUCUUCCAUAAUGAGGCAAAUCUCUAACCCUAGAAAACUUUCGAUCAGCUUUAUCAACUAAAGACCAAUAUAUUUCACUAAUUGGAAUGUUGUUUUGCGCCAUUUCUGAUCGAGUUAAGAGUGUGAGUGUUAUGGCAAACGCGCGAAAUGAAGAAAAUGGAUUGAAGAGAAUGAAACUUUCGAAAUCAAUUUAGGAAAUUUAAUGCGAUGGAACAUCUAAAGAAAAGAAACUUCGUAAAGUAUGAAAGUGUUUUCUUUGGGUCUCGUUUACAUACACCCAAAGAGAAUGCGAACGACGCACCCCAAAACUAUUGGGCCUUUGCCCUUGGGAGGGAUCCCAAAUUUAUCUUUGAACCUGAACGCGAUUGAAAAUUACUUUUAGUCCUUCUAUCUAGCUUAAAAAUUGUUUUUAGUCUUUUUUUUUUUAACAAGUAUUUCAUAAUUAGCCCUCGUCUCUAUCAGGGUUACUAAGGUUUUAUUGAAUCAUACCAACCAGUGUUGUUAGAUUUUAUUUACUAUUCUUAUCGAUGAUGGUAAAUUAAAAAUUACUUUUAAUAUUUUUCUCCGACUUUACAAUUGUCUAGGGUUAAUAACAAUUUGUCUAGGGUUUGAAGCAAAAAAGUCUGGGAGUGGUUUGUAAAAUGGAUAUUAACAAAGCUUAUAAUCAUGUUAAUUGGAACUUCUUAGUCUACGUGCUUGAAAUAAUGGAUUUUGGUUUGAAAUGGCGUAAGUGGGUGAAACCGGCACGAAGUGGUUUGACAUCAAUUUUGUGACAAAGUGUCUUUGGUUAUCUCGCCUUGAAUUCAUUGUUAGGAAAAUCAAGAUGUACGCAUGGUCGUCUCGUGUCCUUGUGUCUCUUAGGUCUGUCCAGGAAAAGUUAUUGGGUUCUGGACGUACGUACCGGGUUAGGACGUACGUACGUCCACUGAAGCAGCGAACUUCUUUUGGUCAGGACGUACGUACGCAGUUAGGACGUUCGUACGUCCAAGUAGGCAGCAGACGUGUUUUCGUAUGGAGACGUACGUACCGAGUUAGAGCGUUCGUACGUCAUGUUAGGCAGCAGGCUUAUUUUUGUGUGGCGACGUUCGAACGUCAUAUCGACGUACGAACGUCCAAAGUCGGUUUGCACAGUUUCGGCCCAUUUUCCUAAGUUUUCAACCCUAAGUAUAAAUAGGGUUUCUCUUCGAUAGAACAGUUAGUUCUUUGGCCGUCCAAUUCACCUCUCGUGUCUUGGAGUUUGUUUAGGUUUUGGUUUAGGUGGUUUUGGUGAUUGAACUCAUCUUCUUCUUCCCCAUUCAUCUUCUUCUUCAUUAUUGUUUAUAUUGAUUUAGCUUCGAGUCUUCUUGUGUGUUCAUCAAGAAGUCGAGUAUCCUUGUGUGUUCAUCAAGGAACUCUGGUGUAAGCUUGUUACAUAGAUCGGCUUCGAGUCUUCUUGUGUGUUCAUCAAGAAGUCGAGUGUCUUGUGCGUACAUCAAGGUGCUCUGGUGAAGUCAAGGUGUUAGAGAUAACCAGGAGUAUCAACUCGCAGUGAGUGCAGGUAGUUGAUAGGUUUGUACAUCUCUUUUCAUCUAGUGGAUUAUUUGUUGUCGAGAGGACAACCGUGGACGUUUCCCAUAUUGGGUUUUACCACGUUAAAAAUUUCUGUGUGUUAUUUACUUUCUGCAUAUUGUUUAAGUUGUUUGAAUAUUGAACUGUUAGAUUAGCACUAUUUGUAGUUUCUCAAUUGGUAUCAGUCGCUGGGGGCUGGUUAAGGAGCGUCAUGGCUCACGCUAACGAUCCUAUGAGUGCAAUAAUGGUUCAUGAGUCUGGUUAUAAUAAUUUUAAUGUUAAAUCGUCUAAAUCUACAAAACCAAAAUCUGUUUUUGAAAAGGAUGAUAAUUUGUAUGUUGUUAGCAAUAGUGAUUGGGCUCUUCUUUACAGACUUUCUGCAAAAGAAUGUGACAGAUUACAAAAAGCUAAUAUUGAUUUGCAAGAAAAAUUUAAAAAAGCUAAUUGUAAUGUGUCUACUAUUUCUGAUAAUGUUUGUUUUGAAGAUAAUGGUAUUUUGCAGACUAAGGUUGAUUCUCUAGAACAACGACUCAGACAUUGUGCAGAGGACUAUAUGCUUCAAGGGGAAGUUUAUGAAUCCAAAAUUGAACAUUUGGAAAAGGCUAAUCUCUCUUUGCAGGAUAAAAUUGAGAUUCUUGAAAAACAGAUUUCUUGUGCUGCAGAUGAUACAAUUUCUAUUUCUCAAUUAUUUGACAAAGAAAAACUUGACUUGUUAUGUAGAAUUGCAGCUUUAGAGAAGGCCAAUCAGGAGGUCGAUGAGAAAUACAAAUCUCUAUUGGUGGAGUAUGAGGUAACAAAGAACGGUUUAACGUCUACUCAACUCCAAUUGCAGGUUUUGGACAAAACUAGAUUUGAUUCUCCUAUUGAUAGUUCCACUAGUUCAUCUAGUGUGAUUACUCCUGUAAAAUCUACUAGUUUGCCUGCUCUUUUGCCUACCCCACCUAUUGAGACUAGACUUAAUGCUACUAAUUUUCAGCAUGUUUCUCAUAAGAAUUUUAAGUCUAAGGUUAAUGGUAAGGCUGUUUUUACUGAUAAGCCAUAUUGUUCUCAUAAUGGAGGUAUAGGUUUUGUUAAGGCACCAUGUCACAAAUACAAUGGUGACAUACAUGUUUCAUCUUCUACCACCACAUCUUCUUAUAAGAAUUCUUUGAGUAAGUCUAAUGUUUUUCAUUGUUCUUAUUGUGGUAGAGUUGGUCAUUUGGAUAGUUUUUGUUGGGAUUUUGAUCAACAUGUUUCAUCCUAUUCUCGUGUUCCUCAUCGUUAUAAUCAUGUUGAUUCUAAUGUUCCUUCUUGUGCAUUUUCUAGACCUUGGAAUUAUAAUGGUUCUCAUCACAGGUUUAAGAAAAACAGGUAUUCCAACAGAAGCAAGUCUAAGACUAAGGUGGAAUUAGUUAAGGACAAGUGUAUUGCAAAGCGUGUUAAGGGAAAAUCUCAUAUCUUUUCACCUCCCAAGGUGUGCACGCCUAGUGUUAAACAAGUAUGGGUAAGAAAGGAUAAGUUGAAGGUUUUUCUGGACUUGCAAAGGUCUGGUGGUGUCCCAUAAUUGGGAUGAUGUAGUUUGUUUCUAGCCUUGUGUUAUUUGCAUUGCAUAUUUCUCUAACCACAUCGGCUAUGUGUUUGGUGUUUCUACUUUUUAUGCUUUGUUUGUUUAGCUUGCAGAUCAUGUUGCAUGUCUGAAUACAUUGUUGGUUAUUCCUUCUAUUUUUAUUUAUUUAUUCCAUGUAUGUGUUGUUGGAUGCAUCUUUUCUGAGAUAUUGGUUUAAUUCAAUUGUCUUAAAUAAGUUGCAAUAUGUUUGGGUGUUUUCUCUUUCUGAACUCUUAAGUAUGUUUUGGUAUGUAUCAUGUAUUUUUCCUCGCUUGUUUGCACAGUGCACGACAUGCUUGCAUGAUGGGAGUUUUUGGAAACCACUUACAUAUUCUUUGAGCUCAUAGAACUUCUCUAUCUCUCGAGUAUUUAUGUGAACUUGAGCUAUCUCUCCUUUGUUUGGUUAAUGUUCAUCUUGUUGUUCGUAUUAUUGAGCAUUCUUAUCUUCCUAUUACAACUCUUGUUAGUGGUCAAUGACUCACUUUAUCCCCAGCCAUUUGAUUGUCUUUGAAGCAAUAUCAGUUGGCUAAGAACCCGUUGGGGUUGUGAGGGUCAUGCUCUGACGGAUGCACUCAAGAGAUGUUAGUUCUUGUGUUGCACGUUAUCAUGGUAUUGCACUUCUUGAGUUUGUGUUUGUCAAAAAGAUGUAGGCUACACCCUACCCUCGUGUAAUUGAAAAGAUGGAGGCAAAAGCCCCUCCCACAUGGGAAUGACAUUGAAAGAUGUAGACUAAACUCCACCACAUGCGGCAAAAUGAUAAUCCAAGCGCAUGUUCAUUUUUUUUGUAAGGCAUACAAAGUUUACAUUCCUUUGCCUUUUGGAUAUUUUUUUUUGAAAGUUCAUAUUUAUAUUUGUUUGUCUUCUACUCAUAUUGGUUGUUUCAAAGGGGAUUGAAGUUUGUUUCUUCUAAGCUCACUUGCUAAUCGUCUGUCUCUUGUUGAUGGUUAUAUAUUCUAGGUCUUCAAAGGGUGUGUUCUAGUGGUGAACUUUAUCUCUCUUUAUGCAUUGCAUUGCAUCCACACACCGAGGUUUAGUUUAUUAUGCAUUUCAAUUCUCUUAAUUGUUCAAUAUUUUGUUUAUCCCAACAUAUUGCCUCUUAUUUUUGUACGGAUUGGGAUUGGCUACUGUUUUUGGAAGUUCAUGAUGUGUUCCUCUUCACUUCUAUGGUACAUCGGUUAUUUUCCUUUUAUCUUCUUAUUAUGGUUUGUGUUGUUCGUCGGUUUGCUUUCUGGUCUUUAGUUGUUCUUUCAUUCGUUUAAAAAAAAAAAAAAAAAAAAAAAAAAGGGGGGUCGUACGAACGCUGUCAUGACGUUCGAACGUUGAGGUGGGCAGAUCCUUUUCCAACGUACGAACGUUAUUAGAACGUACGAACGUAGGGUCUGACAGAUGUUUUUUUUUGAGUCCCGACGUACGAACGUCUUUAGGACGUACGAACGUCCCUGAUACAGUCCGGCCCAUUUGCUGUUUAAAUUCAAAUUUUGGUUAAACCUUUUGCCCAAUUGUUUCAUUCAAAUCGUGCCAUCUCUCUCUUCGCACGAACAAGUGUGGUUCCUUCUUUCAAGGCUCUACACUCUACUUUCGAAAGAUCACAAAUCUUCUCUCUUUGUAUCUCUCUUAUUUCUCUCUUCCUCUCUUCGUUCUUCUAGCUUGUAUAAGCAAGUCCCUCCCUGCUGUGUUCUAAGUGUUCAAAAGAGUUUUGUGGUGUUUAUCUUCUCACUCUUUCGGCAAUAGUAAGUUCCUCCAUUCUCCUUUUCAUUGCUUGUUAAUGGUUAUUUGUGAUGGAAUUUUUUUUUGUUGUGAGUGAUUAUUCAUGGGGUAACAGAAUUUGAUUUUUAAAGAGUAAAUUCCUUGGUGUCGCUGGGAUUUUUUUUACUUGGCACUUCGUUCCUCCUCUAGUCUUAAUCAUCUGCCAUGUUUAGUGUGAAUGUGAUUGUUGGUUUGCUGUUUUACUAUUGGAUUUAGUUUCUGCGCACUAACUGUUUGACAAAAUGUCUACAUGACUCCAAUGGUUUGUUUAUCUUGUUUGGGAUUACAUUUCACUCACACUUUUCGUUUGUGUACUGGUGUGCUUGUGUAGGAAAUGGCUUCAAAGCGUGCACGCACCACCACGGCCUCCACAUCUAAGGGUGCGUCUUCUCGUGCUCCACGGGGUCGAAGCUCCACUCCGGCCUUGUCGCCUCCUCCCACAUCUCUUGGUGCUCAUCCUCGGGCAAAAGCUAUUGUUCCUGAGCGAUUCUUUGACUUGGCCGACAUUGCUGCUACCCCUCUUGGGACUACUCAACUUGGCAACAUAUCCAUCUUCUUUGAGACUCGGAAUUGGCUAAGGGUGGCUCAACCAAUCACCAAGUACUCGGUUGAGCAUACGAUAGCCUUCUAUGAGACAAAGACACCCUCGCAGAAUCGCUCGAGUUUCUCAGUCUUGAUUGAAGGUCGGCGAUACACCAUUACUCCUAAGGUGAUACGCGAGGCGUUGGGUAUUGAUGGUGACUUUGUUCCUGAAGAUGCUGUUUCGGUCAGAUGGCCCGUUCCGGAUACGAUUCAAAUUGACUUUGUCAAUCAGGUUCAGCAGAUGUUUAUUGAUGGUGUCACGGAAAGGUAUCAUGCCAAGCACUACAGCGCCAUCCUCUUACACAUGGUUGCCCAUUCCAACAUCUACCCCUCCAAGGGCAACAAGAUUAUCAUGACCGAUGACAUGGUCAAAUUGGUGGUCUGUAUGUCGGUGCACCAUCUUCAUCUCUUUGAGGUCAUCUACACUCGAAUGCUUCAGAUCGAUGCAGCUAAGGAAUCCUCUAUGGCAGAAUAUGAACUUCAUGGAAUUUUUGUUCCGACUGUUGGUUAUGUGUCGUUCAUGGUGAUGGAGUACAAAAACAAUGCUAAGGUUUGUCGUCUAUGUCGCGUUCCCCAUGGAUAUGACUAUAUUCAUCGACCUUUUCUUAAUCCUUGUUUGGUUCGUGUCAAUCAUUGGGAGAGAUUACCGGGACAUCUUCAAAAUCACAUCUUGGAGUUGGUUGGUUAUCCGAAGGUUCCAGGACUUGCUGCUCCACUUACCGACUGUGGCUUGGACAGCAGAAUUGAGGAGUUGUUUUGUAAGAGUGAAUGGCUGGAGGAUUAUGAUGAUCAUGUGAUUGCUAGGUGGAAUCGACCUUCGGCUCGUGCGGAAGCUUACUUCUCCAAGCUUCCUCUAGGUCAUUGGGAACGGGUUUUUCGAAUUCGUUAACUCAAGCUUUAUGUUUUUGUCGUUUUGUCUUUUCUGUUUAUGGAUUCCUAUGUUUGGUUAUUAGUUGAUUUUCUGAACUUUUAACAGUUGGGUUCGGUUUAUAUUUUUAUCUGUUUUGUAUUCUUUGUUUGGUAUUGAUUUCUUUUUCUUGAUUAUUGGGUUAUUGUUGUUCUUUUCCUUUGUUGGUUGGUUAUUUUGUUCACUUGUUGUGACAAAAAGGGGGAGAUUUAUGACUCUAAUUACUAACAAUCGUCUUCUUGUUGUUAGGUUAUUCUUGGGUCAUGUUUCAGGUAUGCUAUACGUAUGGGGGAGUGAACGUGUUGAUGAUUUUAGACGUUAUAUUGUUAUGGGGGAGUUCGAGUGUCAAAAAUAUUAUGGAGCUCAUGAAGUAUGGGGGAGUUGCUCGAAGGAACUUCGGUUGAAUCCUUGAUUGCCUCGGAAAUUUCUAGUUGCUUUCGUUCGAUCUCUGAUGGUGACUUGUUAAAGCUGGAUAACAAGAAUUGGUGACUUGUUAUGUGUUUCUAUUUUGAGUGAUUUUGUAGGCAUGUUUUAUAAAUGCCAUGGUUUGGGAUUGUAAGCACGUUUUAUAAGUGCUAUUAGAGUCAUAGGUUUUUGUCACAAAAUCAAUGUCAAAGGGGGAGAUUGAAACCGACACGAAGUGGUUUGACAUCAAUUUUGUGACAAAGUGUCUUUGGUUAUCUCGCCUUGAAUUCAUUGUUAGGAAAAUCAAGAUGUACGCAUGGUCGUCUCGUGUCCUUGUGUCUCUUAGGUCUGUCCAGGAAAAGUUAUUGGGUUCUGGACGUACGUACCGGGUUAGGACGUACGUACGUCCACUGAAGCAGCGAACUUCUUUUGGUCAGGACGUACGUACGCAGUUAGGACGUUCGUACGUCCAAGUAGGCAACAGACGUGUUUUCGUAUGGAGACGUACGUACCGAGUUAGAGCGUUCGUACGUCAUGUUAGGCAGCAGGCUUAUUUUUGUGUGGCGACGUUCGAACGUCAUAUCGACGUACGAACGUCCAAAGUCGGUUUGCACAGUUUCGGCCCAUUUUCCUAGGUUUUCAACCCUAAGUAUAAAUAGGGUUUCUCUUCGAUAGAACAGUUAGUUCUUUGGCCGUCCAAUUCACCUCUCGUGUCUUGGAGUUUGUUUAGGUUUUGGUUUAGGUGGUUUUGGUGAUUGAACUCAUCUUCUUCUUCCCCAUUCAUCUUCUUCUUCAUUAUUGUUUAUAUUGAUUUAGCUUCGAGUCUUCUUGUGUGUUCAUCAAGAAGUCGAGUAUCCUUGUGUGUUCAUCAAGGAACUCUGGUGUAAGCUUGUUACAUAGAUCGGCUUCGAGUCUUCUUGUGUGUUCAUCAAGAAGUCGAGUGUCUUGUGCGUACAUCAAGGUGCUCUGGUGAAGUCAAGGUGUUAGAGAUAACCAGGAGUAUCAACUCGCAGUGAGUGCAGGUAGUUGAUAGGUUUGUACAUCUCUUUUCAUCUAGUGGAUUAUUUGUUGUCGAGAGGACAACCGUGGACGUUUCCCAUAUUGGGUUUUACCACGUUAAAAAUUUCUGUGUGUUAUUUACUUUCUGCAUAUUGUUUAAGUUGUUUGAAUAUUGAACUGUUAGAUUAGCACUAUUUGUAGUUUCUCAGUGGGUCCAUACAUGUUUGGCUACUUCACAAUUUUCAGUCAUGAUUGAUGGUGCACCCGAGGGCAACUUUAAAGCACAAAGGGGUUUAGACAAGGUGACCUUUAUCACCUUUUCUUUUCCUCAUUGUCAUGUUGGCACUAGCUUGACUUAUGGCUAAGUGCAUACACAUGGGGUGGAUUGAGAGUUUUCAUGUUGGUAACGGUGACAAUGAGGUGAAAGUGGGUAUCUUUUAAUUUGCGGACGAUACCAUCUUUCUCACCAAUUAAUGCAAGCUUCCCUUCCCUCUCCACUAUCAAGUUGGUUUUGUUUGUGUUUGAAGGCAUCUCAGGUUUGAAACUAAACUUUGUCAAGUCAUCCAUCGUCGAAGUGGGAUCAGUUACAAAUGUCGUUGAGGCAUCGUUUUUGGGAUGUGAAGUAUUUAAGCUCCCAUUUAAAUACCUUGGCCUCCCCUUUUGAACCAAGUAUAAGAAUGUGGAGGUUUGGACGUCGGUAACCGUGUAGUUCCAAAAAACAAAAAAAAAAGUUUGAUGGUUGGAAAAGAAGAUUACUAUCCAAAAGAGUUUGCCUUCUUUUGGCCAAAAGCACUCUCGCUAGCCUUGAUAUUUACCACCUCUUUAUACUUAAUAUCCCCACAAGCAUAGCUAACAAGCUUGAGAAAAUUACGAGAGAUUUCAUUUGGGACUCAAAUGAAGAAAAUAGGAAGAUCCAUUUGUUGGCAUGGGAUAUUGUAUAUACUCUAAUGAAAGAAUGGGACUUGGAUUCUGUCGCUUGAAAACCAUGAAUCAAGCUCUUUUAUCUAAACGGAUUUGGAGGUUUAAUAAUGAGCAUGAGGCUCUUUGGAGAAGAGUAAUAGUAGCAAAAUAUGGUAAAAACAAAGAGGGAGGAAGACAUCCGAGAACCAAAUAACUGUAUGGUUGUAGUUUAUGGAGAGGUAUACAAGUAGCACAAGAGUUUUUUUUUACCAACAUCAAUCAUGUGGUGCACAAUGGUGAAAAAACCUCGGUUUUGGCAUGAUAUAUAGCUAGGUAACUAUAUUCUUGCUCAUAGAUUCUCUCGAAUCUAUAAGUACGCCACCUUAAAACAUGGUUCGUUGAAGGAACACUUUAAAGCGAACCACUCUUGGAAUCUCCAUUGGAGAAGGUUACGAUAUAGGGAAAGUGAAAGAACGCAACUUGUUCUUCUAAAUGGGCUAUUUGAUGACCUACAUUUGGAAGAUAAGAAUGACACUUGGGAAUGGAAGUGUAAGAAGAACAAAGAAUUUUUAGUAAAGACUGGUUACUUCAAUCUUAUGGGAUCAAGGAACAAUAGAGUGGAGCGAGUAUCACAAUUUCCAUAUAAGAUUGUUUGAGAUAUGAAAAUCCCGAUAAAUGUCAAAUUCUUUUGUUGGGGUUUAUUUUGGGAUCAUGUGUUUACUCAGGAUAAGCUAUAGAGAGGGGGAAUGGUGUUGGCAAAUAGAUGUGCACUGUGUAAGGAGGCUGAAGAAUCUAUACCUCAUCUCUUUAUUCAUUGCAGGUUCACUAAAGAGAUGUGAAGUAGUCUGGUCUUUGUCAACUUUAGUUUUGUUGCAUCCCCGCAGACAUUGACUCAGUAAAAGAGUUGGUGGAAAAGUGGCCAUCAAUGAAUAAUAGAGGCAUUUUUGAAUGUAAAUGGUAUAUAUUGCCAUACAUUUUGUUGUGGUGUAUAUGGAAGGUUUGUAAUCUAUAUUAUAAUCUACAAAGGGUACAUAAAAUAGAUAAGUUUGGGUUAUAAGUAACGAUCUGGAUUCUCUCGAGUUUGAAGUUGUAGAUUAGAUCUGCGGCUGUGAUUGGAUUGGAGACAAAUUCAUUUAUUAAUCGUUAGAGUGGAUGGUUGGGAUCACAUUUAGAUUGGGUCCAAACUUAAGUUGUGUUAGAUGGUUGGGCCCAUUUUAUUUAGGGUUUGCUACUUCGUGGAUACAUCAGGUGGUCCAAUUUGAUCUCAAUUUUUCGGCCCAAUUUAGUCUUUCUUCUCCGUUCUCUAACCAAACCAAUUUAGUCUUUCUUCUCUCUCUCUCUCUCUCUCUCUCUCUCUCUCUCUCUCUCUCUCUCUCUCUCUCUCUCUCUCUCUCUCUCUCUCUCUCUCUCUCUCUCUCUCUCUCUCUCUCGAUUGAAGAAAUAUCAACAAACAGUUCACUUUAUUUGUUAAUGUAUCUCGAGCAGUUUUCAGGGGUCCAAUAGCUAUUAAAGGUAACAUGCCUUUUCAAGUUUUAAUUUUCUUUGAUUCAAUUGAUAUGUAGCAGAUUUUUUAAACCUACAAUUUUCAGAAAUUUUAAUUUCAGCAAAUUUUUUACUAGGAUUAAUUUCGGCAAGUUGUAAGUUUUAUCUCUAGAAGGAAAAGAUAUUUGUUUACUAGGACUUAUCCUUUAGGUUUGUAGCAAUAAUUUAGAAGUUGCAAGUAAGAUAAAAUUUGCUCCACUCACGAUUACCUGUUUAAUGUGCAAAUGUAAUUAUAUGAUGUAUAUGAAUGAGUUCAAUUUGUUACUAAUUAAAGUCACAAUCCUUCGUAUGUUUCGCAAAAGGAAUAAAACCAAUUAGAGAUUAUUCAAUUUUUAUUGUAUUUAGAAAUUUGUACCGAUAUCAGAAUACUCCUCAUCUAGACAACCAGAGUAAUUGUGAAUUUUUCAUAUCUUCCUAAGGAUUGUUGAUGAAUACUCUGAGAAAUUGUGAAAUGCUCUUUUCUUUAUAAGCAUUGUUUAUGGUUCCACUUACUUGAAUCUUGGUUCCACUUACUGAAUCUUAUCAUUUCUAGAUAUAUUUCUUUUAGUUUUUGGUACCAAGGGUUUAAAAGCGAUUGCAAGUAGAUAUACAUUUCAACAUGGUACAAUGCAUUAUUUCAGUAGUCUUUCUCUAUAGACAACAUUAUUUUGUUAUUGUGUUUUAAUAGAAAGAUAUCUUUUUUCUAAUCUUUUUUUCACUGCUUUGACAUUGUAUUCAAUUACGUAGAAGUUUUGUGCGGCUCAAACUUACCUGAACUCCGAAAGAAAGAAAAUCUAUCUAAGUAAUAUUUCUUUUUGCGAGAUUGAUAUUCUCUUUGUCAGUUAGUUCUCUUCCUAUACUUCUAUGCAUAUUGUAUAUAUUGUUUCUAUGCAUAUUGAAACCAGUAUAGGGUGCAUAGUUCGACUAGAAUUGAUUAGUAUGAUGUGCAUAGAUUUCGUUAAACCUUAAAAAUUUACCUACUCCAUAUCUGUCAUCAUCAUCAUAUAAAUUGAUUAGUUCAAUAAAAACUCUAUCAUUCUCGAAAAAAUUGAGAAGUGAGCUACUCCAACAAUUUUAUAGGAAUUGAUGGCAUUCUCUGCACCAUUGAAAUUAUGAGGAACCUUUCAGUUAUAAUCAUUUUUUUCACUCCAACCCAUUAGGCCUUUGGGAGCAAGGACCCACAUUUUAUUGGCAAUGGCACUCGGUCUCUAAAUAUGGUAGGUGUGCUAAGAAGAGUGUAAAAGUAGCAUGCCAUGUAAUUCAACCAGUCCAAUCAUAAAGAUUGCCAUAACAUGUAUAGAUCCUAAGGUUAAUUACCAUCUUAGCCUAGCUGCAUAAGUUGCAUUUUAUGUGAGUUGGAGCGGACCAAGAGUAGAUGAUGACUCUGACAGUGUGAAGUUCAGUAGUAUGUCAUGGAGGCAGAGAUCAUUCGACGCAAGGUAACUUUUAACAGUUUUUGUUUCAAGAUUCCCCUUUCAGUAAAUGAAUGUUAAAAUAUAAUGUUAUAAGAUUAAAUUUUAAUAUGAAUCAAUCACUAAAAUAAUGUACAGGUUCUUUUAUACUGUAUGCAUCUAUGACAACUGAAGUAGAACAAACAAAAUAACAAAAUAAUUGUAGGUGAAAGUUAAUUAGGGAGUUCAUCAAUCCCACGAGUCAGAAAGUUUUUCUUAUUUUAAAAGGGAAACUUGAGAAGAUCCAAUAGGUAGCUAGGAAAUCAAAUAUGAAUCAUGGAUUGUGAAUAUCUAUAGCCUUAUAAGUCACAAUAACCUGCAGCUUUGUCUAUACAGUGUUUGGAAAUAAAUUUUAAUGUCUAAAUCAAAUCUAAAAGACAACAUAUUAAAAUUCUUGAAUUAAUUUUAUUUGAUUUUUUGGAAUUUAACUGAUUUGAGAAGGCUUACACAAGACCGAGUUAAUAGAUGACAUAUUAGAUUUUACAUAGCACCGAGGCCUUUGUUUAUAAAACACUCAACACUCUAAGAGGAAUCUGAAACUGAGCUAUCCAGUAGGAUGGUUAACCUAUAUUGAGUUUUGAUUCUUAGUUGUUAAAGAAUGACAAUCACUCUUCUUUUCAAUAUAUCGUCGAGUACUAUGUGGUGUUGAUCACACUGUAACUCUCUUUGAAAUUUUCAAUUUCGUAGGUGUAUCCACUUUUUGCAGCAGUUGGUAUUUGCGGCUAUCAACUCAUAAAGUGAGGUACUUUUUUUUUAUUAUUAAAUCCCUUUUUAUUUGCAAAAUAACAAGCCAAUAAUCAGUUGCCAAUACAUUUAAAACAAAUUAUCCUUAAUUACAACUAAAGUCUUAGGGUAAUACUUAACCAUAUCGGCUAAAAUGUUCAAUGUCAUUACUAAUAAGCGUUUGGUUUAGUUGAACUGUUUUAAUGAUCAUUUGUGACUCUUCUUAAUCAGGAUGGAUUUCUAUGUUAAUCUUUCGAUGCCAUAUAUUCUAUAUUAUCGUGCUCUAACAUACAUCCCUUAUAUAUUUAUUUAUUUUUGGAUGAAUCAAAGUUCUAUGGAUUCAGUACUGUCCCCUCUAUUAUCCUAGGAUCGUUUGGGUUUGCUUUCUGUGUUUUCAUUCAAAUCUCCAUGCACAACUCUGAUUAAAUUUAACUGAAAAUGGUAUAGUUAUUUUUGUCCAUUCCUCUGGUAUUGGGUAUAGAGGAGGGCUGAAAGCAAAGGACAUAGAUUGCAAGAGGGGUUGAACAUUGUAAUGUAUAAGGGGACAAUUCAGAUGGCUUUUCUUUUGCAAAAAGUGAAAAACUUAUACCAAUAUGCAGAGCAAUUUAUAGCAUCUAUAUAUACAUAGUCUAUGAAAAUUUUGAUUUGCUAUUUUUCCAAAAUAAAUUUGCCAAAUAGGUUCAUACCCAGAUGGUCAUGAGACCUUUUCUGAUCCUGGUUUUCUUUUGCCAUCCGUUAAACACUAAACCAAUAUGCAGAGCAAUUUAUAGCAUCUAUAUAUACAUAGUCUAUGAAAAUUUCGAUUUGUUAUUUUUCCAAGUGACAUUGAUAGACAAAAAUGUAUGUAAGGGCAUACCUAUAUAAGAGUCAUUAUAUAGUUAGAAAUACCUAUUAUACUAAGAAUAAUAAAGCAAUAUGUGAUUAGAGACUCAUAGAUUGAAUCAAGUGUAUGAUAGUUAUAAUGAGAAGAUGUAUGAAUGACGUUUAAGAUCAGAUAGUCACUAAACAUUAAAAUUGAAUACAAAAUAGUAAGAUAUUAGCCUUCUGUAAUAUCUGGGUAUCUUAUAAAAGCGUUGAACAUACACUAUCUAAACCACCCGUUAGAUAAUCAUAGCUGGAAUUUGAAAUUUUACCCAAUUAGAUAAUCAUACCCAAUUAGACAUCAUGAUCGAUGCAAAAUUGAAAUUUUCAUAAACUGUAGGAUGAGUAAAAACUAAUCUUUUGUUUAUAUGUGAUCGCUUUCUGUUUGGCUCUAUUGGAUAUAAGUUCUUCAGAGCUGUAAGGAAGCAGAUUGGUUUAACUUUAUAAUCAGUUACUUUCUUCCACUUAGAGUCAUUUUUAAAUUUCUAUAUUCUGUGUUUAGUAAAUGUGUCUUACAUUAUACAUCAUCGUUUGUAACAAGAAGGUGAUGAUUAUGGGGAAACUCUGAACCCAAUAUAUAGUUUUAUCACAUCUCUUUCUUUUACAAAAUAAAUUGAACAAGAAGAAAUAUAACAGUCCUCCUCAACCAUAGAUAAAUAUUGGUAAGAAAUUUGUUUUACAAAAAUAUCUAAAUAUUCAGCAAUAACUAAUUCAGUACAUGGGCCUGAUAGAACUAGGUUUAGACUCUUUAAAGUUUUAAAGAGAGUUACUACUGGUAAGAAAUUUGUUUUACAAAAACAUCUAAACAUUCAGCAAUAAGUAGUUCAGUAAAUGAGCCUGAUAGAACUAGUUUUAGUCUCUUUAAAGUUUCGAAGAGGGUUAAUACUGAUAAGAAAUUUGUUUUACAAAAACAUCUAAACAUUCAACAAUAAGUAGUUUAGUGCAUGAACUCGAUAGAACUAGGUUUAAACUCUUUAAAGUUUUUGAUAAGAAGAUCAUAGUGAUAAGAAGAUCAUAGUGAUAGUCGUCAUAUAUAGCCAAACUGUUAAUUAUUUGAUGUACACACCUGCCUACAAUGAAAACUUUAUAAGUACUUAUCAAAGCUAUUGAGCAUUAGAAUUAUUUUUUAUCAACUUUAAUUAAUGGAUGGAGUUUUCUCUACCGUUUGAUAACUGGAGAUCUUGAUUUGUGGCUGUGAUUUGUUUGAGGCCGGGUUAAUUAGAAUUAGGUUAAAAGAAACUAAAAAGAAAAAUAUAUAACCUGCAGAUUUUCUUCUCUUUCUAUCCCCCUUCGUCUCUAACCACUCUUUCUCUUCGUCUUUCUCAUUCUUCCUGCUAAAUCUAAACCAUUGAAUAUAAAGUCUUCUUUCAAAUCACCCAGCCAUAAACUUCUUGGAAAAUUUUCAUUUGUUGUUUGCUCUCCAAGUCUCCAGUACUUGGAUUUGAAUUUGACAUGUAGGGUUAGUAUUGUUGUUUUUGUAUAAAAAUGGUUAGUAUUAUGAUUUGGUUGCUGCAAUUUCAAAUAUUCUUUGCAUCAACUAUUGAAUAUACAUGUACGAAAACUGUUUUGGAAUUACAUCAAAUUUAAGACCAAAAUGAAUGGUAAAUUGUACAUAUUGUUGUUGAUUAGGGAAGAUUGACACAUGGAAAAUAGUUAUUUGAAAUGUUUUUAUUUAUUAGAUUAAAUACGUAAAUUGAGUACAAUAUAAUCUACUAGGAGUAUAGGUAUUUGUUAGUUUGCGUUCUGGGUCUGUCAUUUUCAGAACCAGAACUGAAAGGUCAUAUACGAUAGGUCCCAAUUAUGCAAUAGUAUGGAAAUUAAUAAAAUAUGUGAUUAUAUUGGACAUUCAUUCCUAGGUUUUUUCAUCAACAUUUGGUUUUGAAUUUAGGAGAUCUCACUAAUGAAUCUAAUGACAUCUUUGGGACUAAGUCAUCUCGAAUUUGGUUUUAUGGAAGGUCAUUUGGUCAAAUGGGAUAGAGUCACACAAUUAAGGUAUGAACUUAUAUAGGUAUGAACUUGCUAUUCACCGCAUAUUUGUCAUUAGCCAAUCUCUUAUACUUUUAUUGGUAAAAAAUAUACUUUGUUCUUACUAUGGCAAAUUAAAUUAACAAUAGGAUGUCUGGGGCUGACUGAAAGGAUUCGAUUAUAUUGAAAAACCCAGCCCUCCCACCCAACUUAAAGUCAUUUCCCCAAUUCCAUUUUCUCAAAUGGCUACCCAAGAGGUAACGAUCCAGGAAUUGAGAGACCAACUCAAUCGUCUCCAGGAAGAAAAUGCCCGUUUAAAAGCUGCACAAGUUGCAGAAACAAACCCAGAACAGGGGGCUGUCAUCGCUGACGACAGCAAUCGAAAAUAUGAAGAACUCAGUCAGCAACUCGCUGAGUUCAAAGCUUCUCAGGCCGCUAUACAGUUGAGUAAAGGGCACACAGCCGAACAGCUCGCUGUCCAGUCUCUACAACAUUUCCAGGAAUCUCCUUUCACCACGGAGAUCCUCGAGCAAGAGUUGCCUAACAAACUCAAUGCUCCUAAGUUCGAUCAAUACGCAGGGAUAGGAGAUCCAACAGACCAUAUCAAGGGUUUCCGCAAAUCACUUCCACUCAUCAAGGAAGAUCAUUUGUUAUGUUUACUAUUCUAGUCCAGCUUCACCGGACCUGCUCUUGAUUGGUUCCAUCGCUUGAAGCCGGGCUCAAUCAGCUCGUUUGCUGAUCUAGAGAAGCAGUUCGUUAUAUUCUACAUCCACAACAAAAAACGUCCAGUCACCAUCGACGCUAUGUUCAAAGUGAAGCAACGAGACGGUAAACUUUUGAGCAAUUUCUUUGCUCGAUUCAAAACAGAACUGCACUCUAUUCAAGAUUUUGCAAAAGAGGACGAGCCUUUCGCAACAAUCGCGUUCUCUCACGGUCUGAUCCAGGGAUCAGAUCUGCAUAAGUCUUUGGCCAUGAAACGGCCAUAAUCUCUAGACGAGCUCUACUUCAAGGUAGAUCGUUACAUCAAGCUCGAAGAAGCCCUAGUUGGUAGGGAAAAAACUCAUGUCAUUUCAAACGUGGAAGGAGGUUCCACUAAAAAACCUCGAUCAGACAACAAGAGAUUCAAAGCUAAGGUGUUACCCACAGAGCAACGUGAGUACCACCGAUUCACAAGACCAGCAGGGUAUAUCUAUGAGCGCAUCAAGCACAACCAUUGGUGCAAGAUUCUAGACUUCACACAUUUGGAGGACACAUCUGGUUGUCCAUAUUGCAAGGUCCACAAGGUCAUAUGCCAUCAAACUGAUGAUUGCCGUAUACUGAAGCGAGCUCUUCAGACAUGGGCCGAUGAAAAAAGGCUCAACAACUGGAUCUACGACAGGCAAGAAGAAUCCAGCGAGAAAAGAACAAAGAAGAGAUCAAGAACGCCUACACGUUCAGCAAGGCGAUCUCUGAGUAAGGUCAGAACGGCCUCCACAAGCCCGGCCCGCAGCAGAGGGCGUAGCCUCUCUAGAAGACUAGGUCCAACAGGCGACCUACGCGACCAAAUCAACAAGCAGGUCGCGAACAAGAUAGAUGAUGGUAGUGAAACAAAGAGUCAUGUCGUAUACAUGAUCUAUGAAUCCAACUCCACCCCAGUAUCCAGAGAAAAGAAGAGACGAGUAGAACGUCUCCACCACGUCUACUCAAUCACAGACCGAGCAGCUCGAACCAACCUCCCAGCUCGGCAGGAGACAAAUCUAAGCUUUAUUGAGGACGACCUAAACAAGGUCGUUACACCAGACAACGACGCUCUGGUCGUUGAGUUAAGAAUUGCUGACUACAUAGUCAAGAGGGUCCUCAUUGACCCAGGUGCAUCCUGAACAUACUGAUGUACAGGACUUUCAAGGAUAUGAGGCUUCCCGAUUCAGUUCUCAUUCCUGAUUUCACUCCAAUCUUGGGUUUCAAUAGCUCGAGAGAGGAUCCAAAAGGAGAAAUACUCCUGCCCGUCAUUGUGGGAAGAAAAGAAGACAAGGUCAUCGUGACCACAAAGUUCAGCGUCCUCAACAUCGCAAGUAAGUAUAAUACAGUCGCAAAUGGAUCCAUGCCAUGAGAGGUGUACCAUCAACGUACCAUCAGGUGUUCCGUUAUCCUGGCCCCAAUGGGUAAUGAAGCUUCGAGGCAAUCAGAACGCUGCCCAAGAAUGCCAUGGAAUCAUUGAAGCUGUGGCAUCUGAUAAGCCAUCCACCUCAGAAUCCAAGAACGCUGAGCAGCAGAUAAAGAGUCCACCGACCUCAGAAGCCAAGGAGGUCGAGAAGCAAACAAAGAGCCCGUCUAAAGGAAAGGCUGAAGCAGCCAAAUAGCAAUUAGAGCAGGAGCAAGCGAGCUCCCCCUAGCUGUCACUUGGAAGCACAGAUCCAGGAGUGCGAGUGAACUUAGGGUCAGAAGACGACCCGAGAUAUGUUUAUGUGGGCUCAGAAUUAAUGGAAGAUAAGUAUAACGAUUUUGAACACUUUCUUUCUUUAAAUAAAGAUGUUUUUGCUUGGUCGUACAUCGAUAUGCCUAGAAUAGACCCAUCAAUAGUAUGCCAUAAACUACGUGUCAAUCCAAAGUAUCGACCUGUCAAGCAAAAAUCAAAAGACUUGCCCCAAAAUUUCAUCAAGCAGUCAAUGAUGAAAUCAGUAGACUCAAACAGGUCGGGUUCAUCAAGGAAGUUGACACAUCAGAUUGGUUGGCCAACAUAGUUCCAGUCUUAAAGAAGAACGGGAAAACAAGAGUUUGCAUCGACUUCACAAGCUUGAAUAAAGCUUGCCCUAAAGAUUCAUUCCUACUCCCACGAAUCGAUAGGUUAGUCGAUCAGACCUGUGGUUUCAAGCUACUGUCAUUCAUGGACGCGUACUUAGGCUACAACCAGAUCCCAAUGUACGAGCCAGAUCAAGAAAAGACUUCAUUCACAACGGAGCAAGGAAUCUUUUGUUACAAGGUUAUGCCUUUUGGCUUAAGAAACGCUGGAGCGACCUACCAGCGACUCGUUACCAAAAUGUUCGACGACCUGCUAGGUCAAACAAUGGAGGUCUAUAUCGACGACAUGUUGGCCAAGAGCAGCCUCGAGCAAGAUCAUUUGGCUAAUCUCGACCAGACAUUCCAAAGGUUAAGGCAAUUUAGAAUGAGACUUAACCCAGAAAAGUGUCUAUUCGGAGUAACAUCAGGGAGAUUUCUUGGCUACCUAUUUACAAAGAGGGGUAUUGAAGCAAACCCUGACCAGAUCAGAGCCCUGGUCGAUAUGCCCAGCCCGAAGACAAAGAAGCAAAUCCAAAAGCUCAACGGCAUGGUAUCAGCUCUUAAUAGAUUCAUUUCUAGAGCAUCCGAUAAGUGUCGACCAAUGCUUCAUAUUCUUAGAAGGGGGGCUGCAUAUCAAUGGAUAGAAGAAUGCGAAAAAGUCUUUACCGAGCUGAAGGCAUACUUAUCCACUCCACCAGUCCUCACAAAGCCUAAUAAUGGAGAUGUGCUUGGGAUCUACCUCGCCACUUCAGAUUUUGCGAUCAGCGCAAUACUGUUCAAGGAGGAAAAUCAGGUCGAGUGACCAAUCUACUUCACAAGCAAGGUGUUGCAACAAGCAGAAAUAAAGUACACACCUCUGGAAAAGUUAGCAUUAGCUCUUCUUUACGUUGCAUGCAAAUUUAGACCUUAUUUCUAAGCACACACCGUUAAAGUAAUCACCGACCAGCCACUACGGCACGUACUAGAGAAGAAGAACAAACCAGGUCGUAUGGCUCGAUGGGCAGCCGAGAUCGGUGAUUACACAUUUGAGUUCGUGCCCCGCCAGGCCGUCAAGGGCCAGGUCGUAGCUGAUUUCUUAGCAGACUAGCCUAUCGAAGAUUUUAGCUGGGAACCAGAACCAGAAACCAGACAAGUCCAAGUCGAUCCACCAGACACUUGGCAACUCUACGUUGAUGGUUCACACAACUCGAAUGUAAGUGGCAUCGGUGCCGUACUCAUCUCACCUGAGGGCUCACAACUCGAAAGGUCAACUCGAUUAGACUUCUCGACCUCUAAUAAUGAGGCCGAAUAUGAAGCUCUAAUCCAAGGUCUACAAAUGGCUAUCGACCUACAAGCAGUUCGACUCAAAGUGUUUAGCGAUUCGCAACUGGUAGUAAAUCAGAUUACAAACAACUACCAAAUACAUGGAGUCAAUUUGAUAAGAUAUGCAAACAAGGCAAAAGAGUUAAUCAACAAAUUCAGUUUCUUCAUCAUCGACCACAUUCCAAGAGAUAAUAACCGACAUGCUGAUUCACUGGCAUUCCUUGCAUCCAAGGUCGAAUCAGAGCGACCUCGAGCUCUAACCAUAGCAGUAAAUACGCUACCUGCGUAUCUACUAAAGGAGGAAGUGGUCAACCAAAUAAGCGACCUGCUAGCCACAACCUCAGAAGAUAUCAAGGGAACCUGGAUGGAACCCUUCAUCAGUUAUUUGCAAACUGGCGAGCUCCCACCUAACAAGAAGGAGGCCAGCCAAUUAUUGCACAAGGUCACUAUGUACAGGCUACAUGAGGGAAAGUUAUUUCGAAAAUCAGUAACUAGCCUGCUCCUAAGAUGUCUAAUUCCCAAGCAUGGACAAAUCAUCUUCCAAGAGAUUCACGAAGGAGAAUGUGGAAAUCAUUCAGGAGGUCGCACACUUGCUCAUAAAGCGAUCUCACAAGGAUAUUUAUGGCCAAGAAUGAAGGAGGAUGCUAAGAAAUUUGUGCUAAAGUGUAAGGAGUGUCAACGUUUUGCUGAUCACGCUCAUCAGCAUCCCAACGAACUCAUCAACAUCACUGCCCCCUGGACAUUUCACAUGUGGGGGCUCGACAUCAUGGGUCCACUGAUCAAAGAAAAGAAAUAUGAGAAGAGAUAUGUUCUAGUCGCGGUCGAUUACUUCACCAAAUGGGUAGAGGCCGUCGCCCUCACUAACAUCACUCAAGCAGAUGUGCAAAGAUUUAUGUGGGAAAACAUAAUCACAAGAUUUGGUUUACCCAAGAGAAUUGUUACAGACAACAGAACCCAGUUUGUCGGGAAAAACAUUAAGGCUUUCUAUGCACUAUGGAAAAUCGAGCACUCUAGAUCGACUCCUCGAUAUCCACAAAGCAAUGGCCAGGUCGAAGCUGCGAAUAGGCAAAUUCUAUCUAACUUGAAGAAAAAGCUUGAAGAUCAGGAAGACCAAUGGCCACAACAGCUGGAAAACAUCCUCUGGGCCUACCGAAUAACUCCUAGAACAUCAACAAGAAUGUCUCCAUUUAGCCUUUGCUAUGGAGUUGAAGCUGUCAUUCCAACCGGGCUGACAUUUGGCACGACCAAGUCACUACUGGUCGAUACCGAGCUCAAUAACCAAGCCUGGUCGUUUGGAAUAGAUCUGGCCGAAGAAAGAAGGAACCACGCCACCAUUAAGCUCGAGCAAUACCAACAAAGGCUCAAACGAGCUUAUAACAAAGGCGUCCGACCUCGAUCUUUCCAACCUGGCGAGCUCGUGUUAAGGACAAUGUUCCACAACAAAAGAAAAGCAAAUGUUGGAAAGCUCAAUGCCAACUGGGAAGGUCCUUACAUCAUCAAAAAGGUUCAAAGCAAUGGAUCUUAUCGUCUUCAAACUCCAGAAGGGGAAGAUGUGAAGAAUCCUUGGAAUGCUUAUCAUUUGAAGAAGUUUUACCAGUAAAAUGUAAGCAUGCAUUCUCAUAUUUCAAUAACGAGCUCAAUUUUGCCUUCAUUUCAUUUCAAACAUGAAUGGCUUGACUAGGUUUAACUCAAUCCCCAGACCUCCAAAUUAUCAAUACUCUAGUCCCUUCGAUAAUUUUUAAAGUGUUAAGUUGACAUCUGUAAUCCAACUAACAUUCUUUACUUAGGUCAUUACUAUCCCACGACCUAAGUAAAAUCGAGCUCAUACUCAAUCGACCAAAUCCUAGAACAGCUCGAGUUUUUGACUUACUAUAUGUUUGUGAAUCCAUACAAGCAGACAAUCCAAGAAAAAUAAGGGCCAGCAAGGUAAACAAAUGAAAUUUAAUUUUAUUCAUUUUCUUCAAAAGCCUAACUAUUAUAGGAAAAAUGAUCUGCUACAUCGACCUAAACUACUUGGGGGCUAGGCCAACAUUCCACAUAUCCAACUCGCAAGAAGGAGGUCACCUGCAAAUAUAAGGCAAAACUACAACGACGAGAAGGAAAAAAACAAAUUCAUUUAACUAAGGCAUACAAGAGGAAACAUUUCAGUCCGCCCUGCUUGCACCCAUUCAUCUCGUCUACCUGCCUUCUGAACGAGCUACCAGGACUCCCUGGAAACUAGUCGCCCAGAUAGACAACUUACAUUAUCCACAACAAGGAACACAAAUGCAGAAGUAAAGGCGUAAUUGACCUGCCGAAGCAGAUCGAUCGCUAUUGUUUACGGUUACAACUCAUCAAAACAAUAUUCAAGAACAUGAAAAACCUCACAACCACUUAAGCUGAAGACUGAACGUGAGACGAAGAAGACUGAACGUGAGAAGAAGAAAGACAUGUACUUCACAGCAGUGAGGAAUGCAUACAAGAACAAGAAACACCAGGAAUCACUGAAGACAGAGAAGAGGUCACUGCUGCGGAGCCUGGUCGUCUGGGUCCACCAACUCGUUCUGGACAACUCCUAUAGCAUCACCAGGGCCCAUCGAGGCGUCCUGCACUGGGACCAGUUCACUCUGGUCACCAACUAGCGUCUCCUCUCCUUCGGGCGAUCCCAGCAGCUACUUCUUGAGGUCCUCACAGUACGCCUGCCAUGCAGCACCAUUCUUUUGGCACGCGCUCGCCCAGUACGCCGCGGAAUCCUUGGCAGCAUCAACCUCACCUCUAACGCCAUCUAUCACCUCCUUCAACGCCAUAAUCUCCACAUCCCUAUCCCUCACCUUCAUCUCAGCAACGACAACAAUGUUCUUAGCCUGCUCGAGCUUCUCGUCCAGAUGCUUCAGCUCGAUCUCAGCCCUCGCACCAACCUCAGCGACCAGACGUACUUCCUGGAAGCUAGCGUUGAGCUGCACAAAAACAAUGAUUAAGGGAUGCAAUUUCCAAAGAUUAGGCUCAAAAAAUAAAUCUAAACUUAACUUACCAGAGAAAGAACAGAAUUUAUCUUGGAGCAAGUCACAAGAAGACUCUGCGAAUUCACCAUGCGAGCGUCAGCAUCAAGAACAACGCCCUCAUUAACAGCUCGGGCAACACAGGGGUCAUCUAUAGCACUAUCGUUAUCAUAAACGACGUGCUUACCUCCCCGGCCGUCCAGAUAGUCAAAAGGGCCAGGUCGGAAUUCAGAUGAAACCCCCUUGCCCUUGCUCGAGGGACGAACAACAGUCUUCUUAGACAAAAGGGUAGGGUCAGGAGCUCGCAUGGCUUUCAGAGGAGCAGGAGAAGGCAUGCUUGGUGGAGGCUCCAUCAACUUCAGGUUCCCAGAAAACGACCUCUUCCUGUUCGAGCCGGAAGGUAGCUUAGGUAGGAACGAUCUAGGGGCUCGCAGCUGGAUCAUUCUGUUUCGAGCUCGCACCAGAUCGGGACUUCUCAGCUUUCUGCACCGCAACCAUAAAGUUCUUCUUCAACACUUUCCUUCUCUCCAGCUCGUCCGCAACAGUCUUGGGACCACCCUUGGGAAGAAAAUAAUCCUUCAGAUGUGGAAGAAACUUUAUCUUCCGGUCGUCAGUCCAAGACCCAAAAACAUUCAAGGAAGAUCUCAGGUCGUUCUUCUUCACAAGAUGGUCGUCCCUGAUCGCUGCAAAAAAAAAAAAAACAAACAAGGUCAAUGACUAGAAAACAACAAAAUUAGAUCACCCACACAACGAUCUAAGACAAACGACCAGGAACUUACGAUUAUCAUUCACAUUCCUAGUGACAUGAACUAAAUGAAGAUUCCCUUCAGUUAUCAAACGAGUAAGCAUCAUGGGAUCCUUCCACCAUGGCUCACUACUCACAGGAUAAAUCAAGGGUAAACGGUCUAGCCUGACCUGCAUAUUAUAGCCCGCCAACUCCAGCUUUGCAGAUCGCUUGAAGAAGAAAUGACCUAACAUAUCUUCUACACUAAUAUUCCACCUAUGCAGUCUGUUAAGGUCAUCUAUAACCCUCAUGUUCUUCCAAAAGUUACCGUUCAUCUGGCAAGGAGCUCGUCUGAUAGCAUUCAACAGGUCGACUACCAAAUGAGAGAGGGGUAACCUGAGCCCAGUUCGGAAUUGGGCCAAAGUCAAAACAGUGGAAAAGGGGUUGUUAGGUCGAUACUCCUCGGUAAGUAAGCGAUCUCCCAAAAACCUAAUUUCAAAAUGCUUAAUGGAGUCCAACCCAUAGCUCUUCUUAAAGGCGAUGUGUCUAUUCACAUACGAGGGGGGUUAACUACACGGCAUAACGAUUUGUCAUCGCCCUCCACCAUUUCAUCAUCAGAUGAAUCCUCCCCAUGCGGACCACUACUUCCAGGGCUACCCUCAUCUAAACACUCCUCCUCUCGAUCAGGAGAGCAAACAUCGUCACCAGAAUGAGUCCGUUCAUCUUCAGACUCAUACUCACCAGCAUCAUCACCACUCAAGUGGUCAUUUUGGGAAUCACUACUGUAACGCCCCUGAAAUCCAAUCCUAGUUGGCCAGGCCAAAACCGGAUAACAGAGCCAUAAUGAUCACCAUAUGUCCUCCAUGGACCGUAGGGUCACACUACUGUCACGUGACAUCACACCUCUAGACCAUAGGAGAACAUAAUAAAAUAAACACAAACAAUAAACUAACAGCGGAAGACUAAACUAAAUACAAACUAUAUAAAUAUAAACCAGAGUCAUGCCCGAAGGUUACAACUCAUCAAAACUCCAACUAGACAUAUGAGCAACUCAAGACAACCUCCACCAGACAUCUCAACGAACACUCCAACAAUAAAAUAGCUACUACCCGAAAAGGAGAAAGGGUUAGACAUAAAGUCUAAGCAAGCUAUAGAACUUGGGUCUCGAUCUUAAUUCCAGGAAUAGAAUCAGCGCACCCAAUAUAUAAUAACAAUAUAUAAUCAAUAACAAUAAGAUGAACAAUAUAUAAGCAUAAAUUAAUAUCUGUGUCCAACAUAAUUAGUUCAUACUAAAUCAAAAACUUGUGCUACGCAUCUGAGAGUUUAUCAAAUAACAUUCUAGCAAAUCAAAUCUUAUAUCAUAUCACACAUCAUACAUAUAUAUAUAAAGAAAUAUAUAUUACCACAACCAACACAUAACCAAACUAAUCAUAACUUAUCAAUCUUGUGCCACUUGCACCAAUAUUGCUGUCCAACCAGCUAUGUGCCACUUGCACUAUGUGUCCGUCGACACCAACAGGCCAAGAGAAUGAACAUGCCAUAUCUCUACCCAAAUGCUGACCAACUAGCUAUGUGCUCUUCACACCCGUGUCCUUACGACACCAACAAGCCAAGAGAAUGAACAUGUCAUAUCUCUACCCAAUACUCAUAGAGUUUCAACAUCAUAUCCAUUGAUACAUGUCCUCACAAAGUUCCAACAUCAUACCCUUUGAUAUACACCCUCAUAGAGCUUCAGCAUCAUAUCUUAAGAUAUAUGUCCUCUAGAGUUUCAGUAUCAUAUCUCCCAGGUAUAUGUCCCACAAACAAACCAAUACACAAUUCAACAUAUUACAUCAUGUUCAUUAAUUAAUGAAUACAUGCAAAUCCAUUUUCAAUAUAUAUGUAUAUUAAAUAAUUGCUUUAAGGUCUCGGUCUGUAACAUGUCCAGUAAAUAUAGGGUUCAGUCGACUGGACUCCAGCUGACUGGACUUCAGUUUCUGUUUAAGAGAACAAAUUCAAUCCGUAACAUAUAAUACACACUAACAUGAUGACCUAAUCAUUCAAACACGAAUAUCAAAACAUAUAAACAUAUCUAAAUCUGAAUUCCACAUGUAAAUCAUCUCUAAACAUAUUUCCAUAUCAUAUAUCAUUAUUAUUUACAAUUAAAAUUCAUUAUCAUGUUUUUAAUUAACUUAACAUGCUUUCAAAGUAGAUAUUACAACAAUACCAAUAUUCUCAAUUCAGCAAGAUAUCAUCUUUAUAAAUUAACUAUCAACGCACAACAAUAUCUAUCAUGGCAAAAGAUUAUGUAUAUAAUUAUUAACAUAUUAAUACACAAACUAAGUUCAUCUAAACCUACAAUCAAGAUGGAAACGCAAGUUAGAUAACUUGUCUCAAUCCAAGCAAUGGAAUCAACUUCGAAUUCUAUAUAAUCCAAUUUCAAUGCCAAGCAAUCCAACCAAGCAAGCCAAAUCAAACCUAGAUGAUGAUUAAUCUUCUUUUUCUUUUUGCGCCUCCUUUUUAAAGUUAAACAAGAUGAUUUUUGUGAUAAAACCCUAACUAUUGUUAUCAUACUUUAUAUAUAAACAUUAUGGGCCGGUUUCCGAAACAACAUAAAAUUUAACCCGUCUGUGUACAGAUGCCCAGUCGACUGGACCUCAGUCAACUGAACACUAAGAAAACUAUACAUAAGAAAAUGCCAGGUAUUACAAUCCUCCCCCCUAAAAAAAGGAAUCUCAUCCCCGAAAUUUGCACUAAAACACAAAAAAAGGAUAGCAAGGAUCAACCAAGCAAUAUCCAUCCGGUAUGCUCUAAACAUAUCAUAAAUUUCCCCAACAAAGUGACUAGUGCUUUAGUCCAUACAUACAAAAUUACCAUAUAACGAUCACAUCAUCAUUAAAUAUAUGCAUCCACAAUGCCAUAAAGAUCCACAUGAUCAAAUGUAUUGCUAUCAAUACCAAUAUCCAUCAUUAAUCCAUACAUGUAAAUUAUAACGUUAUACAUGCUUAAUAAAGGUCUCCAUAAAAGCACGCUAGCAUAAAUGAGACAUAUCCUAAAAAUCAAACACCACAAUCCAAAAGCAAAACAUAAAUGCAAAACGAAACAUUCUCAUAACAACCAUUCACCAAUGUGAAAUCAUUAUCACAGCUAUGAGCUUAGUCGAUACACGACUCCAAGCCUUACAUGUGUCCUGGGGUACUCAACCCUCUCACACCAAAUAGCUACGCGUAGCCAACAACUCCACAGAGUAUCCAAAAUCAUAUAUAUCAUAAUAGGAUCACAAUCCACACUAUCCCAAUACACAAGGUAUAGGCAUCCACACAUGCUAGAGUAUCACUCCUAGCCAAAACAUGUAGUUCCAUAAAGAAACGAACAUCAAGAUAAAAAAUCUCUACCACCACAAGGAUCUAACUCUACCAAUCACAAGUGAAUACCAAAAUAUCACACCAAAAGGUAAUAACAACCUCAUUAUCAUAAUCCCAAAGGAAUUGAACACGCAUCAAAGAGCGUACCACACCACAAUCGUCAUGAAAACAAAACAAUAAUCAUGAUGCAACCUCAAUGUAAACUUCAGAAAUAUGUGAUAGAAACACAUCAAAUAAAUCAGAAGUUCUACCAUAACGUAUAAGAAUACACUUAUGGAACCUCCACUCAAGAACAUGAUACCAAUAAAGCAACAAAACAUGGAAAGAAAAUAAUCAUUUCAACAUGUAAGAACUUUUCUUGUAAUUUUACAUUACCUACAACAAAUAUCAUUGUCAAUUCCAAAUUGAUUAUCUUAAAAUAAUCAUGCAUCCAUUCAUAUAUAUAACUUCCUCAUUUUAUUUACUCGAAUAAAUAUAAUCCCAAAAGGAUGAGUUAAAACAUAUUUUUCAUAUGCUAUUACUCCACAUACCAAUUACUAAGAUUUCAAAACCUCAUAUUUUAUAUCCAUUAUAUAGGCCGGACUGCCUUCCAAUAAAUCAAUAAGCUUUUUAAGCAUAAAGAAAUUUUUUUUCCUCCUGAAUAUAUCAAAAUUUUAUCCAAAACUAACGCAUAGUAUUAUCUCAUGCCAUCCAACUAAAAACCGUUUAUCCAUUUUCCUUCAAAGAUAUAUUGAACACAUCCAUUUAGGCAUACAAAAUACAAAUUACUACUUGAGAACUUUCAAUAAUUCAUACAUAUGAUGAAACAUUGUUAAAAUCGUCCAAUUAGCUUAAACUAACCAAAUUAGCCAAAUUAUUCAAAUUAGGCAAAUUAGCGAAAUUAGCCUAUAGGCACCAUUAAUUCCUCAACACUGCAAAUCAAAAAUAUAUUUUAUUUGCACAUAAAAAUUAUCAAGGUUCAAGAUUUAUGAAAACAUUUGUUUUUCUCCAAGUCAAACCUCUCAAUAUAUAGAAUAAGUUAUAAAAUAACUUCUAUCACAUGAUUUCAAUCUAUCUCAUCAAAAUAAAACGAUAUCAUGAAUAUAAUCAAACUAUACUCAUGCUUCUACACAAAACAUUGAAUAUGUUAUCCAAAACAAUAAUCCGCAAUUAUCAUAAUUUCUACAUAUGCAUAGGGAUAUAUAAUGCAAUGCGAAAUCAAAACUAACCAACAAGGGAAAUAAAAUUAUUAACCCGUUCAAACUAUAUCAUUCAAUGUAUAACCCAACAUUAAUUUAACCCUAUGCCAUAACUACAACAUUUUAUAUAACUCAAAAAUCAUGUUAUGAAUUGACGAAAUUAUUAUAAAUAAAUAAAGUAAACAAUGAUUUAUACCCUUACAGUUUUAUUAUCAUGAAUAAAACAAGAUUCUAAUAACCACAAACUCAUUGAUGCUGUAACAUGCAUAUUACCAAUUUUAUUUUAAACAUAGCAUAAUAUUCAAAAAUACAUAACUCACUAACCAAGAUUUUAAAUAAGGCAUAUUAUAUGUCCAAUUGAUCGUAGUAAAUAACUCUACACUUUAUAUGAAAAACAUUUCUGAAAAUUUCUGACAGUUUCGAGUAGAAAAGUUAAAAUACUCGAAUUACAUUAGAUUUAUACAAUGAAAUUCAUAUAUUUUUACUGACUGAUCCAAACAAGUUAUGCAUUAGAUCAAAAUGUCCAUAACUCAAUAUUCUACAGUUUAUCAGAAGAAAGCUUUCCCAAAACAGUGACGGAUAUUUCUAACAUAAGCAAUAACUAAAAUCUGACCUAACUCACUCAAAAAUUCGUAUCUUAACAACCGCUAAUCCAAACGACAUGCAUAAUAUGUCAAAAUCUUUGUAAAAAUAAAUACUACAUUUUGUCAGAAGAAACUUUUCCGAAAUUCAUAACAAAUAUUAUAGAAAAUCACGAUCAGUAAAAUCUGUAUAAAUUUUACGAGAAAACUCAUAACUUUCUAAUCAAAUAUUGAAACGAUGCAUACUAUAUAUCAAAACGACCGUAUUCGAAUUAUCUACAAAUCACCAGAAGAAAGUUUUCAAAAAUUCCUGAUGUAAAACUCUGAAACAAGCAUGAAUAGUAACAUAACAUGCACAAUGAAUACUUUUCUCAUACUUUCUACCAAAAAUAUAUAUAUCACAAUUAAUAUAUACUAGCAUGCUUUAUAGAUUUAACUUUACCUUAUCCAAAUCGUACAACAUACAAUCAAAACUUAAUCCUCUUCAAAUUUUCAUCUUUACUUUUACAUAACCAAGCCAUUUUAAAUAAUACAAUAAACAUAACUUGCAAAUCUAAUUAAUCUUUAUUGUUAAUUCAGAAUGCAAUACAACAUAUAUCUUUAAACUAAGAUAUUUAAUCAUCCUCAACAAUGUUGUCAAUAACAUAAGCAACUUAUAUCAUUAUGUUUAAUCUUCUCAAGAAUAUAUUUAUUCAAAAAAAUCCUUAUGCAAAGAAUUAUACAAUCAAAUCAACUCGUGUAUGCUACACAUAUCUCAUCAAUAAACAUGAUCUCAUAAACAAUAUUUAUCAUGCUUCUAUCUUCCAAAUUCAAGUAUAAUUUGUUUAUCAAAAAAAAAAUAUACCUGUAUUUUCAUAUAACAUAUAACAAUCCAUGCUUUAAAAAAAUCAAGCAACAAAUUUGGAAUAUUUUAAAAAAACAUUACGCUUACCAAAUAAAAACUUAUCUUUUAAGUUUAAAAAUUUUGUUUUUCCCAAAACAAAUAAUUAUCAAGUAUUUUCCAUUCCAAAGAAAGAAAUACACACUUAAAUAUGCACUUAACCAAUCAUAUCAAAAGUGAUAUAAAGCUCAUGCAAAUAUCUCAUAAUGUUUAAUGCAUCAACAUGCUCUAAUCAUGCUUAAACAAAUAUAAGCAACAAUAUCAAUUAAAUUUCUCAACCAUGUUCGCCAACACGAUUGCAACCAAUUCUCAUUCCCUCUGGAAUACCAUCCCAAACAACAUGGGCAUCAUCAAAACUAUCCUCGCAAGGAUCCAGUUCAACCAUUCUUUCCAGAAGAUAACUAUCCACACUGCAUAUAUCCAAACAUAUGUUUCACGAAGAAACAUUAAAUAAGGCAAACAUGCACAUAAUAAUGAUGCAAAAAUAUCUAGAAGCACCUCAUCACAACAAACAAUAUCUAUACAUAUAGAAACUCAACCAAAACAAUCCUUACUCAAGCAGAGUCUAAAGUAAACUCUACCAUUGGUUGCUCAUACUCCUAAAGACUCAACUGGACUCCACAGGUACUCCAUAAAGGUCAAAUAAACUCUAAGCUCUGAUACCAACUGUAACGCCCCUGAAAUCCAAUCUUGGCUGGCCAGGCCAAAACCUGACAACAGAGCCAUAAUGAUCACCAUAUGUCCUCCAUGGACCGUAGGGUCACACUACUGUCACGUGACAUCACACCUCUAGACCAUAGAAGAACAUAAUAAAAUAAACACAAACAAUAAACUAACAGCGGAAGACUAAACUAAAUACAAACUAUAUAAAUAUAAACCAGAGUCAUGCCCGAAGGUUACAACUCAUCAAAACUCCAACUAGACAUAUGAGCAACUCAAGACAACCUCCUAUGAUAUGGAAAUAUGUUUAGAGAUGAUUUACAUGUCGAAUUUAGAUUUAGAUAUGUUUAUAUGUUUUGAUAUUCGUGUUUGGAUGAUUAAGUCAUCAUGUUAGUGUGUAUUAUAUGUUAUGGAUUGAAUUUGUUCUCUUAAACAGAAACUGGAGUCCAGUCAGCUGGAGUCCAGUCGACUGAACCCUAUAUUUACUGGACAUGUUACAGACCGAGACCUUAAAACAAUUAUUUAAUAUACAUAUAUAUUGAAAAUGGAUUUGCAUGUAUUCAUUAAUUAAUGAACAUGAUGUAAUAUGUUGAAUUGUGUAUUGGUUUGUUUGUGGGACAUAUACCUGGGAGAUAUGAUACUGAAACUCUAGAGGACAUAUAUCUUAAGAUAUGAUGUUGAAGCUCUAUGAGGGUGUAUAUCAAAGGGUAUGAUGUUGUAACUUUGUGAGGACAUGUAUCAAUGGAUAUGAUGUUGAAACUUUAUGAGUAUUGGGUAGAGAUAUGACAUGUUCAUUCUCUUGGCCUGUUGCUGUCGUAAGGACACGGGUGUGAAGAACACAUAGCUGGUUGGUCAGCAUUUGGGUAGAGAUAUGGCAUGUUCAUUCUCUUGGUCUGUUGGUGUCGACGGACAUAUAGUGCAAGUGGCACAUAGCUGGUUGGACAGCAAUAUUGGUGCAAGUGGCACAUAGCUGGUUGGACAACAAUAUUGGUGCAAGUGGCAUAAGAUUGAUAAGUUAUGAUUAGUUUGGUUAUGUGUUGGUUGUGGUAAUAUAUAUUUUUUUAUAUAUAUGUAUGAUGUGUGAUAUGAUAUAAGAUUUGAUUUGCUAGAAUGUUAUUUGAUAAACUCUCAGGUGCGUAGCACAAGUUUUUGAUUUAGUAUGAACUAAUUAUGUUGGACAUAGAUAUUAAUUUAUGCUUAUAUAUUGUUCACCUUAUUGUUAUUGAUUAUAUAUUGUUAUUAUAUAUUGGGUGCGCUGAUUCUAUUCCUGGAAUUAAGAUCGAGACCCAAGUUCUAUAGCUUGCUUAGACUUUAUGUCUAACCCUUUCUCCUUUUCAGGUAGUAGCUGUUUUAUUGUUGGAGUGUUCGUUGAGAUGUCUGGUGGAGGUUGUCUUGAGUUGCUCAUAUGUCUUGUUGGAGUUUUGAUGAGUUGUAACCUUCGGGUAUGACUCUGGUUUAUAUUUAGGGGUAUUUUGUAUUUAGUCCCUCUAGAAGAUUGCUAAUUAGCAAAUGGUCCCGAGUUUUUCGUUUAUUUGUAAAUAAUCAUUUUUCUGUCAAUUGACUGUUAGUCAACUCAGUUGACCAAAGUCAACACAUCCAAUUUUUUUUAAUGUCUAAACUACCCAUGCACGUGUUUUCCAUUAAAACCAUUAAAACCAUUUUUUGGUUUUGUAUUAUCUACGUGUCAAGAUUUCAUUGGUUAUCAGAAUCUAUGGUUAGAUAUUACGCCAUGUGUUUAAUACAAUAGUCAAGGAUCUGGAUUCAAUCAAAGCAUAUCCUAAAAGGACUAAGUCCCAAAACCCUAACUUUUUAUUCUUUCUCUUCUACCUUACACUAAACAGCCACUGCUGCUUUCAAGGUGGUGGUUGAAAGCGGACUGAGAACCCCAGAUUGGGUAAUCCUGUUGCACUCUUCCAGCUGUAGACUCUCAAGCGAUGCCACUGUUUUUGCAAAAGCUACCAUCCCAUUAUCUGACAGAAAAGAACACUUACGAAAGCACAGUUGCUUUAGAUUUGGGCAACCCUUUCCAACUGCUUCAAGAGUUAGAUCUGUUACCCCUCGGCAAGAGGUAAUAGUAAAUACUUUCAGCUUUUGCAACCCCUGAGCAUUACCCAUGACCCAAAAGCCCUUCUCACUCACUUUCUGGAGAUCGGUGAGGACUAGAUCAUUAAUAGCCCUUCCAUAGUGCCCAACAACAGCAAGAGAGACAUCUGUGAUGUCCAGUGCUUGCAACUUAACCCUUUUCAAGGUGUAUGAUGCUGAAGAGAGAAGAGACGCAAUUCCUUGAACGCCAACAAGUGGACAAUCCUUUAUAGAGAUGGACUGAAGGUUCAGGCAACAUUUUCCAACUGCUUGCAAGCCCUCGUUUCCAAUCCUAGGACAACUCUCAAUUGUGAUUUGAUUCAAAUUUGGGCAAUUAUUAGCAAUAACAAUCAAACUCUUGUCAGAAAUAAGACACUGGCUGAGGUCAAGCUUCUCUAGUUUGUUGCAACCUUUAACAAUCUCAAUUAGUCCCUCAUCCCCAAUAGAUGGAACAUUCCAAAGGGAAAGUGCCCUGAGGGAAGGACAACCGCGGGCAAUUGCUGAAAGUCCAACGUUAGUAACCCCACGAGUAGAAUUGCUACCUCGAAUUAUUAGCUUGUCGAGCCCACCACAGCUACCAGUUCCAACAGUAAUGGAAGCAAGUCUGAUGUCUGUGGCUUUCUUCCCUUCCAAGCACCUGGUAAGGUAGCCAUCACUCUCAAUUUCCUGAGUAUCUUCCCGAAUCAUCAUUUCACUGUCCUUAGAAUCUAAUCCGGACUGUUUAUUAAGUUUGGAAGACUCGUUUACCUUAUUUGGAACUACUUCAUUAAUUUUCAACUGUGCAGAUUCGUUGCUACAGACUUCAUCCUUGGCUUGCUAAUACUGCUUAAGUAGUGUCACGUGGAAAACACGUGCAUGGGUAGUUUAGACAUUAAAAAAAAUUGGAUGGGUUGACUUUGGUCAACUAAUUGACUAACAGUCAAUUGACAGAAAAGGAUUAUUUACAAAUAAACGAAAAACUCGGGACCAUUUGCUAAUUAGCAAUCUUCUAGAGGGACUAAAUACAAAAUAACCCUUAUAUUUAUAUAGUUUGUAUUUAGUUUAGUCUUCCGCUGUUAGUUUAUUGUUUGUGUUUAUUUUAUUAUGUUCUUCUAUGGUCUAGAGGUGUGAUGUCACGUGACAGUAGUGUGACCCUACGGUCCAUGGAGGUCAUAUGGUGAUCAUUAUGGCUCUGUUGUCUGGUUUUGGCCUGGCCAGCUAGGAUUGGAUUUCAGGGGCGUUACAACUACCCUCAGACAUCUCUCAAGAUUACAAAACAAGCAAAUGGAAACGAAGAAAGAAAGUAAAGAGUCAAGCAGAAGGAACUCACCUCAAAAGCUCUCAAGAUCUUCAGGUCGCAACGAUAAAGCAGCAGCAUGUUUCUGUCAAAUUUAAUGUCAUUUUUUUUAACUUUCCAAAAUGUCCUCGAUUGUUGCUUUAGACUUAACCCCCCUAAAAAAUAUAAGAGAAGGGUAUUUUAGGAAGAAAAAAUAAAAAUAGAUGUUCAAUUUGACAGAAGUAGACGGGGAGGGGGUAAAGUCCAAACUUGGACAAAUGGGGGGUUUACUCAAAACGUGACCAUAAAGGGGGGGGGGGGGGGGGGGUUAAGUCUAAAAAUCCCCCCCCCCAUCCCCCCCCCAAAAAAAUCUAACCUAUUUUAAAAUAACGUAUAAUAAUAUAUAUAUAUUCUCGGUUAGGUUCGGUUCAAACCAAAAUAUUAGAAUAGGAACUGGAACUGGACUAUAUAUACUCGGUUCGGUUCCAGUUCGGUUUGAUUUGUUCUUGGUCAACACAGUUUUGACCGGUUUUGACCCGGUUCGGUUCCGGUUCUAAUUCGGUUUUCCGGUNNNNNNNNNNNNNNNNNNNNNNNNNNNNNNNNNNNNNNNNNNNNNNNNNNNNNNNNNNNNNNNNNNNNNNNNNNNNNNNNNNNNNNNNNNNNNNNNNNNNNNNNNNNNNNNNNNNNNNNNNNNNNNNNNNNNNNNNNNNNNNNNNNNNNNNNNNNNNNNNNNNNNNNNNNNNNNNNNNNNNNNNNNNNNNNNNNNNNNNNNNNNNNNNNNNNNNNNNNNNNNNNNNNNNNNNNNNNNNNNNNNNNNNNNNNNNNNNNNNNNNNNNNNNNNNNNNNNNNNNNNNNNNNNNNNNNNNNNNNNNNNNNNNNNNNNNNNNNNNNNNNNNNNNNNNNNNNNNNNNNNNNNNNNNNNNNNNNNNNNNNNNNNNNNNNNNNNNNNNNNNNNNNNNNNNNNNNNNNNNNNNNNNNNNNNNNNNNNNNNNNNNNNNNNNNNNNNNNNNNNNNNNNNUCAAAAAUUGGGCUGUGACAAUCUUGGUAUAUUUCCUUCAUUGUCUUUAAAGAAAAGAGUAUCUAAACCUAAAUGUGCUCUGUAUCUGUUAAAUUUUCGCAAAAAAAAAAAAAAAAAAAAAAAAUGCUAUUGUAAUUUGGGUUUUUGAUAUAAUUUCAUUAAGUUGAUUGUUUUAUCCGUGAUUUGAUUUUCUUUCCAUAACAGAGGUAAUGGGUAAAUUACCAUCUAGUAGCGACGACAUAGUUGUUAAACCUUCAUUUUCGAAGAAAGUAGUAUACUAGUCUAAAACUACAUUCUCUUAACCAUAGGUGAAAAUAUCGAAUAAUUCCGAAUAUCCGAUUUGUGAAAAACCGGAUUAUUCCACGAAUAUCCCAAAAUUGGUGUCGAAAUGGGGAGGUUUGGCAAAUAUGCUUCUCGCGAAAUAUUGCCCGAAUAUUCACGAAUAUUCCGAAAAAUUCGGCAGAAUGGGGAGGUUUUCUAUUAAUAUCAUGUUUUUCUUCUUUUUUCAAUGUUUAAACUUUUAAUUCAACAAUAGAAUAUAUAAACACACCCCCUUUUUAUUAUAUGACCAUUAUCAUCCAAAGAAAGGCAUGCGUUUUAAUUUAAACACACACAGGGACGGAUCCAAGAAUCUGAGUUGGGGGGUGCAGAAUUGCAUGUAACCUAUAUGCUAAGAUUUUGGGGGGUGCGAAUCUAUAUAUUUUAACUAAAAUUUUUAUAUAUGUAAAAAAAACAUGGGAAAAAUAAUGAAAAAUUUGAAUUUUGGGGGGUGCGACACCCCCCUGGAUCCGUCCUCGAACACACCCCUUUUUAUUAUAUGGGUUAUGCAUUUAUAGAUGAAUUUGGGUAUUGAAAUUUGAAAUUGCAAGUAUAGAGAAAACUCGAUAAGUUAUAAAACACUGUAAGAAUCAUUGAAACUUGGAGACAAAAGGUAUGGUGGUUUUUGCAGACCUUGAAACUUGGGGAAGACAACCCAUAGAUUCCGAAUUUUUCAUAAAUUUUGAAUUUUUCAUUAAUAUCCGAAUUUAUCGGGUCGAAAUGAGGAGGUUUUUGUUUCGUAAUAUAUCCGUAUGUCGUACCGCUCCGAAUUCCCAAAAAACGAAAAAAUUCGUGAAUAUCCGCCCGAAUUUUUUGAUUUUUUCACCUAUCAUUUUAACUAAUAUCCAUAUUGUAUUUUAUUCAAUUAGGUCUAGUUGUUUGUUGAAUUUGUAAUUUGACUCAUUCAUUACGAGAAUGAGUAGAAGUCCAAUUUGUAGUGACGACAUACCUGAUACACCAUCUUCUUCGAAGAAAAAAGUACAAGAGCUUAAAGGUACUAUAUGUUAACCUAAAAUUGUAUUUUUGAGUAUAAAUGAUUAGUACAAUUAUGGGGUUUUGUUUAUUACAUUAUAUAUGAUAUCUGUUUGAUAUAUAGUGUAAUUAUAUUUUUGAAUAUAGUAGUUGAUUAAUACGAAUAUGAGGUUUAUACAUCACAUUCUAAGAUAUUUGUUUGAUAUGUAAUUUGAUUUGAGAUAACUUUCUCAUUCUUUACAUUUGAAAAAAAAAAUAACGUAAAACGAUCUCAGAACAACAAUAUACUUGCUCAACAUUAGUCUUCAAAAAGAACAAAAUUAGAGUCAAUUGAUCCCAUUGAUUCCGAUCCUGACGAUGAAUACCUUGGUGAUAUUUUUCUGAUGAUGAAGAGAAGGUCAUUCAAGAUAAUGCUUAUACCCUUAUUAAACAUAUAAGUGCCUAGUGUAAGAGUAUAAUAAGACAUAUGAUCAAGCAAGGACAUCUAGUGUAAGAGUUCUGACUUAGGUAGUGUGUGUUUCAUCCAGUGUUAAGCAUUAAAUGCUUUUAAAGUGGUGGACCAGGCAUUAAUUCAGACAUAAGUGGUUUUUAAUUGGGGGAUUUAGAGAUACCCCUCAAAAUAAUAGGAACUCUUUGAGAUACCCCCCAGAUUUAGAAACUCUUAGAGAUACCCCCCAUUUUUCCAUUUGAAGCCGGUCAACCAAGCCGUUGACCAUGGUCUGACCAGUCUUCAUAAUUUUUAGACAAUUUUACCCUCCCACCAUUUAAACCCACAUCCUAGUCAUUUUGCCUAGUCAUCAAUUUUAGACAAUUUUACCCUCCAACCAAAUCUAAUCUAAUCACAUCUAACCUAACUUAUCAAACUAACUAAUUAAAAUCAAAACUAACCUAACUUCUUAUCUUCUUUCCGCCAUUAACAGAACAAACCAGCGGGAAAGUGCACUACAAGUGAAGGUUGAUCACAUACCUUGAUUUUCAACCAAAAUUUCUUUUUUCUUCUUCAAAACUCUCCCAUUUUCUUCCAUUCUUCUAAAUCUUCUGUUGUUAUACUCUAAUUUUCAACAAUGGCCGCUCCUCGAUCACGAUUUUUUCUAGUAUCUUCUGAUUCUUCUGAGUCAUCUGAUUCUAGUGAUGAAUCCAUGUUCAACUACCAGGAUUCAAGCGAAGAAAGCGAAGAAAUCUAUGAUCCUGCUAGGAUUCGGCGUCGAGAAUACUUGUAAGUCCAUUUUCUUCUUGAUUUUUGAAUGUGGUUGAGUAUUGUUUUGCGAUGGCGGUUAUUAGUUUUGAAGUUAGGUUUCCCUUUUUAUUUUAUUGAAUAUUGUGUCGAUUUGGAUGGGGAUCUUAGGUUUUUCAAAAUUUUGAGGGCUUUUGGGUUUAUUUGAGGUUUGUUCAUCACUGCCCUCUUGAUAUUGUUAGAAGACAAUGACUUUACUGCUUAUGUUUUAAAUAGCUGAAACGUAACUGGGGUGUAUCUCAAAUGAAAAUAUAAUAAUGGGGGGUAUCUCAAAUGAAAAUAUUGAUUGUUGAAUGUGAAAUACUGAAUGCUCACUCCAUGUUGAUAACCAAUAACAAUGUCUUAACAACUGCUUUAACAAUGUUGUAUGUUCACUCUAUGUUGAUAACAAAUAACAAAUAACAAAUAACAAAUAACAAAUAACAAAUAACAAAUAACAAAUAACAAAUAACAAAUAACAAAUAACAAAUAACAAAUAACAAAUAACAAAUAACAAAUAACAAAUAACAAAUAACAAAUAACAAAUAACAAAUAACAAUGUCUUAACAAACCAUUUAACAAUGUUGUAUGCAGCAAAUGCUUGAAUUUUUGUCCAUCACUAGGGUUCAAUUGCAUAAGACUUCACUUUAGAGGUAAAUGGAAUGAGAGAAGCAUGGAAAAAGCCAAUUGGAAGACACGAGAUUAUGCAGGAGGUCAAUAUAUUGAUUUUCCCAAUGUUGAUGGAGAUUGUGUGUGUUUGUUGGACAUUGAUGAAAUGUUAUGUAAAACUUUGGAAGAGAGGAACAUGCUCAAUUACAAUGUGGAGAAAUUUCCUAUGUAUUUGGAAGGGGGUAUUAGGAUGGAGUUAAUGGAAGAUUAUGAUUGCAUUCAAUGGUGGAAGUAUGGUGAUCAGGAUGAAGAAGGGAAUUUGCCUUUGUUUUAUGAAUUGGAAGAGCUACAACCUUUAGCCGAAGAAGCUCCUGAAGUCAUUAGUACACCAUGUAACACUGAUGUUGACAUGGAACAAUCUCAACCUACCCAGGAUGCAGGUAUUAAUGAAGCUCAACCAUCCAGCCAAGCUCCUAAGACCAAACUUGCUAGGCCAAAGAGGAAGGGUACAAAAAACAAGUCUAAGAAUUUUAACAAGCAGCUCCAAAGAAACAAGGCUUGGAAAAGAAAGAAAUCUACCUAUGAACAACUUUCUGAGGAGGAGUUAGAUGAAAUGCCUGAUAUGAAUGUCAAGGAUACAAUGUUUCCUCCAUCUGAAUCCCAUGUCCCACCUCCUUCUGGUUCUCAUGUCCCACCUCCAUCUGAAUCCCAUGUCCCACCUCCAUCUGAAUCUCAUGUUCCACCUCCAUCUGAAUCCUAUGUCCCACCUCCAUCUGAAUCCCAUGCCCCACCUCCAUCUGAAUCUCAUCCCCCACCUCCACAUGCUCCACCUUCAACUUCAGCUCCACCUUCAACUUCAGCUCCACCUUCACCUUCAGCUUCACCUAUGGAUAUCCAAUCUGAUUCUGACCCUGAUUUUGAUCCAAUCGAUAAUAUUGAGGCUGAAGAGGCAUACCAUAGCUAUGAUUCAUCUUCAGAAGGAUCCAUUGGAUUUGAACCUACAGAAGAAGACUUGGAAGGAUAUGCUGACUUUGAAAAGGAAACCGAAGAAUUGUAUGACUUUGAUGAUAUGGGUGAACAAGCUCCCUACUUUGAUGAUCUGCCAGAACCAGAGGUGAAUAUGUCAUGGCCAACAAUUGCUGCCUGCAGAGAGUACAUAAGAGAUUAUACAAUCAAGAAGAAAUUUAUUUGGAAAAUGCCGAAGAAUGAUGGCGACAGAUUUAUAGCAGUUUGUGUGAAUGAGGAUAAAGGAUGUCAAUGGAAGUUUGUAGCUAGGGUCAGUAAAGCUACGAGAGGUGAUAGGCACACUUGUAAGAUCAGAACCUUACAUAAUGAGCAUAGUGCUGGUUGUAUUGGUAAUAAAGAGUUCAAGAAUAGUUUGGUUGAUUCCAACUGGGUUGCAGCAAAGCUAGAGGAUGAUGUCAGGGAUCAUGUGAUUGUUUUCAAGGCAAGGGAACUUGUGAAAGCAAUUUGGAGGAGGUAUGCACAAAAUAUCACAUACUUCAUUGGAUGGCAUGCAAGGCAGAAAAUAAUGGAAAAACUCCAUGGUAACUAUGAAGAGAGUUACAGAAUUGCAGCUGAAUGUUGUAUGCAAGUGUUGAAGAGAAAUCCUGGCAGUUUAGCUAUAUGCAGAAGAGGUGAGGAUCAAAGGAUCAAAGGUAUGGGUGUUAGUUUUGCUUCAUGCUUGAAAGGUUUUAGGGAAGGUGUAGGCCUAUUCUAGGCUUAGAUGGUUGUUUUCUGAAGGGGAAAUAUGGGGGAAUGUGCUUGAGUAUCACUGCACUGGAUGGCAACAAUGGAUUAUUUCCCAUUGCCAUUUACUUGUGUAGAAAUGAAUGUAGUGACACUUGGUUUGAUUUUCUAGAAAUGAUGGAACCUCAGUUGACUAGAAGAGAAGAGAAGUUGGUAUUCAUGUCAGAUCAACAAAAAGGGUUGAAAGAGAUCUAGUAAUGGAGUAUCAUUCUUUCACCAGAUCUAGUAAUGGAGUAAUAAAUGAGAGAUGAUAAUGGCUAGAUCUGUUAAUGAAGAAGGAAGAAAAAUGAAGGUGAAAGAAGAAUGGUUUGAUGAAGAAGAAGCAAGAUAGAUAGGUAGAUAGGAUGGAGAAGAAGGAAGAAAGAAAAGNNNNNNNNNNNNNNNNNNNNNNNNNNNNNNNNNNNNNNNNNNNNNNNNNNNNNNNNNNNNNNNNNNNNNNNNNNNNNNNNNNNNNNNNNNNNNNNNNNNNAAGAAGGAGGAGGAAGAAGAAGGUGGAGUUUGAUGAUGUAACAGCCACAUAACGGUUACUUAAUUCUACCCAUAGGAUUAGAUCUAGAUCUAGAUCUAUUUUGAACGGUUAGGAUAAGAAGUGGUAGUUGUAAGUGGGUUUGCUGACAUGGCAUUAUUGAUGACUAGGCAAAAUGACUAGGAUGUGGGUUUAAAUGGUGGGAGGGUAAAAUUGUCUAAAAAUUAUGAAGACUGGUCAGACCAUGGUCAACGGCUUGGUUGACCGGCUUCAAAUGGAAAAAUGGGGGGUAUCUCUAAGAGUUUCUAAAUCUGGGGGGUAUCUCUAAGAGUUCCUAUUAUUUUGGGGGGUAUCUCUAAAUCCCCCUUUUUAAUUUGUUUGGUUACAAUAAGUAACCAAAACAUGAUUGGACUAUUUCAGCGAUUUUCAUCUAGCCAAAAUUGCACGCUUAUUUCUACUUCUUAAUGUUGUUUGUAUUUUCAUUACAAUUGUACCCACAUACAAUAUAUGUUAUUACCAUACAUAUCAUAUUCUAUAAACACACAUGUCUUAUUAUACAAUUUGGUUGUUACUCUUCUUCCUUUCAUCUCUAACAAAGACAUCCAAUUAUGUGGCCAUGUCAUCUCUCUACUAACCGUGUAUACUUCUUCCAUUAAUCAAUACCAAUAUAUUUUGUAUUACAAAUACAACAAAAUUAUAUCAUGGAAGUUUGAUCAAAUCCAUAGUGUUUAUUUAUUUUUUUGUAGUAAAUUUAUAGUGUUUAUUUUUAUAGUAGUAAUAAAGGUGUUUACAAUUUUUUUUUCUUAAUAUUUGUUACGAUGUAUAUUUUUUCCUUGAGUUAGAAAUAUAAAAAGGACAAAAUUGUCGAAAUUGUUAUUAGAAUAAUAUACAAAAUUUUAAACAUAGGUUUUUAAAAAUGUUAACCAAACAACUUUUUUCAACAUUCAGUCUUCAUCAUUCAACAAUCAAUAUCCAGCAAUCAACAACCAAUAUUCAACAUUGUAAACAAAUAUACCCUUAGUUUUUGACAUGUGCAAACUAUUUAUGUUUUAAUAUCAAAAGGGAUUUUUAUAUUCUUGCAGUUAUUAUAAGCACCUAGAAAAACAGAUGAGAAAGUGCCUGGUGGAGUCAGGAAUGUCAUAUAUAAAGGUAAGUUACAUGUUACUAUGUCUUUUGAUGAUUAUGAUGGUAAUUGACACUGUGAGGGAGAUGGUAAUUUAGUUUUUUAUGUAAACAUGUCAGGUAUGAAGUCUGGAUAGUGGUACAAACUAGGGGAUUGUACAGGUGGUCCAAGAUCUAACAAGGAUGGGAAUAACCAAGCUAGGAAGUCCAACCAAGUUAUUGAAGAUUUGGGGGGGGGGGGGGGGGGGGGGCNNNNNNNNNNNNNNNNNNNNNNNNNNNNNNNNNNNNNNNNNNNNNNNNNNNNNNNNNNNNNNNNNNNNNNNNNNNNNNNNNNNNNNNNNNNNNNNNNNNNAAUGUCACAAUAAUUUAUAGAGAAUUAUAGUAAACUAAUUAAACUAAUUCUAAUCUAAAUAUCAUUACUAAAAUGGAAUACGAUUAAUAAAGGGAAUAGGGGACAUGUUCACCUCAUGAAUCCACCACAAUCAUAACCUAAUUAAUAUGCAUGUUCUUAGCUACUCACCUCUUAGCUAUUGUAGCUCUCUAGCUCACCUCUCAGCUAUUGCUAGGAUAGAUAAACGCUCACCUUUUAGCUAUUGAAUUUAACUAUUUUACUUGAGAUACAUGAAUGGAGUGGAUGUUGCCCAAAGUAACACUUACUAUUAAGUAAUCAAUCAUAUAGUUCCACCCAUGAAAGCGUAUGUAUGUCAUCAUAUAAGUAAUCCAAGUCUAUAUUGAAACCCUAUUAUGUACUCACCUUUCGGGUAUUAUAAGUAUUAAGCAUGUAGGCAUGGUAGACAUACAAAAACAAAAAUGAUAAACUAAUAAUAUUAUUUCUUUCUCGAUACGACAAUAUAAAAGUAUUGUUAUUACCUCUUGUAUGAAAACAAUUCAACAAGAACAAGCAUAAAAACUAAGCUACAACCAUGGUUUCAUCAAUGGAGGUUACUUAUCCCCUAAGGGUUUUAGCCUUCAUCCAUUGAUGAAGAAAACAUCAUCAAUAAAAAGAACAUACCUUUAUUACUCUUAAACCUUUCAUCAAUUCCAAAACUCUAUACAAGAUGGUACCUCUAGAAGAGAGUUGAAGGAAAAUAUAAUAAAACCCUAGUUUACAAUAGUAUAUAUACUGAUCAUGGAUGUAGACAUGCUAAUAUAUCAAGUCGGCAAUAAGAUAAAAGUAGAUCGAUCUAGAGUCUAUGGGCUCAAGUCGGCACAUCGCCCAACCGCCAGUUCCUUGACCAACUCGCUAGAUGGCGAGUUUGACUCGUUGGGUAGCGAGUUGACUGUUAACUUUUGAUAUUCUGCCACUUGGUGUCUGCUCUGCAUGCUGUGUAGAUUAGGGUACUUUUGUUCUAUUGGACUUUCGUUCGGUGGAAAUACUCCUCUAAGCUUUAUACAGUUGUGGCUUCAUUUUUUGCUUCAAAGUCUUCUUUCUCCUGGACUUGGACUUCUACUUUCUUGUAAGAAUCUUGAGGAGGUGGACUUGGAGUUUUAAUUCACUUUGAUUCAUAAACCAUCAACUUAUGCCCAAUACUUAGUACUUUAGGCCUUAAUUCAAGUUAGUGAGAGUUUAAGCCUAUGAAAUAUAAUAAACCUGAAAAUAAGACUAAAAGAGAUAUUAAAUCACAUAGGAGUAAGUAAGAAACUAUUCGAAAAGUAUUAAGGAAUAAGUCUUUUGUGCUCUUAUCAACCAACCACACAACCCUCUCAAGACAGCCUACCUAAAUCACAUAGGAGUAAGUAAAAAGCUAUUCGGAAAGUAUUAAGGAAUAAGUCUUUUGUGGUCUUAUCAACCAACCACACAACCCUCUCAAGGUAGCCUACUCAGGUUUAUCAUAAAGUUUAGCUGGGAAUUCAAUAGUAGUUGCAACAACCACACAUGUAAGAUUACCUGCAACAUCACCAUCUAGAGUUACCAGAAGUUCAGUAUCAAAUGCAGCUCCACCUGUUUGCCAUAUUGCAACAACUCCAACAAUCUCUUAAAUGGCCAAAGUUGUGAGCAGGCUUGGAAAACCAUCAUUGGGACCUAAAAAGGCUAAGGCGGUGGAUUGGCUGAAGAUACAAACUUUAGAGUUUUGAUGGUUGGUGGUUGUGGAUUUUCUUUUGUGUUUUUGUCAAGUGAAUUGAAAUCCAGACAAGUGCAAGGGGUAUUUUGCAACACUUAUUUGUAUUUUUGUGCGGUUUUUUGGGGUUUACAUUUUAGACAAGUGCAAGUUUUAUUUUGUAGCACUUGUUUACAAUUUGGUGAAGUUUUUUGGGGUUUACAAUUUAGACAAGUGCAACUAGUAUUUUGCAGCAACAGUUGUUUACAUUUCUACAGGUUAUGUAGUGAUGGUUUUUUUUUUUUUUUUUUGUUGUUGUUGUUGUUGUCUAGCACAAUGUAAAACUUCAAUGAAGUUAUUAAAAUUUAGAAACGGUUCUAGUUAUGUUGUUGUUUUAUUUUAAUGUUUUGCUUUCUUUUUCUGUUAUGUUAUGUGCAUUAUUUUUAGGGCCAAGCUUUCAUGAGAUAUGCCUCACGUUAUAUCACGUGAAGUCAGUAAUCCCACAGUUGGAUACUUAAGGAUCUCAAAUCUUGAGGGUAUGAGUUGGCUGCUAAUUUUAAUUAUAAUGGAUUGAUGUUCCUCAUUUUAUAAUCUUCUUACUAUCGCAUCUUCUUUGUAAUAUGUAUUCAUUUUUCUUCAUCUAACGCAACAUGUAAAGAUAAUCCUCAUUAUUUUUUGCAUAAUCUUAAAACUUCUUUUAACUACAACAUUGUAUAAUUUUAAUAAAAAAAACUAGGGUUUCUUUUUCCAUUUCUCCUUGAUUCUCCAUUAAUUAAGAAUACAUAAGCUUUUUGUAUAAAUCACUUAAUGUUUACUUAAAAAAUAUUUUUCACAAGAAAUAAUACUUUUUCUUUUCAGAAUCAAAGAUGACUUUUUGAACUCUUUCAGAAACUAGAGAACUGAGAAAAAAAAAACCCGACUUUCAUCGUCACAAUUUUUAAACCCAAUUGUAUUAAAUAAAUUUUAGUAAGUUUUUAGUAAGAUUAGACUUUAGUUAACACCAUAUGAUGAGUAGAUGAGAAGACAAAGAAGAAGAAGAGAGGUUGUUUUUUUAGAUUUUUUCUUUUCCUCAAAGCCAAUACCACCUCAGCGAAUUUGUGUGGUAUCCCGUGAGACGUAACUCGGGAUAGCCACGCUCUUAGUUUUAGCCCUUUAGUUACAGUUGGAUUGUAAGGAAAGUACAUGCCAGUUUAUCUUAUGUUUGAUUUUCAUCAUUUUGUAUAAUCUAUUAUACUCUAUUAAAGCAGAAAAUACCCCCAAGAAAAUAUCUCUUCAAUUAGGCUAUCAAUUAGAUUGAAAUUAAUAGUCUAAUCGAAGAGAAUUUUGAUUAAGUGGGUAUAUUUGUAAUUACACAAAAGUGGACCACCAUGGACAUAAUUAAGCCCAAUAGAAAAAAAAUUAAAGGUAUACCCAAUCCCAAGUAUAAUCAAGUCCAACCCGUACCCAAUUGGACCAAAUCACAAGCAUAAAUAAGCCCAAUAAAAGAAAUUAAAAGUAUACGGUAUACAAAAUCCCAAGUAUAAUCAAAUUCAGCCCGUAUCCCAAAGAAUAUUAAUCAAUGACCUUUCAGGCUUCCACGAAAAUAUAAAAUAGUAUAUUUACAUAAUUAGUAUCCCAACUAAGAUAUUAAUUCAUAAAUCAAUUAAUAAACUAUUAAUUUACAUAAUUAAUAGUAUAUUUUCAUGUGUAUAUAUAUAUAUAUAUAUAUAUAUAUAUAUAUAUAUUUUUAUUUUUAUUUUUUUUGGGGGGGGAGGGGGGGCUAACAUGAUGAAGCUGGACAAUCGUUCUAUUUUAGAACCCGUUCCACGAAAAGAAGCAUUAAAAUCGAUAAUGAUAAUGGAAUAAUUUCUUCUUGCAAUACAAAAUACAACACCUGAUCAACUCAUCACACUACAAAAAUUCAGAGACAAGGUUCAAACCAACAUCAAUUUUGAGAAAAAAAAAAGCAACGAUUAACUUUUAUUAUAAAAAAUAUAUUUGUAUAUCAAAAAAUAUUAAUUUAUAUAUUAGUUGGGCCUUCAAGGAUUUUUCUAAAAUAUAUUAUCUAAUAAAUUUAGGGAAAUAUUAAUUUAUCAACCUAUGCCCAAGUUCGGACCAGCCCAAAAUACUAUUUAAGGGAGAUAAACUAUUAAUUUACAUAAUUAAUAAUAUAUAUAUAUAUAUAUAUGGGGGCUAACAUGAUGUUUAUGGACAAUCGUUUUAUUUUAGAAACCGUUUCACGAAAAGAAGCAUUAAAAUCGAUAAUGAUGAAUAAUUUCUUCUUGCAAUACAAAAUACAACACCAGAUCAACUCAUAUGUUUAUAUUUGAUCCAUGUAUAUUUGAUGCUUCCUGAAGAUCUCUCGACGACAUAGAAAUCAAAACUCACCAAUAUUCUAAGUCAAAUGGGCAGGUAUGCAAGUUUAUUAAUAAGAUCAUUAAUAGUAUUAAUAUAAUAUCAUUGUGGACACACAUCAAACAUGUUUGUGAUGGCCAUUUUCAUAUUUUCAAGUACAUUCUCAACUUGACAAAAAGUAUAUUUUGCAGGAAUUUUGAGUACCAGUAAUCUAUUUCCUUUCCUUGCACUUAGUAGACAUUGACAAAAGGUAAAUGAAAAUAAAAAAUACACUCCAGUAAAGAUGAUGAUAUAAUCAUCAAUACAUUUCAAUGGUGGGGAUAUGAAAGGGGACUCAAGUAGUAGUAAGACCUACUUACUGCAAUUUAAUGAAAUUUGAGUCCCUUAAUUUGUGAUCUAAUGUAUGUAAAUGUGUUGCAGAUGAGACUAUAUCAAAGAAGGUCGCACGAUUCACACAAACAUGGAUCGUAUGGUUGCCUUCCGGAAAUGCUUAACUACAUGGGCCAAAGAGGAUCUCUUCGUCACAUUACAAGUAAGCCAUCUUUUUAAUAAAUUCGAAAUACUAGAAUUUUUGAAUUUUGAACACAAGCCAAUUAAGAGACGCUCGACUGCUAAGUGCUAAUGGACUACUGUGCAAAGAUUAUUUCCUAAAGUGAUGAAUCCUCAACAACUGAGCCAUACCAAAUUCUAAUUGAGACUUUAAGAGUGCUGCAGAAUCCCACUCUCUUGGAUAUCUUCAACUGCUUUGGGUUUAAUUUCCACGUAUAUAUAACAAUCAUUCAAUUUCAAUACACAAAGAUUUAUAAUAAUUCUAAAUGAAAUCAUACCAGAUCAUAAACUUUUGAAACGGACUAAACAAAAUAUUACAAGUUACAAACCAAAAACAACACAAAACCCCCCAAACCAACUCUAAAACAAUCAGAUCUACCCGUGGAUUACACGGGCUUAAGGACUAGUUAUAUAUUAAAACGGUGGGGUUUCGUUUACACAAAAUUUAUACACAUGAUUAUACUCAAUUUCUAAACCGUCCAUAUCUAUUAAUCUAACGGUUUUAAUUCACAGAGCUGGCCACGUAUUAAUACCGUUAGAUUGAAGAGUUAAUUAAAACAAAUAAAAAAAUUAAUAUAUUUUGAAUUUAGCAUGCCACGCAUUACUGUUAACUGGCACUAGGAUAGAUUAUUAAAUGCUCAAAAUUGGAGAAUUAAUUAAUGACCAAAAUGCCAACAGAAUGCAUCUUUAAUGACUAAACUGACUGUUUUGAACUUUGAUGACUGAACUGGAAAUUUGGACAAGUACAAUGACCAAAUUAAGUGAACAACAUCUGUUACAAGAUCAAAUGUUACAAAAAUUGGUAUAACAUCAUCUUCUAAAGAUGAAAUUAGAGUUGGGGUUUCAAUUCAAGUGUUAUGGGAUUUUUUUUUAAUUGAUUGUCUUAAAUUGAGAUGAUGAGCAUAUUGUGUUUAUUUUCAAAUUUGAACAAAGUUGAAUUAGAAAUAGAAUGGGGAAAUGGUUUGCUAGUAACAACAAAAACAUCAACAAGGGUGGGUACUUGAAGAUGAUUGGAUUUGAGAAAGAAAAAAAAAUUAAAAAGAAAUUCUUUUAGAACAAGGAGUUCAUCUUCUUCUAUAAUAUCUUCAGCUUCAUCUGGGAGUAGUUCUUCACUGAUGGAAUGAGGGGAAGUAAAGAAGAGAAUGAGUUGUGGAGACCAUCUGGAUUUUCUUUAUUAGUUUCAACACAUAACAGGGUUAGAAUCGGUAUUAAGACCUUAACAUUAUCUCUUCUUUUCUCUAUCCUAAUCAGCUAACUUUUUUUAUAACAGAUUUGUUAACAGAGUAGUGUAAUCUCAAAUUAAGAACUUUGAAUGUGGUUUAUGCAAAUUACGCAAUGUUCAAGUGUGGUUUUGACAAAUUCCCUCUUAAAUCAAAGAAUACAUGUAGAUUCAGAAUGAUAUUCAUGCACGAAUUUUGUGAGAGCACACUUUCUUGUGUGUUUGUCCUCCAUUUUUGUAUAGUUCAUUUAUAGUAGUUAAUACAUAAAAAUGUAAAAUUUAGAAUGUCUAAUUUAUUUGAAAAACUAAAAAUUGCAAUGCUUUGUAAUACACAUUAUUUCCUUGAUUUCAUCCUCUUCAGAUUUCAGUAUUUGAGAAUGUAAAAACUAUAUCAUAGAGUGUUCCUAAAUUACUGCAUGUUGAUUUCUUUUUAGGGUUAUUUUGUAUUUGGUCCCUCUAGAAUAUUUAUAUUUAGCAAGUGGUAUAAAGUUUUUCAAUUAUUAGCAGUUAGUCCUUUUUCCGUUAUUUGACUGGCAGUCAACUCUGUUGACUAUAGUCAAACCAUCCAAGUUUUUAAAAUACCUAAACUACCCAUGCACAUGUUAAUCAUGUGCAUUUUUAUGAACAACAAAUAUCAUUCUAUGCUUCAUCCAAUGAUCCAAAAUAAACCAAUAAAUAGAAAUAAACUAAACAAAAUAAUAGAAAUAAAAAAACAAGGGGGAUUUAGAGAUACCCCCAAAAUAAUAUGAACUCUUUGAGAUACCCCCUAGAUUUAGAAACUCUUAGAGAUACCCCCCAUUUUUCCAUUUGAAGCCGGUCAACCAAGCCUUUGACCAUGGUCUGACCAAUCUUCAUAUUUUCUAGACAAUUUUACCGUCCCACCAUUUAAACCCACAUCCUAGUCAUUUUGCCCAGUCAACAAGUAUGCCAUGUCAGCAAACAACUUAAAGUUACUACUUGUUAUUCACACCCAGAAAACCCUAUCCUAACCCACCUAGUUUUUACUUGAUCUAAUCACAACCGUCCAUAUAUAAUCUAACCAAACUUAAAAAAAAAACCCCAAGUAUUCAAAUUUCAUCUUUCCACCAUUAAGAAACAGAACCGAGCGGGAAAGUGCAACUCAAACUUAGGGUUUGUGAUCUACUCUUGAUUUCAAACAAAAAUUGUUGUUUCUUCUUCAAAAUUCUUCCAUUUUCUUAGAAAUCAAUUUCAUGCUUUAGAUUUGUUGCUGAAAAUUGUUUUAAACUCAAAUGAUGGCGGCUCCACCACCAAUUUAUGAAAUAUCUUCUGAUUCUAGUGAUGAAUCCAUGUUCAACUAUGAGAAUUCAAGUGCAGAAAACGAAGAAAUCUAUUAUCUUGGUGUCGAGAAUACUUUUCAUUAGAGAUACCCCCCAAAAUACAAGUUUCAUUUGAGAUACCCCCCAAAAUUGCAGAGAAAGGUAAUUUGAGGAAGAUGAUGAACCAAAUCUCAAAAACUACCAAAAUAUACAAUACAAACUACACAAAGGUGACAAAACCACCAAAACUAUCAUUUACCUUCAUCUCAACUUUUCAACUAAGUAGACAAAAUGUGUUAAUUUGAAAUUUGCCUUUCUUUAGAUCUUCUUCAAGAUAUGUUAAUGGGGUAUCAUCUUUUCACUAGAUCUAGUAAAGGAGUGAUAAAAGAAUGGAAACGAGAGACGAUAAUGGCCAGAUCUGUAAUGAAGAAGGAGGAUAAAGGGAUGGGGAUAAAAAAAAAAUUGAAGGUGAAGAAUGGUUGGAUGAAGAAAAAACAAGAUAGGAUGGAGAAGAAGGAAGAAGGAACAAAAAUGAUGGUGAAGAAGAAAAAGUAAGAGAUGGAGUUUGGGUUAAGUGAAGGAGGAAGAAGAAGAAGGAGGAGGAGGAGUUUGAUGAUGAUAAUGGUCACAUAACAAUUAGUUAAUUCUACCCGUAGGAUUAGAUCUAGAUCUAGAUCUAAGUUGAACGGUUAGGAUCAAAGUGGUAGCUUUAAGUUGUUUGCUGACAUGGCAUACUUGUUGACUGGGCAAAAUGACUAGGAUGUGGGUUUAAAUGGUGGGAGGGUAAAAUUGUCUAGAAAAUAUGAAGACUGGUCAGACCAUGGUCAAAGGCUUGGUUGACCGGCUUCAAAUGGGAAAAUGGGGGGUAUCUCUAAGAGUUUUCAAAUCUGGGGGGUAUCUCAAAGUGUUCAUAUUUUUUGGGGGGGUAUCUCUAAAUCCCCUAAAAAACAAAGAUAGUGAUAAACAACAAUAACAAAAUCUUGCAAAGUAAUAUCCCAUCAAUCUAACAACCGUUAAUACAAAAUCAGAAAACCAACCCCAAAAUUAUUAGAUGAAACCCAAUUUUCUUUUAAGCAAUUGAAAUUGAAAAGUCAUUCUUUUUNNNNNNNNNNNNNNNNNNNNNNNNNNNNNNNNNNNNNNNNNNNNNNNNNNNNNNNNNNNNNNNNNNNNNNNNNNNNNNNNNNNNNNNNNNNNNNNNNNNNNNNNNNNNNNNNNNNNNNNNNNNNNNNNNNNNNNNNNNNNNNNNNNNNNNNNNNNNNNNNNNNNNNNNNNNNNNNNNNNNNNNNNNNNNNNNNNNNNNNNNNNNNNNNNNNNNNNNNNNNNNNNNNNNNNNNNNNNNNNNNNNNNNNNNNNNNNNNNNNNNNNNNNNNNNNNNNNNNNNNNNNNNNNNNNNNNNNNNNNNNNNNNNNNNNNNNNNNNNNNNNNNNNNNNNNNNNNNNNNNNNNNNNNNNNNNNNNNNNNNNNNNNNNNNNNNNNNNNNNNNNNNNNNNNNNNNNNNNNNNNNNNNNNNNNNNNNNNNNNNNNNNNNNNNNNNNNNNNNNNNNNNNNNNNNNNNNNNNCUCGCACGUGCAUAGGUAGUAUAGGCAUUUUGAAAAAUUGGGUGGUUUGACUACAGUCAAUUGAGUUGACUGUUAGUCAAGUAACAGAAAAGGGACCAAAUACUAAUAAAUGAAAAACUUUAUACCACUUGCUAAAUACAAAUGUUCUAGAGGGACCAAAUAAAAAAUACCCCUUCUUUUUAUAAAUACUAGCACUUUUGAUUGGAGAAGUCAAUAAUUACAAUCCUUGAGCUAGCCAGUAGUCACACAUACCAGAGACCAUCAGCAUCAUAUUAUACUCAAUGUAUCACAUGUACUGCUAGCCUAAUCUGCUAUUGCAAAAUAGCUAGGUUCAGCUGAAAAUUUCAAAGCUCAGAGAGCUAGGUAAUGAAAUGUAAUAUUUAUUUCAGCUUUUAUUAGCACAGUGGAUUAGGCUACCAUUAAUUUGAUCCAGUCAUAGAGCAGUAGAAUAGUGGUGAUUACUCUGCUUGUGGUGUGUAUAUAUAUAUAUAUAUAUAUAUAUCAAUGAGUGAUACAAAUUACUAGGCAAAUAAACUAUUGAAUGCGGAAUUAAAUAAUAACAGUAAAUAAGAUGAACAAAACACAAGAUCUCGAAGAAAACUAUCUUCUUUACUGAAUAUUAUGAAGAUUACAAGAAUCUCUGCCUCACAAUACUCUCUAGACAAGCUAAGCCCUAGCUGCCUCUCUUCUAAACACACUUGACCUUAGUGGUUUCUCUAAACAACUAAAUAAAUUGUUUCUCUAAACAAGCUAAAAUAAACUAUGUUUGGUCUAUGUUUUGGGUUAUUCCAAAACAUCACUAAACCACUAAACCUUAGUGGUUUAUCUUGAAACAAGUAAAGACUACAUGUUUCUCUCUCUAUAUUUUGGUUUAUGCCAAAACAUAUAUUUAUAGGCCAAGGUUUUCUUUUCCUUGUCCUACAAGAAAAAGAACUGCUAAAUUUCCAAGUAGGAUACACCUGUAUCAAUGAGACUAUAGUAUGAACUCUGUAUGACAUAAGAAGCAACAGAAGAAAGCGAAACACAUCAUCUUUCUUUCAUAUUUAACAUCUUUCAUUCCAUUUUAAAUGGUAAAAUCGCAGCGGAAGAAAGAGAAACACAUCAUCUUUCUUUCAUAUGUAGCAUCUUUCAUUCCAUUUUAAAUGGUAAAAUCUGCACUUUUAUUUCAAAAAGAAAGAAAUGCCCCUUUUAAUCAUUAAUUUGGAAAUGCAAACCUUUCUUGAAACAUUUAGUCUUAUAUUGGAUAAUAGUGCAUGCAUGAUAUGUUUUUAAUCAUGCAGAUUAAAGCAUUCCUUAGAUAACAGUACAUAUUAAAAUACAUUUAGCUAGCAUAAUCUUAUUAAUUUCUUGUUCUCACAUUCAUGCAUAGAUCGACUUAAGCAUGACCUCCUCCUCCUCCACUUCCACCUCCUUCACCUCCACCAUAUCCACCUGCACCUCCAUAUCCAGCACCACUACCAGCGCCGCCUCCACUUCCACCACCAUACCCAGCUCCAGCAGCACCAUAUGCAGCN
RNAcentral lists this long non-coding RNA (101937 nucleotides) under Aquilegia coerulea. RNAcentral's name for it is "long non-coding RNA (ACOE_LNC001488)". Lineage: Eukaryota; Viridiplantae; Streptophyta; Magnoliopsida; Ranunculales; Ranunculaceae. The record is from RNAcentral.